RNAcentral lists this long non-coding RNA (90436 nucleotides) under Panicum hallii. Its description in RNAcentral is "long non-coding RNA (PHAL_LNC000129)". The record is from RNAcentral. Lineage: Eukaryota; Viridiplantae; Streptophyta; Magnoliopsida; Poales; Poaceae.
GGCGGCAACUUGUUGGAUGGCCAAAUACCUGAAAGCCUUGCAGGCCAGUACCUCAGUUUGGGAGGCCCCGGAGCGAAAUAUAAAAUGAAAAUUUUAUAUGUAGAAAAUUAUAAAUAAUUAGAAUAUAUUUAGAUGAUUUUAUGUAAUAGUAUCAUGUAAAAGGAGUAAAAAACAAGUGUUCCUUACCGAUAUCUUUUUAACUUCUAUGAAAAAGCAACAUUCGUCUAGUAUUCUUCAAAUAAAAAUCUUUAACUAUAUCUACAUAUUUAAUAUUCUUCAAAAUAUCACUUUCUAGUGCAAUUGUCGCCAAUCCAUUGAGACUUUCUUGCUUCAUAGUAGUACGCAUGUAGAUCUUUAGCAACAUCACUUUGGAAAAGCUUCGCUCUGCGGGUGCAACUGUCACCGGAAUAGUUAAUAAAAUUCUAUAUGCAAUUUGGGCAUUAGGAAAACAGCCAUCCGUUUCACAAACUUUAGAAUAUCAAGAGGCCCCAUAUCUUCUUUUAGGAAUAAAUUCUUGGAGAAACUUCAACGCCACAUGUAACAUUUUGCCAUCAAUAUCAGAAUUAUCACCACUCUUAAUUGCAACAUCAAUAAGCAUAUCCUUUGCUUGUACAUGUUUGCUGAUCAAAUUAACAACAGAUAAUAUUUCAUACCAGAUAAUUAUUGCCACCGUAAAUUCAAAGUCACCAAGCUCAUUGUUCGCCAAGAAUUUAGCUUUAUUGAAUAUUGUUGUAUUAUUAUCAGUAUCUGAUACUUCGAGUAAAGCUUCUAUCCUGCAUUUGGAACCUUAUAGCCUUUACACUGUCAACACGACUCUCCAAACGAGUAGCUGCCAAUGGCUUGAGAGUCAAUCAUGAUAAGUUAUCUUUCAAAAUUUGAGUCUGAGCAAACUGUUCAAUUCUUUUCCUCUUACGCUUUUCAUUACCGCAUUCAUAUUUUCUAGGCAAAAUUAGCCGGGGUAUACUCUUGAAGUGUGGUUUUUUGCCAUAAGACACUAAAAAAAGAUAUCUUUGCCAAAAGAUACUAUAAGAUUGUGGUAAUUUACUAUGGGACACUAUACCGAAUAUUAUAUUCAAUUUUAAUAAAAAGCUAUUGGAAUGGACUAAAAGAUACUAAGGUCGAGCCGGCUCCUUUGCAACCGGAAAAAAUAAGAUCACGACGAGCAGUGCCCGGCCGGCGCCUCGCUUGGCGGACGGCGGCACCUCUUCUACCUUCCCUGCAGCAUCAACUCCUGGCGCCAGCGGACCGCGAGUGGAACCCUCUCCAUGCAGCGCCCGCCUGAGGUGGCUACGGCGCUCGAUCCCGGGGACGACGCCCGCUCCAGACGGCGGCGGCAUUCGAUUCCAGUGACGACGUCCACUCCCAGCGGAGGAGCCCGCUGUUUGAGCAUGAUGCAGGCCGUGAAGGACCGCAGCCUGCAGGUCACGCACGCAGCGCUCCUAUAGGCCGACUGAUUCUUUUCCCUGCCAGCCCCAGGCCUGCUCCCUGCGACUCUGCGAGGCUGCGAUAUUGCGGCGGCCGGCGACGGCGGCGGCGCGGCGCCUCGGUAAGUCGGCGUGCUCCGAGGCGGCGUAAGGUUUUGACGAUGAAUCGAUGACGAAUCGGCUACCAAGGCGGUAGCGUCGGUUCGACUUCGCAGAGAAACACAAGGGCACGCAGGCCAGAUGGACGUAACAGGUCGAUGGAAAUCAACAGGCAGGUUAGGUUACUGGCCAUUUGGGCCUGUACCUUGUAGCGGCCCAAAAAUUUGGGGAUCUGAUGCCGUCGGCCCACUUGCACUGGGCCAUGUACGGACCUGAAGCCUUGGCAACCUGACCAAAGUAAGAUACAUCCACCUCAGCGGAAACCACCUAUCAGGGCCCGUACCAUCUUCACUAGGCAACCUUAGGAAACUUGACCUCGGUCAGAACAGGUUGAGUAUCCUGCCAAAUCUUGCUGACCUGAAUGCACUUUAUCUCGCCAGGUUUCCUUCCCCAAGAGACUGGGUUGCUGGCCAAGUUGAACGUACUGGAUUUGUACUCAAACCAGCUAAGAGUGAGAUAUACCAGCUAAGUUGAACGUCGAAAUACCAGCGGAAUUUAGCACCAAUUGUCGGGAAAUAUACCGCCUGAAUUCGGUCGUAUGAGUGAACUGCAGUAUCUGUGAAUAAGUUGAACGGGUCGAUGCCGGAAGAGAUUGGGAGUUGCACUAAGCUAGAAUCCUUGAUGGUUAACCAUAACAGGUUGAGUGGAGAUUUGCCAGCGUCCAUUGGUAACCUGAGGAACCUGCACAUUGUGUUGGAUGCCAGCGGCAACAAACUCACAGGUGAGCUACCUGCACAGCUUGGGAACUUGGCGAUGUUGGAGCUCUUGAACCUCUCCCAUAAUCAGUUCAGUGGAAGCAUUCCGAAAUCCAUUGCUGGCAUGGUUAAGUCCGUCAACACUUGAUGUGUCAUACAACAGCUUGGGAGGGCCUCUUCCAAUAGGACGACUAUUCCACAAUGCCACAAUAGGAUGGUUCCUGCACAACAAAGGCUUGUGUGGCAAUAUCUCAGGCCUGCCAACAUGCUCUUCAACUUCAGAAAUGGAAUAUCAGAGGAGGGAUUCAAACAAUGGUGCUUGCAAUUUAUAUCCCCCUGUGUGUAGCUACUAGUCUUGCACUUUUUGCUGUUGCUACGACUAUUCACAAAAGGAGCAUGCAGCAAAACACUAUGUACACAGAUAGAAUAGAUGUGCUUUCAGUGUGGAAUUUUGAUGGAAAACUAGCAUUUGAAGAUAUUAACGCAGCUACAGAAAACUUCAGUGAAAGAUGUAUAGUAGGCUCAGGGGGCUAUGGCACUGUCUACAAAGCUCAUCUUCAAGGAGGGAGAUUGGCUGCAGUGAAAAAACUUCAUCAAACAGAUGAACAAACGAUUGAUGAAAAGAGAUUCCUUAGUGAAAUUGAAGUGAAGUGCUGACGAAGAUACGGCAUAGAAGCAUCGGCAAGCUGUAUGGAUUUUGCUCUCAUACAAGGUACAAGUUUCUAGUAUAUGAUUACAUCGAGAGAGGAAAUCUUCAUGCUACCUUGCAAAAUGAGGAGCUUGCAAAGGAACUAGACUGGCAGAAGCGAGUUGCCAUUGCAAAAGACGGGGCUCAAGCUAUCUACUACUUGCACCAUGGAUAACAAGUAACAACAUCUUGCUAGAUGCAGAUUUCAAGGCUGGCUUGUGUUUCAGAUUUUGGAAUAGCAAGGAUGCUAAAACCCGAUUCAUCCAAUUGGAGCGAACUAGUAGGAACAUAUGGUUAUAUAGCCCCCGGUAUGUAGUCAGUUACUUUCUUCUACAUUGCAAAUAUAUUCUUGUUACCAUUUACGAAUAUCAAAUAUACUGCAGUUUGGUUUCAUGUUUGAUUAUUGAUUUGUUCUUUAAUUUGAUUUUUGAUGCAGAGCUUUUCUUACACAUCAGUGGUGACAACGAAAUGCGAUGUCUACAGCUUCGGUGUCGUUGCGCUGGAGAUUGUGAUGGGGAUGUACACCUCAGAGAUACAGUACCUUGCUUCCAGGGAACAGCAUCGGGAGCUUGUAAUGGAGGAUAUGUUGGACAAGCGCCAAUCAUCUCCAACAAUUGUAGAAGAGAACGAAAUUGCUCUUCUUGUGGAACUGGCAUUUGCUUGCCUGCAAACUUCUCCUCAGUUUAGGCCAGAGAUGGAGGAUGUCUAUCUGAAACUGGCUCUGCACAAACCACCUUCUUCGUUUGCCUCACCUUCUCAUGCACCUAGACCAGAAGAAAUAAUAGAAGUGUUAGGUCAUCUGUGUUGUGUCAAGCAAUUCAUAGUGUUAAUACUGUUAAUGCAAAGUGAUAAAAUCUCAACGACAAUGUGAAAUUGCAACAACGUGGUAUUAUAAGAAGCAUAGUCCAUUCCACAAUCUACACAAUGCCAAGUUCUCUAUACAAUACAGUUUCAAGUUACAGCAACAAUCAGGUCACUGCCACUUUCAGGGCAGAACCAUUGUGUACAUUUCUAUCUCGCUAACAGGCAAGACCACUCAUUCACUCCCUUCUUCGGCUUUUGUGAUGGUGGUGAUGGCGAUGCUUGGAUUUCUUCGUGUCCUUUUCCUUCCUUUUAUCCCUCUUCUCUUUUUUCUCAGACUUCCUUUUCUUUUCCUUCUUGCUCUGUGGUUCAGAGCUCGAUCCCCUUCCGUCCAACGUUUCCUUGCACCAAUGAUCAUCAGGAGACUUGGACCUCAAAAACAAAGGCUUUUCUGGGCCUUGUACUCGACGUUCCCAUUUUUCUUCCAAACGUAUAUCAGGACUAGGUCCGUUUUCAUGACAACGGGAUGAAGAAUCAAGGUAUGGACCAGGCUCGUCCAUCCUAGAACCAAUGGCCCCACGUCCUCGUUUCACCCUAACAAAAUAGCAACAAUACACUUGUUAAGCAACACAAGGAAAUAGGUAACGCAUGGAAAGGUUUACAUCAUUAACAAAUUUAAAUACAUAAUAUAAUAGCAUAAUAGCAUUCAUAGACAGAAUAAUGUGGUACUUAUAUUGCUAUACAAAAUAAUCUAACUAACUAUAUUUUCAAUUGCUAAAAAAAUGAACAUCAUCCUAAAGGUAUUCCAUAUAGAAAUAUAUUGAUACAAAUUUUGUAUAUCGAACAUGCAUAUAAUUUAACUCAUUGUUGGUCAAAAUCUACAAAAGCUUAACUUUUACAAAAACAAAUUACACCUAUCAUUGAUUGAUGGACAAAGGGAGUACUAUCGAAGAUGUAUAUAGAUUGCAUGUUUUUUCAUAGACGAUUAUGAGUAAAAUAAUAUCAGUUAUAUGCAGGUGUUACAUCAAGAAAAUAAUGGAUAUUUCUUGCAUUAAAGAAAAUAAUGGAUAUUCUAACUGACCUUGAAUGAAGAAAUCUUUCAAUUUCGUCUUCCUUGAGACCAUCCUCCUGGUCUGAGUAAGAAGUACUAUAAGUGGUCCCUUCUUGUUCAACCCUUGAGCUGGAGCUAUGGUUUCUCAUUUCACUUUUGCGCUUCUCGCCUCUAGAAUCAUCACAAUCUUUACUUCUGCCUUUCAUCUUUGACUCCAACUCCAGCUCCUUUUCCCUAGCACGCCACAUUUCAUUGAUCUCCACAACACGGUUUGCUGCAGUACAACAACAUAUUUCAAUUCAGACUUACUAAAGAUCUAUUUGAUGUCAAUAAAAAAAUUGUGACACAGGGCCAAUAAUACUUUUGACCCUUAAGAAUGUGACGUCAAUAUACUUUUAAAUAACCAAAUUAGAAUUUCUACAAGAUUACAUGAAUCCAACUGUUUUUCCCCCUAGUUUGGUAAGUUUCUACAGGAUUUCCUUCGCAAACAUAGACAAUACAGAAAAAAGAGUGGCAAUGAUUCAAUAAAUUGAAGAUGCAGAUGCAUCAUUCAAGCAACUAACACCAAGGGAAUGCCACAAUGCUAACCUUGCUGAACUCCACGAACAGUCGCUGUGAGGAACCGUGAGUUUGGACGAUGCCUUACAUUAGGCUUUCGUAGAUAUGCAUGAACACCUUCCCUGUCAGCCUCUAUCUGUAAUCUCCGUGCCUCUUCAAGUAGUAAAGAUGCCAGACGAUUCUCUGUCUCCAGAUCCAUUGUCUAACUCUGAGUUCAACAACUGGCUGUCCAGAAAUGAAAUCUUUACUAAUAGAAUAAACAUAUAAAUUAUUGGCAUAUUGCUACAGGGAUAUACUUAUGAUGAAGCAUGAAAGUUCUUUAGAGCGAAAAACAAAAGGAACCUCGGCUUUCUGAAUUUCCAUCAUAUAAUUGAUCUGCACUAUUUUGCUUGGGCGUAUGGGAAUGUGCCUUUGGCAAUAAAAGAACUUAUUACUAUAGUGUUUGAUCAAAUUAAGUUGUAAGAUUCAAGCAGUCUCAUUGAAACUAAUAAUUUGUCAGGUCAACCCAGGAAAGCUGAAAUGCACCAGAGUGAUGUGGUAAAGUUGAUGCAUGGAUCUGGAGCACGCAAGGUAACAGUGGUUGCAAAGGAACAGUGCAGGAUGUUGCUUGGUGUAAGCUAUGUACUACUUUACAAAUGAUCCAAACAGAACAUGGACACUAAAAAAUAGAUAUCCUAAAAACAUUCUAUAAUGAGCAAUUGCAAUAACGGAAUUCAUGAAUUGGUUCAUAUAAAUGCUAUCCAUCCCGACAAAAAAAAUUACUAUAACAUUAACAGCCUAAAGAUGUCUUUAAAAGACUAAAACUGGACCCGAUGAGGAGUCAUGAAUGGCAAAAGUAACCAAAUUUAAUUGAGUAUUUCUUAAGAAACCACUCUUAAGGAUAAACCUAGGUUAAACACAAAGCAAUUACUAGUGUCAUAAAGGUCACACAUGACACAAGAAGUUGCAUAAGUUGAACAGAAACACUACAAUUUGUUCAAUUAAAUAAGAAAUUUGCCACGAAACAGGUCAGCAGGAAUGGAAAAACCAUGCACAUCCCACUAAACGUACACAGGACCUUCAGAGAAAAGAUUAUAGAUCUUUGGGCCAUAUUUUACGGUGAACUAUGGCUUGAGUGCUUGACUCUUUCGGAAUUUUUUAUAAGUACCAAACAUACAUCUGCGCCCAUAGAGCGAGUCUAUCAGAUACCAGAUAAUGCUGCGGCGCAAGAACGAUACGUAACCACGAGGAAACACAGAACAAGCAGCCUGCUUUGCCCAACCUCCUCCAAACAUGGUCUGGCACAACGUGUAGCCGGGGGGAUCGAGUGGAACCCCCCAAAAUUCAAUUUCUUCGCAAACUUCGCCAGCUUCUACCAGUACCUCUCCACGCAACAAGCAAUGCGUACUAGUAGAGCAGGAAAAAUCUGAAUUUGGUUGCUCACGGCUCACGGGUCGCAGCACAUGAAAGAUCCCGCCGAACAGGACGCGGCGCGAUCCGGCCGAGCAGCCAAGCAAGGUUAGGGUUCCUUACCAGGUGAAGGAGAGGCCUGUCCAGGCCCGGAUGGAUCCCCUCCCCGCGCCGGUCCUCUAGCGCCGAGGAGGAGGGGGACGACGAAGACGGCGGCGGGCGCGAGAGACGGAACCCCUUCGCGGUGGGGGGGCCGGGCAGGCGGCGAGCUCCGCUCCGGCGGAAGGAGGCGCGGAGGCGCCCUUGGCCGGCGGAGAGCGCUCGAUGGGGGGCGCGAGCGGGCCGAGGAGGCGGGGGUGGGUCGUGAAGGAAGAGGCGCACGCGUUCUUUCCUCGCCGCCGCGUCGCCGCCGCCGUGGGGAGAGAGGAGGGGAGGAGGGCUCGGUUGGUUGGGUACAGCUGGAUCCCUGCCAGACGAGUUCGGUGGGACCGUGGGAGAGAGGUGAGCGAGAGCAAGCCCAGACCCGGCCCGUUGGUCUGAUGAGCAGGAUGCCGGCCCGUUCGAGGGUUCGAAGAAGGUUAACAUUUUGGCAACAGAUUAACGUCCAUCCUCACUCCAAAAUUUACCUCUCGCUGCUUCUUUUCAUCUUUUGCAUUGUUCCAUGCUCUCCCUACUUAGACCCUGAAAUGUUCAAGCUGAGCAUGGGAACCAAAGCAAUACAUAGUAUAUCGUGCUCAUGUUACAUUAUAUAUCUAAUUCGUAGAGCCGAUCAGACUACCAACAUAUAAUAGAUUGCACUGUGUGCAUCUGACUAGAAGAUUAUAUAGGCUACCAAACAUCUUUAUGAAAAAAUAAUGGUCGGGUGGCUAAUGGUCAAUAUGUAACGCUUAAAGCAGCCACGGUGUAGACGAGGCUUGAAGGUUUCAUCACCAUGACAUACAUAAGUGAUACUCUAGCUCUUGUUUUAUUACAGUGUGCGACAUCGAUGCCCAAAAUCUGAUCCAUCUCACAAUCAAAUAGUAUGAUAGAAAUAGUAUUGUAAACAAUCAUUUCUUCUUUUUCAUCGGCUUUCCUCUGCACACCUACGUGACAGGCUUGCUAUACAAUAGUUUUCUGCUGAUCGAGCAUCGGGGCUUGUACUAUCAUUGGUGCUGGCAUUUUUCAACUCAGCAACGGCAGUUGCAAUGGCAAAAUCGAGGUUUGAAAUUUCUCUCUUCUACUGGAGCAUCGCCUUCUACUCACGUUGUGGCUGCUCUUAUUGAGAAAUAAAUUACUUACUUUGUUUUCAUGCUUGGACUGGCGGUUUGGGGUUUUCAGGUCGAUCCAUCUCAGCCCAUCCCAAAAGCCUGGCCCAACCCGGCCCGAGAUUUAUAUAACAUUAUCAAAUCACAUGAAGCAAAGCUCAUGGCUGAGACGGGGAGGCCGCGCCAGCUCACCAACGCCCGCGCUAUCCAAACCCCCGCGCAUCCGCAACGGUAAAGCCGCGCCGCCGAUGGCUUCCGCUCCCGCGCCCCCGCCGUCGCCGUCGCCGUCGCCGUGCCCCGACGCACGGGCCCCGCGCGUCGUCCGCGCGCCGCCGCGGCGUCCCCCGCCCCGCGCGCCCGGUCCUCCGCCCUGGGCGGAGCGCCGCCCCGCGGUGUCCGUCGACCUCGACCGCGGCCGCCGGGCGGCCCGCGCCGAGGUGGAAGGCGUCCGCGCCGCGUCGCUCCCCGCGCGGCACCGCCUGCGCGUGGAGGGCACCCGGUGGCAGCGGGACUGGAAGGUGUCCGAGGCCGCCGCGCGCGUGCUCGCGCUGCCCCCCGCCGACGCGCACGCCGUCGACGCCGUGCUCAACAGCUGGGCCGGCCGCUUCGCCCGCCGCAAUUUCCCGCUCCUCAUCCGCGUAUGCCCCCCGUUCUCUCUUUGCUUGCCACCUGCUUGCUACGUGUUCGAUGAGAUGACUGUUGGUGCGGAUGCCACUAUUGGCUAGUAGUGUGCGGUGUGCCAUUCAAAUGGGUCGAGGGGAGCGGAAAAAAUAGUUCUUUUUACCGCUAAAUUGGUACGAUUGGCAUGUAAUUUGCCACCCUGGCCCACAUUCAGUGACUCAGAUGGACCCACCCACGCCCACAUUUAGUUUUGUGCCACUAAAUUGGUGCGAGGGGAGCAGGACGUCACUGAACUAUGUUGCUUGAACUUAUAGUACAGCAUUUAUUUUGUUUAGUUCAUCUUGAGUUCCAGUUGUUAUUGACGUCCGAGUCAUUCAUGGUUGGGCAUAUGUUCAAUUUCGAUAUGCAAGGAUUCUUGGUUUGUUGAUAACAUGAUAGUUAAGUUAUCAUAGUAGUUUUAACUUUUAAGUAUUCUAUGUCAACUAUCUUUUGGCGCUUUAUCUAAGGACUCAACUACAAUAGUCCUGCAUCUAUUUGCAGGUGGCAUAGGCAACUCUGCUGAUAUAUUUUAGUUGUCCACGGAGUCCUUAAUUGUGUACGCUAGUUCCAUUUACUUUGUUCACGAUUUUCAGUAUGUCUCAAAACCUAUGGUUUUCUCAUUCAGUCCAGAAAAUCUAGUUAUUCUCUCAAGAUUCAGUUGCCACCAUCAUUUUUGUGCUCCCAAUAUUGAUUUAUUAGAGUGUAUGGUAGAAUCCCCUAGUAGCUACUUCAUUUGCAAGUUGUUGUUCUUAUUUAUAACUAACCAAAAAUCUCCAUAAAUUCACUAAAUACAAGCUAGCCUGUUCCAGUGAUAAUGAACUCACACAGUUUGUAUCACUUGUAGGAAAUCACAAUUUCUGGAUCCUUGAAACAUGCUGUACAUGUGUUCCGCUGGAUGAAAAAUCAGGAGAAUUACUGUGCUCGUAAUGACAUUUAUGGCAUGAUGAUAAGGUUACAUGCUAGACACAAUCAGGUUGAUCAGGCACGUGGCCUGUUUUUUGAGAUGCAAGAAUGGCGGUAUGAGUGCUAUAUGUCAUACUUUCAACACCUUAAUCAAUAUCGACCUAUUAUUUUCUUUCACCCUUACUAGAAGUCAUAGAGCCAUAUCACUCCUAGAAUGGCUUUUUGUUUAAACUAAGAAAACAAGUUUGUUGUAGGAGGUCUACUGCUUCAGCAUAUUAGACUGCCAUUCAGAAAAUUUGUGGUGUUGUAAUGUUAUUAUGUCACAUCAAUAAGACAUCUUCUUAAAAUAUAAUUUACAUGCAUCUUUUGUUCUUGUAUUGUUUUAUCAUUAGUUUGGUUAAAUGAUAGCCUUACAAUUAUCUGAUCACUCUUGGCCUUUUUGUUUUACUUAAAUGGUAUAUCCAUAGGUGCAAACCUGAUGCUGAUACAUACAACUCUUUGAUCCAUGCUCAUGCUCGAGCUGGCCAGUGGCGUUGGGCCAUCAACAUCAUGGAAGAUAUGCAACGUGCUGCUGUAAGUACAUUACUAUGAAGGCAUGACUUUCUGGAUAACUGCUUUAAAAAAUAAACAAUUGAACUUUACAUGCUUGUAAAGAUAUUCUACAUAACUAGCAUCUUGAGGCUCCUGUAAUAUUACUGAAUGAUAAACAUCAUCAUAUAGAUAAUCCGAGUCAUUAUACGUCAUGGUUGGUUUAGUUUGCUCCUGUAAGAGAUACCUUUUUGUUGCAGAUACCUCCUAGUCGAACUACAUAUAAUAAUGUAAUAAAUGCAUGUGGAGCUGCUGGUAACUGGAAGAAAGCUUUAGAGCUUUGUAAGAAGAUGACUGAAAAUGGUGUAGGACCGGAUUUGAUCACACACAACAUUGUUUUGUCCGCUUUCAAGAAUGGAGCUCAGUAUUUGAAAGCCAUAGCUUACUUUGAAAUUAUGAAAUCAUCUAAUGUUGCCCCUGAUACAUUCACUUGGAAUAUUGUGAUCCAUUGCCUUGUAAAGGUUGGGCAGUAUGGAGAAGCUAUUGAGUUGUUUAACUCAAUGAGGGAAAAAAGAACAAUAUGUCCUCCAGAUGUUGUUACAUAUACUAGCAUAAUGUAUUCUUAUUCUGUUUGUGGGCAAGCUGAAAAUUGCAAGGCAGUCUUUGAUAUGAUGGUUGCUGAAGGUGUCAGGCCUAAUAUUGUAUCCUACAAUGCACUUUUGGGUGCUUAUGCCUCACAUGGUAUGCACAAAGAGGCCUUGGAAACUUUUAAAUUACUGAAGCAAAAUGGAUUGAGACCUGAUAUAGUUUCCUAUACCUCCUUACUUAAUGCUUAUGGUAGAUCUGCACAACCUGAGAAGGCUAGGGAGGUCUUUAAUGAGAUGAGGAAGAAUGCAUGCAAACCAAACAAAGUCAGUUACAAUGCACUUAUUGAUGCUUAUGGAUCUACUGGAAUGUUGAAGGAAGCUAUUAGUUUGCUGCAAGAAAUGGAGAGAGAUGGCAUUCAACCGGAUGUUGUUUCAAUAAGUACACUGUUAACAGCAUGUGGCCGCUGCAGACAACUAACUAAAAUUGACACAAUUCUUGCAGCAGCUAAGUCUCGAGGGAUCGAACUAAAUACAGUUGCUUACAACUCAGGCAUCGGAAGCUAUUUAAGUUUGGGUGAUUAUGAGAAAGCUUUGGAGUUGUACGCAUUAAUGAGGACACGCAAUGUGAAGCCAGAUGCUGUAACUUACAAUGUACUCAUUAGUGGAUCAUGUAAAUUGGGAAGGUAUGCAGAAUCUCUGAAAUUUUUUGAAGACAUGAUGGACCUGAAAAUUCAUUUGACCAAGGAAGUCUACUCGUCCGUCAUUUGUUCAUAUGUCAAACAAGUAAGUAUUGCUGACAUUAACUAUCUGGUUCCCUGUAAAGAAUUGGUAUGCUAACAAUCGUUUAAUUCAGGGAAAACUAAGCGAAGCAGAAUCCACUUUUAGUUCUAUGAAAGAAUCUGGUUGCUUCCCUGAUGUUUUGACAUAUACUGCAAUGAUUAAAGCCUAUAGCGAUGAUGGUAAGAUUCUCUUAUGAUGAGAAAAUGUUUCAAUAAUUUUAAGUUUUCAACUAAUCCUGUGUCCAUAUGGAUCAUAAGGGAGCUGGAGGAGAGCGUGGGACCUAUUCAAAGAGAUGGAAAGUAAUGAUGUGCAACCAGAUGCCAUUGUAUGUUCAUCCCUCAUGGAAGCAUUGAAUAAUGGAAGCCAACCUGAAAGGGUCCUUCAGUUGAUGAAAUUCAUGAAGCAAAAACAGAUACCAUUGAACCAAAAGGCUUAUUUUGAGAUAAUAGCUUCAUGCAGCAUGUAUGUUUAUCCACCGUCUUAAGUUGCAUGUGCACUGUAACUAGUUUAUUAUUGUUGAAAUAGUAUUCACUGUCCAUUAUUAUUUUAACUUGUUAAAUGCAUAUAUACGUUGAUGUAGUGACACAAUGUUGGUAGUUUGCACGACAUAUUUAGGUGUGGGUAACUUUCUGGUUUCUGCCACGUUAAAUAGUAUUAUGCAGACGAACUUUUGUAUUACGAUUUGUAUUUAUUAUGAUACCAUUUGAGAUAGCAGGAUAAAACCUUGGGGUGGGUGAGAUCUCUCUUAUUUCUGUUUGAUCAAAAUUUUUUAGUUCACAAACUGAUGUUUGAGGCUACCGGGUCUGUUUGUUUGCUUACUCUGUUCAAAUGAUAGUUCAGUAAUUCAGUGACAUCGUCUUUUUUUUUUACUAGUUGAGCAUUUGCAGUUUUAGAAAGUGAGCCCCUGUAGUCUGCACUUUAGCUAUUAUCAUUUGGAUCAUGUCUUGCUUUUGUCUUGUUUCCAUGCAUCUUUAAUGUUCUAUUUUUCAUUUGUUCUAUUUCUUUUGAGAGGUUACUAGUGCUGCUAGUUUAACUAGGGAGACCUUUGAUGCUCUGCAACAGGCUACGGGAAUGGAAAACAGCCAGUGAAAUAAUUGAACAAUUGGAUUCCUCCCUCUCAUCCAUUUCUGUUGGCACACUAAACCAUCUUUUGAAUUUUCUUGGAAAAUGUGGCAAGACAGAGAGCAUGAUGAAGGUAUAAUUGGCCCCUUUAACAUAGGUGUCGUUCUAUAACCUCUUUGUAUAAUUUUCAACUUCGACAUAUGAUGGAAUUAAGUACCUUGGUAUCAUUUAUUUUCAGUACGCAGUCCAUACCUGUCAGUAAUUGCACUGGUGCAAGUGAAUGUUAUCCUAAAAAAAAACAGUAUUGUUCAAUAUUGACAUGAGCAAUUCAGAAAGAGAGAUUCCUAAUUUCAGAGGAAUCACUACUUUUGUAUGAUCUUAAUCUUUACUGAAGUGGUUUUAAUGCCACCAAUGUGCGACAGCAACAUGUAGAUCCAUGCAUCUCAUAUAUAUUGCUGGUCUCUACCAAAUAAAAUGAUUCAAGGGUUAAGAAUACUACUGACAUCUAUACUGGUUUUAACUCAUCUCCACUUCUUUUGUGAAUAUAUUUGAUGCUUGAGGAACACACAGACUUGUUUUGUACACUUGUGAGAGAAAACAGUUUCAGUAGUGGUGCUUUGUCUGUGGGGUGUGCAAUUCCUGUUGCUGCUUCCCCAUGAACUCUUUCAAGGAUGAGACUAAGCUUAUUGUUAUGAUUUUCUAUCCUGCAGCUGUUCUAUAAGAUGGUGACUUCAUGCUCUACUGUGGGCCUUUCUACUUAUACGGUUCUGCUGAGAAACCUUUUAGUUGUUGGGAAAUGGAGAAAGUAUAUUGAGGUAUACAGGUCAUAUCAUUAGGCAGCUAUAUUGUUACAUUUGAAUAGUAGCUGAUGGGUCCUUCAAAAAAAAGAUUCCCUUAAAAGAUAAAAGAACGACAUUCUCUAGAUUCCAUCUACAAUUGCUAAAUUGUGAUAAGAUGAUUGUGUAUUAAAGAUCUGCCAUUUUUCUUUUGGACAAGAACUCCAUACAUUUUUUUUCUGUUUGACAUCUUUUGUCUUGGUCUUUUGUUGUGAAACCUGGAUCCAUUAUGUCCUGUUGUAAAAAUUAGAAUUGUGGCAAAUUCAACAUUCUGCCUCCAACAACUGUAACAUAAGCAUUUUAAAAUUGGGGUGAUUAAUAUUUGAUUGGAAAUAUGUGAAACAGGGGGAAAAGAUGGAUGAUAGUUUGCCUUUGUUUGGCCUAUGUAGGUGUUGCAGUGGAUGGAAGAUGCUGGUGUCCGUCCAACACUAUAUAUGUAUCAAAGUGUACUUCCAUAUAUCUGGAGAGACAACAGUAUGGACUAUGUUACUCUCAUGCAAGAAAAAAUAAGUAUGGCACUUUCUAAUCUUAUUAUUAUUUACAUAAAAAACGUGUUAUUGUUCUUUAAUGUAAUAAUAUCUUUAAAUAUUAUUUAUAUUCAGUAUUGACCUUGUUAAAUCUGGAAUGUCCAGCUUGGACUUUGGAGGCAAGAUAUGAAUCCAGUUCAUCUCAUGUUUUGAAAUUUCUCAAACUAAGCUGCUGCAAAAUAUAAUCAUUGUAUUUUGUUGACCUAGCAGGGUUCAUGCCUGCAAAGUUGCCAUUGUUAAAUUACUGUUCUUCUUCUUAGGCCUUUGUAUUUUCAUGUUUCAAUAGUUUCCGUAUUCUUAAUUCAUGUUUUCUGCGAAGUGUUAUAUUUUUUAUAAAAAUGUUUUGAAUCAACUUAUUAUUAUAGUAUGCUAUGUUAUACUGAUGAAUAUUGGGAGGAAAUAAGCUGCAACAUGCCGCUACUUCAAUUAAUCCAUGUAUUAGAGGGAAAAAAGAGUUAUACAUUUAAUUAGCAAAUGACUCUUUUGAUAAACUAGAGUGAGAUAUAAAAAGGAGCUAUGUGAUUUACAAAGAGUACCAUUGCACUUGAUUGAAUGUUUGGCUCCCUUUUCUUCCUUUGAAUCUUCAAUUGUCUGAUAUGCUCCUUCAUGUCUAACUCGAACCACUGGUUUUUAAGUGUAGUUGUUUUACCUUUCCCAGCUGUUUUUCAUACCUUUUGAUUCCGUUUUAUUUUUACAUGAUAGUGAAAAAAAAAUCUCUUUUGGACUUUUGGUGAGUGCAACAUACAUGUAUGAUGAAUUAAAGUGACUUUUGUUGAUCAGUUCACCAGUAGUGCUUUUUCUAUAUGUUUUUUGCUACUCUCUUUUAUGUUUCCAUUUCUCCAUUCACUAGGUGAACAAUGCAUAUUUUCCUGGAUGACGCAUUUUAUCUUUGCUCAUAUCAGAUGCAUUGAGAGAGAAGGUAACAUGACUCCAGAUAUUUCUGCAUUUGUUUGAUACGGAGUACUAGAAGUCUAUAACCGAAUAUGGAAGGCGGCAUCAGAUUGAAGCUAGCAGCAUUCAGGGAGGACAGGAUUGUGAGUGUGCCCUAGUUGGCAUGGAAGCAACUUCCUCAUUAUUGAGAAAAAUGGACAUAGUAAGACUUUUUUUAAUAUGAAAGAGUUCAUAGGUAUUACCUGUUUCCAUGUUAAGCUGUCUUACCGAGUUACUGAUAUUCUGCUUAGGGACUUUGAGAACUGAGAAAUGGACAUGAUUCUACAAUUGCGAGGUUGGCUUGGAAAAAGCAUGACCCCAUGAAUCAUCUCUAUGGCUAAGAUGAGAGAAAUUGGGAUACUUGUUACCUCUAUGGCUUGGCUUGGAAAAAUUAGGUUAGUCUAGUAGAGCAGAGUCUUCCAUUCACCACCUAGAGUUUACAAUCUUGUAUGGCCAUUGUAGUAGCACUUCUUCGACGUUGUAAUUUGUCAAUGUCUUUCAAGUAAGCAGUUUUCCCAUCUUGUAUCAUAUUGGUUUGAGAAUAAUUUUGUUGUGACGAUGAAAAGGAGAUCAUAACAGGGAACACUGUAUAAGGCUUUAUGAAAAAUAUAGAGAUGGCCGUAUGAACAAAUUAGUGAUAUAUGAUGAUAUAUGCAAUUGCAGGCAGGGAAACUCUAGGGUGACGCCAUACCUGAUCAGUAUCAAGACUUCAAGAGUCAAACACAUUUUAUCGUAUGUUAAAGAUUUUGGAAUAAAAUAGGGUGUCACGCAAUCUGAGAUUGAGACCUUGAAUAUACUACACUAAUUAUAGUUAUAGUAGGCUAUAUUGAAAAGUCUUUGAGUGUUUCCAAUCACCUGUCAUGCAUGACAAGCACUGUGUUUCAAGUCGAAAAGGUGUAUUUCCUUAAGUGUAGUCCUUUAGGUUGGGACUAGAACGUGAUUUUCCUAGCUCACUUGAUCCAUGUAUGAGAUCUUUUCGAAAUGAUCAGUUUAGACACCAAAGUUUCUCUGAUUGGAGUUGGGACGUGGGAGAUAUGGCCUACACAAUAUCUGCUGCUCUUGCGAGACUUUGAUCUUCCAAAUUUGAGCUUCCUUUGGCUUGAGCACGAGAUUAGCUUGAUAAACCAUCAAAUGAUUCACCUAAGUCUUUUGGAAUGAACGUUUCAUCGAAUGUGGACGCAUUUUUCUUUUUAAGUGUACCGGGUUGAAGUUUUAUUGAAAAGAUACAAAGAAAAUUACAUCGAGCCCCUUAAACAAGCACCCCUGAAAGUAAAAGAAAAAUACAUUGAAGCUCAAAAGAAGUACUCCCAGUGGUCUCCGCCGCCGUCGACCGUUGCCGCCGCAGCCCGGUUCUCUUCCACCGCCUGCAGUGAAGAAUCAUACCAAGGAUGAAGCUCGAGGCCGAUACCCGUGUCGACGAAGAGCACUUACAGUUUGAAAUGCCAAUCAGUUGCACGCCAAACUUGACAUGCGCUUGAGACGCUAAACGCUCCAGCAGAUGGCUGAAAGCCAUCACUCCGUCGUAGAAACUAGGAUCUGGCGCCUGUCACUUCACUGGCCAACCCCAAUCGACAAACAGCUUACCUAGAAAGGGGAUCCAUAACCACCAACCCGACUGCAUAGGACAUACCUCACAAGGUAAUCACUGGUGGAGAUUGCGCGGUGGCCGUCCUUGACUAUGGCUCCGACAUCUUCACCAAAAGAACCUCAGAGGGACAAAAGAACUGGUGGGUAGCUCAUCUCCACUAGAAACCCUAAACUACAGAACCUGCCUAAACUAUGUAAUAUAUCUACGCGACCAGCCGCCGAUUGACUAGAGUCCCUCCACCUCCGACGCCGGCGAGGGCAUCAAAAGCGAGGUGCUGGUCAAAUCGGCGGCGGAUCGGAUUUCCACUCUAGGGUCGCCUCUGUGUAUCGUGUGAAGAGGAAAGAAGACUCGAGAGAAUGUGGACGCAUUUGGAUAGCAAAAUGGGCUAAGGCCCAAUUGGCCCACCUUCUUUUAGGCCCUGCUGCUGCUUAUUUUUCUCGUGUAGACUCCUUGCAUUGUCCAAAGUCCAUGUCUAUAUGAAAUCGAACCAAAACCGCCUAUUUAUAUCGUAUUUCUUGUCAUUUUGCAACACUGUCCAAAAUACAACAUAUGUUAAUAUCGGGUUAUUUUAGAUGCCAAGUGGUGGGUUACUUAUAAUUAGUUCGAUAAUACCGUUAAAAUAGUACUGAAAAGGUUCCAUUAAUGAGUGUCAAUAGAGGGUGAGACUAGACAUGCGAAGCCAAAACACAAGAUGAUCCAAUGCCCUAGGGAUCACACACACAAAACUCAAAUACAAACUUUUUGAUUCAAACGACCUACUUUGCAGCUUCAGAUGCUAUGAUGUAUAUUAGCCUCUAUCUUGGAAUUGAGAUUUCUUUGGGUGUCUACUGAGGCAAUACAAUACCAAGCUUCAAUAAUUUCUAUUAGUUUUGGAAGCUAGUGUCAGCGUAGCCACUGAGGUCCAAUUAGUUAGAGUUCUUCCUGAUUCUCUCUGUGGGAAGAGAAUAUCUCAGAGAAGUGAUUUUGUGCAGAAAAUGAACUAGGAGAAGCUAGUUUUUCAGUUCUCAGCCCUUUAGUUCAUUUUAUUUCAAGCCGAGAAUCACUUCUCUAUUAAAUAUCUUUGAGCAGAGUUCCUUCGGCUUGGGAGAUGCUUUGGAAACCCGCCAAAUAGACCAAAUUAAUGAGCUUUCUUCUUACUUUUUUCAAACAACAAACAUAUCAUUAGUUCUUGUAAAGCACUUGAGGAUGUUCUAUAAAGCAAUCUUCGAGGGUCACCAGGGCUUGAUUGGUACCUUCUCAUAAAAAUUAGAGCAGAGAUUUCUGGGAAUGUACAAAGCAUGCAUACAUUAUGGUUCAUAUAGCCAAAGUGUGUGGAGGAACACUCAUAUCCUGUCCUACUCUUCAAUUGUUGAGGGACAUUGAUCCCUUUAAGACUAGUAUCAUCUGACAAUGCUGAGAAACCAUUCUUAUAAUUCUAAAUAUUGAGCUAUUUUGGUCACUUGUCAAUCUAUAGCUUUAGCUUAAUCUAAUUAGCCUCUUCGAUCUAUCUUUUAUACAUCUUUAUUGUGCCCAACAUGUAAGCUACCUCUAAAUCUUUGAUUGAUAAAUUGUCUCUUGAAGAAGAGUGAAUAACUUCUUGCAUUGCAAUAUCAUUCAUGACAAUAAUAUGUCAUCCGUAUAUAAGAUUAGAACUGCAAGGAUGCUCCCACUAGCCUUCUUAUAAAUGCAAGGCUUUUCAUCAAUCUUGAUGAAACCAAACUCUUUAUAGAAAACUUUAGGAAAAUAGAUAUUUCAGCUCUGAGAUGCUUACUUCAAUCUAUAGAUAGAUUUAUGAAGUUUGCAUAUUUUAUCAGCAUUUUUCAGGCCAACAAAACCAUCAUGUUAUGCCAUGGGUACACUUCCUCACUUAUGUCUCCAUUAGGAAAGCUAUUUUGAGAUCCAUAUGACACAUAUCAUAGUCAAAAUAAACGUGACAAUUGCUAGGAGGAUCUAAAGGCUUUAGCAUUGUGCCAGUCAAAAAUGUCUCAAACAAGGUUAGUUGUACAAAUGUACGGGUACUAUCUAGACAUAUGAUGGAAACUGAAAUGGUAUAAUUCUUUUACAUACCAUGCAUACCUAAUUGGUCAGCCCAGGUUCCACCCUAAGGAUGCAUGGCAUGCUAUCCGAUUCUCAGGUUUAAAUCUCCAAGACAAGGAAGUACAUCUUGACCUCCUUAGAGUGUUCUAUCUGGUUGGGUAGGACUCAGUCAAAAAUAAGUCGCCUUGCCCAUCUGACUACACAAACUUUAUCAAUACAUGAUUAUAUUUUACAUAGGUAAAUCUUGCAUGGUUGUACAAUAUAAUCACAGAUAUAUGGUGGGGAUUUUUUUUGACUCUAUGACGUGGGAAGGUGCUAACACGGUGGUACUAUUGUAGUAGGUGGCCUACUUUGGCACUUGACCCACCAAUAUUAUUUCCUUUUUUCCAUCGCAACCCACCUACCUAUUUCUCCCUCCACUAUCAAUCCACCCACCUCCCCCUUUCAAAACCCUAAAACGUGCCCUUUUCCCUCAUCUCCACUCCCCCAUCCACCCUAGAAUUCUAGACAGCGCCGCCACAUCUCUUUGGAGGCGCCUAACCUCGUCAUGGUCUAGCGGUCAACAGUAGAGACAUCUCGAAGCGCAAAGUUUCUGGUAUGUAGUCAUUCAUGGAUUCAUAUAUAGAUCUAGAUAAAAAGUUUGAAUCAACAGAGGGAGAAUCAUCUUUGUUUGGGACUCUUGGCUUGUAUAAUUGUGGUGUGGGGAAAAAUUUACAUGCCGACGUGUGUAUAUUUAGGGUGAACAAAAUUGAAUCUAUAGAAGGAUAUUCAACCUUAGCUAGGAUCUUGCUUAUUUCCGCGGCUGGCGGCAGCAUUUCUCACAAGUGUGGUGAAGUGGGGAUUCUCUCACAUCUUGUGUCUCGUUGAUUCGGCAUUCAAAGGUUGCUACUUCUUUCUGACCACGCGGUGUGGAAACACGCAUCUGAUGCAUGGCAUUUGGCAUGAUUUUGGCUUUUUUUCGCCGCUGCCGCCAGCUAGCCAACCAUUGAAACAAAAGGGUCUAGGAAAUAUCCUGAUUUGUAUAUUUUAAUUCUAGAUUUUCUGGAACCACUUUUAUUCUUAGCAUUGUCUUGUGGGGAAAUAAUUAUUUAGAUGCCAAUUUACAUUGAUCUGUACAGCAUGGACUUCCAGAACAUCAAAUCAUUUAUUGUUGGAUAAAAGGGUUUUGGUCCAACUUUUAUAGAUAGCAAAAUAUUCCACUGGGGCACCAGCUUUACAAGAUAAGCUCAGAUGCAUACUCUUCUGAUCCAAUAUUCACAUGCUUGCAUGAAAAUAAGAUUGUGCUUUAUUUGUUUGUUGCAUUGUAGAUUCAGUUGCUCUUGACAUCCUUCCAAGGUUUAUAGGGAACUGAUGCCAUUUGAAAAUAUCUCUAUUCACACACUAGAUAGUUCAAAAACAUCAAUGGUGCACCUAAACAUUGUAUGAUCAGUUGUUUUCUUGCACUCUAAAGUUUAAGGCCAAUUUUUCUUCAACACGUGCUUGGCACAUUGAGUCCUAUCCUUAUAUACUUGCCACAAAAUACUUUAAAUUUAAUGGUAAUUUAGCUUUCCUUACUCCAAGCAUUCUACUAUCAUACUAAGAAGUGGUAGAAAAAUUCUCUAAUCUUUCCUGAACCCAGCUCAAUGUAUCCAUUUCUUCAUGUAACUCCACUGUUGGCAACAGAUCCACUAGUUCCUGCCAUUCAGUCAUCUCUAGAGGACCAAAAGAUGUUCGAGGUACUAUCGACUUUGAUAAUCACUUAUCUUUACAAUCAAUUCUAGCCCAAGAACUGUUGGUUUAGGAUAGAUUUGGUCCAAAUUUGUAGCUAUACUUUAAAAAUUCAAAUGAAUCCCUCACUGGGCCUCCCCAAAAAUUAUUGCUAGGUUGCCAGCCUUUGGUAACACUGUGGUCCUACAAGAGGGUAUUGUGGCAGUGGUCGUCAGCCUAGGUAAGGGUCGGGACUUAUAGGGUGAGCCUGGGGUUGGGUUUUCUCAGCUGGUUUGACUGAGGUUUAUUCUUAGUGUAAAUCCAUUUUGUGAUGUUCUAUUCUACACCUAUUGGGUUAUUUUCAUUAAAAUGAUGAUUAACAUGUUGCAUAUGAAAUGCAUACAAAGCAUAUGUGGUUUCUUUUUUUGGGGGGGCAUUGCGAAGCAUAAGGUUGCGAGUUUGACCAUUUCAGUCCAUUUUACUCAUAAAAUGGUCUAACUAUGUGAGUGGUGAUGGGUGGCCACCUAGUAGCCUUCUGGUGCAUAGAGUUAACUUUUGUAUUUUUCUUGAACUAAAAAUCUUUUUUAAACAAAAUAACAUGAAAGUUGGUUCAUGGCUACAAACAACUUUGAAAAUCAGUUUUUCCAUUAGCUCCCAAACCGACUAUGAUAGUGUGGGGGACUAAUGACGAUAAAAAUAGUUCUGUAUCCACAGUAGAGGUAGUUUUUGUAGUAGUGUCUCCUCCCAAUAAAAGGGAUCCUUCAGUUCUCAAGAUUUUUUAUAUAAAAAGUUUUAGUAGAAAUGCAGGUUUCAUUCAUUCUAUGCUGGGCCAACCUCCCAUUGAAAGGAGUGACACAUCUAUUGGGAAUAUUGAUGCUUGAAUUUUUUUUCUUCACACUCCAUUUCAGUAGCACCAAGUUGCCCGGUUUCACACCCCUAAAGCACACUCCCACCCCCCUAGGAGUCAAAUUCCAUGCAAAGUUUCUGUUCUGUGAUUGUGAAAUCAACCUUUAUAGUCUCUUGCAAAUUAAAGCAUAGAUCAAUAUCCACUCUAUGUUAUAACAUCUAUUCCUUGUGUGUAGGGAGGUCUGAGAUUCUGUUUGCUGCUUUGUUUGUCCCAAUGGAAAAGGGUGCAUCUAGAAGAACAAGAGCACAGGAGGAAUCAAGAUGUCCAAGUACAAAUAGUGAACCUGAUGACAGACCAGCAGAGCAGCAGUGUAAUCAUUUCUCCAUAAGGUAACAUCUUUUCUAUAUGUGCAGAUGGAUGUAUGAAAAAUUUAUAUAUCCAUUUGAAGUUGUAGUCAUGAGUUUUGUUUAACUUAUGUUUCUCUUAAUUGACAUUUUUUUCAUUUCUUGUUUGAUGUGUUUUUUCUUUAAUUUUGUUUACUCUUAAUUCGUUAUCAUCUAGAGAACUCCUAAUCUUCAGGGAUAUAUAUAUAUAUAUAUAUAUAUAUAUAUAUAUAUAUAUAUGGAUGCAUAUCUAUUUCAGUUAGGUGUAUCUGCUUAUUUUCCUCCUAUAUUUCUAGAGACAUAACAAUGAGAUUGUUUGUUAUGGUGGUGUGCUUUGCUUUCCCUUAGGGGUCGGAAGGCCCGGUUCAAAGAGGAAUUUUCUUUGAUCCUUUAAAGGGCAAAGCCCUCUUUGAAAGUAGAUUUAGAAUUUUGGUUUUGUAAGUUUCAUUAAAGUCUGUUUUGCCUUUGUCUUUUUCGCCUAGGGCCUUGUAACUUGUACAUAUAUAUAUCUUAAAAUUUCUAAAAAUUCAGUAGGGGUCUCCUUGCUGAAAAAAAAAACACCAUAUAUCCGUUCACGUAUUGGAAGAAACAUAUAUUCCUUAUGCAUUUCUCAUAUCUAUAGUAUUGCCUAAAAUUUAGCUACCAUUUUCCUAUACAUAUAAGAAGGUGGUUAACUGGAACAGUUUUUUCUCUCCAUGUUUAUAUGAUUUUCUUUUUCUUUAAUACUUCCAUUCUGAUAAUACCUAUUUCCAUUUUUUUUGCAAACUAGUUGCCACAUUUUGUUUCUUAAAACAACUCCUUCAUUAGUCUAAUCCGUUAUUGUUAAUAUGUCACAUUUUGCCCAGUUAAUAUUCUCCUACUGCUUCGCUCAUAAUUUUGCUCUUCACAAAAGGCUGUCUUUUCAUUUUCACGAUAAAACUAGUGUUUCGGUCUUAGUUCGCAAACUCUCUCUCUCUCUCUGUGUGUGUAUGCGCUCGCGCACGUGAGUGCGUGCAUGUGUGUGUGUGUGUGUGUGAAGAAUCUGCAUAGUUCUCAGCGCUUUUAUCUCUGAAAUAAUAUCUCUAUGUAUUAGUAUUGCACCUUAAUUAGUAUACACCUAGAAUUGUGUGCUUAUUUGAAAACGGUUUGAUAUAGUCUUGAUUUUGUAGCCUUCAAUCGCUGUCUUUUCAUGUGAGUAUAACGUGCGUAGCUACUCAUGAUUUUGAAGCCCUUCAAUAUCUUCUCAUUAUUGGUGCAAACAUUAUUUUCUUGUCUCAUGGAUCAUUUCUGCUCCUUACAGAAGUUCUAUCGCUUUGCUUCAGCAAAAGGAUCCAAAGUUGUCUCAGAUAUUUUAUGGCCAGAAGCACGAUGAAGAAAAAUGCAAAUAUCUGUGUCCAAUUUCAGGGGGGCAGUUUCGACGAUGGAACUGCCCAAAUUGUUUGAAGAAAGUUCAAAAUGCAGAUCAUGGAACAAAAUCCAGAACUAUUUCUGUGAAUCAGGAUGGUUGCUCCAUUUCAUUUAUUCGGUCAUUUAUGACUAGUAGUGCUGGUCGAUCAACUCCUUCGAAGUGUUCUCAAGAAAGCGAUUUAAAAUGCAUCUCACCUUCUUCCAGCAACAAAGGAGUUAUUGAGGAAAAUGUUUAUCCCGCCAUGAAAGGUAUUGUGAACUUGCUGGAUUAGAAGAAGAUGCAUAGCUGCUUUAGCCAUAAGUUGUUGUGUGUUUUCUACAUUUUCUAUGUUCAUAACUUUUAUUUGUGUACAAUAACCUAAUCAUUUGAUAUUUUGAUGUUAAUUAUAUCUCCAGAUUUACAGGCCUCAUCUAGUAAUCAUGAUGUGAAUAGUGAAUGCAAUGUGUCAGGUGUCCCUAAACCAAUAAACGUUCACAGUGGCAAUCAAGUCUACAACAGGGUUCGACAUGAAGCAUCUUCAAAAAGAAAUGAUAUUUCACAUCUCAAGGUUUAUUAGAGAAGGUCAGGAAAGAAGAGGCUAUUAUCAGAGAUUACAGAGAGUGACCACGUAGAGUGUCCUGCCGAUAAAGAUGUGCAUCAAGAUUUUGCAUCCUCAUUUGGGAAUUUGAACCAGAAAAAACUGUUGUCGACUAAUAGUGCCAACCAUGCUGACGAAAACAUGCAGAAUAGUAACCUGGAGGAAAAUAUGAAGGAUGAUGAUCAGUACAACAAUGUUACUGAGAACUCCAAACAGAUGUUCUUGUCGAAGGGUGAAUCAACUAUUUUCAUAAAGAGAAAAUUACAGCCAAGUGCCAGUGCCCAGAAUGGUGAUGAGACCACUGAGAGCUCUCCUCCCACAUCACAUAUGGAGAGCUCAUUAUUACAGGUUCAGACUGCAUCCGUCACAGGUGCUGUCGACGAUGUGCACCCGACGACAUUACAUAUUCCUGACCUUCUGAAGUGUCUCCAGGAAGAACAAUCACAUUCACACAUGGAACAAGAAGUGACAAUUGCAUGUGGCUCAUCCACAUUUUCACAUCCUCAGAACAUUGCUGAAGUGUCCCGGAUAAGUUUUCCGACGGAACCAACCAUGGGAGCUAAUGACUUGUGCGAUGGAGGAAUGGCUCGACAGUCAGGCUUGUAUCCAGGGGAAACCAUGCCUGCGAUGCAUCUUCCAAGACUGAUGGAUUCAUCAAGUGCAUUAGGGUUUCUAAACUAUGAAGUACCUAAUACAAACUGGAUGGGUUCCCAGUAUGCACAUAGCCAGUACCAAACAUCACUCAGCGCAUCAUACGGAAGUCAUCUAAUUGAAGAGGUUCCAUUGACACUGGAAGACUUAUCACGGCAUAAUGUCCAGCAGGAUUUGUGUAGACCUUUCCGACCUCAUCCUAGAGUUGGUGUGUUUGGUUCCUUGCUGCAGCAGGAUAUUGCAAACUUGUCUAAGAACUGUGUGUGUGGGAAACAAUCUGCUGGCUAUAGACUUGGAGUGGCCAAAGGGACAGCAUCAUUUGACUGGAACAGAAAAGAAGAUUAUGAUGUCAGUCAGAAAAUGGAUCAAUCAUCGGACAGGUUUGGCAAGAAGACAGAUAUGUGUGAAUGAUUUUACUACAAUUAGUGACAGGAAAAAGAAUAUCUGAGGCAGACUGCUGCGUAAUUAUAGUACAUUUAGAUUCAUAAAUUUCACCAUGCUAGCAGCAAGGAAUGAACACUAUAAGAGGGCAGAUUUGCUGAAUCUUUUGCGAGGUAUAUAUAUUUUUUUCUUGUAACAGAAUCACUCAGACGAAAAGGAAUAUUUACUUACUUUUUGUAACAUGGUGCAUGCAGGAUCUUUGUAGCAUAAUCGAUGGGCUGUUAGCGGAAAAUGGAGGAAUCAAGGUCACUAUGGGCAAGAAGUGUAGUCUCCACUUUAUGUUUGUGAUGUAAUAGGUGACCUCCAGAAGCUUUUGGACACCCCUCCAUAAAGUUUUGUUUAUACAAGAGAAACAUUUAAGCCAGUGACCACAGGAUGGUUUUUGCCCGUUUUGUAGCGACUAUAAAGGUUGCACAAUUGAUGUUGUCUCUGUGUUUUGACAAUGUGAUAGGUUGGCAAACUAGUUUUGGUUGUGGCAUGUUGUAAAACAUCAGAUUCCUAUGCUCUAGUGAUAAAUAUAUGCUUCUUAUUUAGUUGUUUUUGUACGAUUUAAUCUAGGUGUAUCCAAAGAGCCAGAUAUUUCUUCUUUUUGUGUCAGACGUUGUGGGAAUGUCUAUUAAGCUCAUGGAGUUUUGCAACAUGAGGUUGCAACCUGUCAUCCGAAAUUAUAUGUACCAUACGAUGAUAAAUGAAUAGCAUGGGGUCACACAUGAAUAGACCAGGCGCACGGGCAUAAACACAUGUAUGCAUAUGUGUGUUGCACACAUAAAUACAUACUCCCUCCAUACUGGUAAAGAAAGUCGUUUAGGACAGCAUUUAGCAUACCAAGAAGUGAUUAAUAAAGGUAGAGUUUUCCCUGUCUACCCCUAUUUAAUGCAGUUGCAGGUGUAUCCUAGACAACAAACGCACACAGCUUUGAUUGGUUAGGGCAGCGAGUCGGCGCCGGUUUGGAUGCAUGGCGCGCGCUGCUAUUUAAGUUGCGCCCGUGCAACUCGCCUGGACAGGAACGAGCGAGUUCAUUUGCUAGCUUAGAGUCACACAGCAUGGCCACUUCAUUUGGUAGCUUUGAUCUAAACGUGCCGGUACUGGAAGACGAAGACGGUAAUGGUGGGUUCGACCUCAACGAGCUUCCGUUGGAAACCGGCAACGGUAAUGUCUCAUAGAUUCCUGUUUCACAUAGCCAGUUCAUUUCUUACUAGUUCAAUGCUUCUUUUUGGAUAGGAUUUGAUUUGGACUUGCCAUUGGACGAAUAUAGUGCAGUUGAUUUUGAUUUUGUACAAAACCUCGCUGGUAAGAUAAACCUUGCUUGCUUUUUUAAUUACGCUAGUGUUUUUUUUUGAAUAGUACACACAUCUUCUAUCGUUGGAUCGAGUGUGUUUGUUUUUUUUUUACAACUAGAACAUGCUGUUGAGGCUCCUAGAUUAAAUCAUACAAAAACAACUAAAUGCUGUUGAGGCACACUCGCUAGCAGUGGCGGAGCUGGGAGUCAAUCCAUAGGGGGCCGAUUGCUACAGUAUAUCAUGCCUAUUGCCUAGUAUUAGCGCCUGCUCUAAAUAAAAGUUAUAAAAACUAGGAAAUGGAUGAUUUUUAGGGAAGCAGCUCUUGAGGUUUAGACUUUAGAAGCAAGAAAAAAAGAUAAAAGAAGCAAAAUCUGAAUUACAGUAGGUAAGCAGAUAAAACUGAUGAUUAACUAACUGAUACUAAUAUGGACUAGCGCUGGUAGUAAUAAUAUCCAAACUAGCAAAUGAACUAUUUGAUGAAAGUCAAAAUGCAUAGGAGAAUAUACAUGCAUGCAGCCAUGCACAUAUGCACGAGUAGUGCGCACGCAAUAAAUAUAGGCUUCCAUCCUUCCUGCAUGAUCUGCUGCAGAUGCAUAUGUCAAACAUAAAUUGUUGGUCCGUAGAGGGGCGGGGGGAGCUCACUGUGGCCCUAAAGAGGCUCCGCCGGUGCCUACUAGUGAGACGGCGAGCUAGGCGACAGCCUUCAACGUCGUUGUCAUCAUGGGUAGUGCCGCAGCGAACACAGAGCGCAGGUUGGGACUCCGGCAGCAAGGAUUGCUGCUCAAGGCCGUCCUCCGUCGUUGUCUCCAUGGCGCCAGCAGCAAGGAUCUUGGAGUCCUGCUCGAGGCUGUCCACCGUCGCUAUCUCCAUGGAGUCCGGCGCCAACUCCUCCGACGUCACAGAGUCCGCCGCCGCAUCCAUGGGCGCGCGAGGAAGCGGCGAGGCGAGGAAGGGGCGAGUGCGAGGAAGCGGCGAAGAGACGCGAGCGGACGACGAUUAAGAUGGCGCGGCGCGGAUGAGAAACGAGGAAGCGCGGAGCGGUGCGGAUGGGAAACGAGGCACGGAGCGGCCGUGUAAAUGAGCGGAGCGGUGCGGACGGCAAUCGAGGCAGGCGCACUUCCGAACGACGAUUCCUCCAGAAUGACUUCCUUUUCAGAUACGGAGGAGUACGUACAUUAAUUCAUACGCACACAUGAUACAUAUGUGUGUUGCAUGAGAAGUUGAUGAUGAUGCUUGGAGGGACCAGUAGGAGCUCAUGCUUCUGCGUUGAACAAGCAAGCAUGGUAAAGAAUCAUGUUCAAUUGAACAGAUCCAGAACCAAAUAGCAUAAAAUGGCGCAACACUGAUUAGAUGAAACUAGAUGACUAAUUCAUGCGGCGGAUUCUACUAAUUGAGAAGGUGAUCCCCCCAUAUGUAUUAGUGGAAGUUCCCCAGCAUAUUUUGCCAACCUUGAGCACAAAAGUAAAAGCAAUGGCAGGGGAACUGGGGAAUGCUCCCCUGACAUUUGCUCCCAACAGCGUUUAGACUCUGUCCGACAUUCAGGGAAGACACCUGAGCUUGAUAAAGAAACUGAGGUUCUGCUCCACCAAUGGAAGGUUGCCGUCAUGCGAGCAGAGUAUCAAACCCCACAUCAGACUCUGAAACCGGCAAGGAACUUUGCGGAUGCUGCUAUCGGCGGAGACGCUUGGCCCCCUGGGCAUAUCAGUUUUAUCAAACAGGGCUCGGUAGCUGAAAUUCUAAACAAGCAUCACAUAGAAAUCUUCAUUUUCAGGAUCCACACCAUCUGAAAAAAACAUUGUUUUGUUUGCUGCACAAUCUCUGUUUUUUUGGGACAAAAGUUGGGCUGUCCAUAAAUAGGGGAUACACAGUUAAGGCAGGUCACAAGCCACAAUCUGCAACCAUUUGGUCAACGGUUUUUGUAUACAUCGUCUAACUCUGCACGCAAGUAACUAAACACUUGGAGACCCACGUAUACGGAUUCAACAGCGAACUAAUUCAUCAUCCAAAUCAUAAAUAACCGGGCAAAUCACGCAACACCCUGGCCUUGAGAAUUCAUCAGAUCCAAGCGUAUUCCUCUCUCCAAUUUGUCUCGAGUUAAUAUCAGCAACACCCUGGCCUUGAGAUUUCAUAGCCUCCCUCUCUACCAUACAAGCACACACCUCGCCGUCCGCCAUGAGCAGUAAUGGUUCUCACAGCGCUGGCUCUUCGUCCUCCAUGUCUUCCAGAGCAUCCUUCCUCCUCUCCGGGACAAGAACCGCUCGGCAUGGUUUUUCAGCUGCCCGUACAGGAAGUUCGCGUGGUUCCAGCAUCCGUCCAAGUUAUAUCCCAUCUCGGCAUUCCUUCUCCACCAGUUACAAUCAUGGCAGAACAUGUUUUUUUUUUUGCUACGGUCUUUUUCUUUUCCUUUUGGUCGCGUGAACUUCGGUUCAUCGUUAUUUCUCUUGUGAUCACUUUGCUUCUCCGAAAAAAAACGUGCUCAGGCACGGUCGCAAACGAUCAUGGCAGAAGAGGUCAGCAGGCUGCUGCGGUAGCAUCGUCGUCAACCUCUCAUUGGUCCGGCGAAGCCGUGCAGCGAAAUGACAGCAUCGUGGCAAGGGCGCCUGAUGGCCACUUCCGUUCGACUCCCCAUCACCAACUGCCACAAGCGACGAACAACGCAUUACCAAACCAAGGUAUGACCUGCUGCUAAUGAAACCUAGCGGCGACUUCUUCUUCCUUUUUGCAAUUCUACGGCAUGUUUCAAGAUGGAGCUUUUAGCCAAUCACAGCAAAAUGUCCCAACCGUUUAAUUUCCUAUAUAUAUAGGACUAGCAUGUCCUCACUCCUCACGCGAUGUAGACAAAAAUUAAAACAAAUUACUCAGAAGUUAGAUGAAAACUAGCUCAACUUUGUAUUGUAUGCCCCAACUCCUACCAAAAUUGUUUUGCAGGCUAUCAUCAUCCCGACCAAGUUUUACGGCGGCAACCUGCAGAUAAUGGCGGCCAUUUUGAUCAGGGCAGUAGGGCAAACAUAAGGGGUGGUGUAUCCCGGCGGCGGCGUCCUUUUAUGUGUUUCUGUUGCUAGGUGAGGUGUUGAUGAUCCACGUCACCAUUCCAUUGGCUUGUACGUGUUGUGCCCGUGCCAAGAUUUGUGUGCGUGCGUGUUCUCUUUCUGAAAUUUCCCAUCGAGGCUAUGCUCUUUCCCCCUUCAACUGAGCUGCAGUGUGUCCUUGUAUGGAGCUGCAUUAGGUUUUAUUCUGGAGUGGUUGUUAUGGAAAAUAAAUACAUGAUCAACUUGCAAGCAGCUUCUUUCAUCGCCUCAGAGUAUUAAGAUGUUCCAGCAAAAUACUCUGAAUACAUCUUAAUCUAUUAUUAUCUUAAUAUAAUAGUGUUAAAAAAUCACCACGUUCGCCAAGAGUAGCUAGAAAUUAUCACGAUAAUCAAAAAAUAAAAAAAUAUACCGUUGGAUUUAUGAAGAUCCAACGGUCUAAACUUUCCUAAAGAGUUCAUAUUAAAUACAUCCAAUAAAUACAUAAUUUUAGAAUCAAACAAAUAAGUAGAAAACUAGGCAGCCUCUUAAGUGCCAUCUACCGUGAGCUCAGCCAUGAGCUCGAUGAUAAGUGAGCCACACACGCACACACGUGCGCACGCACAAAGUUUGUUGAAUACGAUUGAUAUAUACUUUAAUAUAAAAGUAAAGUAAUAAAAAAUUCGACUUUAUGAUAAUCUAAUGGUUUAGGUUAAUCAAAAAGAUUUGAUGACAUUAUUAAUAUAUACUUUAACUUAAUAUUAAAUCAAUAAAAAAAUUGUACUACUCUAGAUAAAUUUGGGGUGAAAUAAAAUAUCCAUGCAAAUAACAAAUAAAUAAAUAAGUAAUUAUAAGGAAAUAACGAAAAAUGGUAUUUCAGUUUCCAAUGAUAAUUAGAAGCAAACUAUUUAAAUAAAGAGCAAGGUACCUAAAUUUUUCGUCCUACCGACACUACUGGUAUACCUUUAUUUGCUAUUUUUUUUAGAAACACAGAUUGCGGAAGCUUACAAAUACGUACGCCCACUCAUCCCCAUGAAUACACAUAUGCAAUCCUAUCCCUAUAAGCACCUCCAAGAGACUGAGCCGACUAAUCCUAGGCGCCUCGCUGUCGAUGGGCAUAUCGCCUACCACUGAAAGAAUAGCGCCGGUUAAAUCCUGGAAUAAUCCAGGAAAAUACGAGCAUCGGUGUUGAGUCUAGGUCUCGAACCCGGAUGGACAGGUUCCAUCAUAAGGAACCUUACCAGCUGAGUUGCGCUCAGUUCGCUCCUUUGCUGCUUUUAUAAUAACUAGAUAUCCAUUGUCUUGAUUACGUAUGUGUAUGACUUGCUUGAGCAGUUGUCUGGCACUGUAGAGUGCAUCAACUAUGUCAUGGCAAUUGCCCCAUUCUGACCUUUAGUUUUACUAAUUAAUAUUAGGUUGAAAAACUGUAGAAAGAUAAUACAUGCUUCUGCUUCAAGUUAAGCUAUGAACAAAUAAACAAAUAUUAAAUAUUAGAAAUCAAUCCUCAUGGAUGCGUAGCUCCGUAGUGGCUACCAUGGCGUUCAUUGAGCCUUGACAUGCCCUUCAUCACAUUAUCAACAUCUCAAACACCAAUGCCAUUUAAGAAUCCACAAGUGACCCUUAAGAUUGUUAGGGUAUGUUUGCUGGGUCUUCUUCAAUGAAUUCUCCAAUAACUUUUGGUGAAGUUCUACUAAAUAAGUAAAAAUAAAAUGGCUUCACGCAAUAAUCUGACUAAAGCCCCAUAACAUCUUACAAUAGAGAGGAGGAGCCGGAAAAGUGGCUUCACCGGCUUCUUCUUCCUUCUUAAGCUCCAAAGUAUUUUUAAAAUUACUAGAUUAUUGUUAAGAAAGCUAUUUUAAUUUGCUAAAUAUUUUUUAAAACGGCUUCAGCUCAAAAAUAACAUUGAUUUCACUAUUAAAGUCAAGGUUAAAGUCAUUUUAGAAGGAGCCAAAUCGUACAAAAUAGACCAUUACUAUGCAAUUUAGGGAGCGUGACAACAUUAGAAAAUAAUUUCAUUGGAAUGACCGUGGAGAUGUAUAAUGUAGUAGCAAUAGGUUACAUGGAACAACUAAGAUAAAAAAGAAAGAAGAGGAAAAAAAUCAACAUGGAUCGGAUUCUGAGAUAUAAAUAACACCUUAGUUGGGACUGUCUGAAAAAACAAUUACAAUAACACCACCUGAAAAAAUUUAAAGAUUGGAAAAAGAACUAGCUAUCCGCGCAAUUUGCGCGACACCUUGCUAGUAUUAUGUGUUCAGAAGUGAAACACCGUUUGCAUGAUGUAAGCAUCACUGAACCUGGCCUUUAUAAUAAUCUUAACAGCAAACUUUGACAUUUCUGCCAUCGACUAUAUAUUAUGUUGUUCCAUAACUAAGAAUCAAAUUACUAUAUAUGGAUUGUGGAAUAAUUCUAUAUAUCCUCUGAAAAAUUAAUCUAAAUCACGUACCAUCAGGCAUCAGAUCUUAACCGUUUCAUAACCCAUCAAACUUUGAACGCCAUCCCUGACCUGCCUUUCAGAUGACCAGAUUUGAUAAUUAAAUAUCUAUGAAUAUUUUAUUCCCACCAGACAUCUCAGACAAACACAAAGAAAUAGGUGGAUGAUCUUGACGUGGAAUCUGAAGCUGCUAUGCGGUGCGGUUAGAGAGAGAUGGCAAAGUUCGUCGAGAAAAGAAGAAAUAAGAAUUAGGACCUUGAAAUAGGAUCGAGAUAUACAUUUUUGAUCCUAUGUCGAAUGCAUCUAGAUCAGGGCUGUUGCCCCUGGAACAUUAGAACACUACCAGAUGAUGCACCUAACUAGUAACUCCGAUCCGUAUAUAAGAAUAGUGGUAGUUCAUGGUUCAUGCUUAUGCUUUCGUUUUCCCCCUAACCGCCACAGUAUUCUUAUUUUUUUCUUAAUAAAGGGGUAAAAGGAAAAUCACGAAAGGGACCCUGACCUUCUAGCUAACAGAUGGUGGGGCUGCAAAAAGGGGAAUAUCAUAUAUAAUGGUCGCAUUUCGUUUUGAUUUCAUCCAAAUUUAUUUAUUAGAGUUUUUUAUUGUACACAAGACUAAGUUGAGAUUUUUUAGAGGGAAAGGUGUAGUUAGCCCUUGUUGAUGAAAAGAAGUCAUUGUUGGAGAACACAAGUACCAAACCAGUGGGCUCAACAUUGGCUGCGGUUCCACCCUACCACACACAACGCAAGCGCACACACAUCGGCAGCUACCAUGGGCAGGCGUUCUGCCUCAUCAUCUUCCUGCGGGUCGUCGUCUACCACCUCAUCAUACUGCCCCUCAUCGUUGGCGACGCAAUUGACCAUCAUCACCCUAGGGACGCGCCUGACGACGACGACCUUCGCCGCCGGAGCACAGCGAACAGCUCCUCCGACGACCGGCGUCGGAAGCAAGGUGGUGCCGGAAGCGACGAGAUCGCUCCAGUGCAUGCAGUCCAACUCCAACUCCAACCCCAGCACCAGUAGCAGACACUGCCCCCAGCUGCUAUGAUGAUGAGGAACACAUUACCAAAGCAAGGUAAGAACUGGUCAACUUCUUCUCUGUUUUUUGAUUCUUGCAGUAUAGAUAUAUAGUAGCAUCUUUAUUAUUUGUAAAUCCACCCGUUUUGUUCAGGACAUCACGCCAGAUACGAUAACAAUGGCAACGACGCCUACGUACAAAAAUGAGAGGUCGUGCAUCCCGGCGGUGCAGGCGGCGUCCUUUCAAUGUGUUCGGGUUGCUACGCGAGGUGAGUGUUGACCUGACCUUUCCAUUGCGCAUUGGUGUGGCUUGUGCGUGUGCCUGUGUUUGUAUUCUCCGAUCCUUGUGGUAUUUCCCAUGCAUUGAGGCUGUUCUUUUUCUCCUUGAGCUGAGAGGUGGAGGCCCUCAUGUGAACCCUGAGAAAUGGGCGCUCGGUUUUUUUUUUCUGGAAUAAUAACAGUGGUUGUUAUGGAAAAUGAACACAUGGCAGUUUGAUUUGCUGUAAGUUUUAUCCUGCAUAAUUACAAAGCAGUUAGUGUGUACGUAGCUUGUUUUCAUUGAUUUUCAAAGUACGACGCAUAUAUACUGUAUGUGUUCCAGAGUCCCAGACAAUCACUCUGGAACGGAAAACAGGAGCUUGCUUUACAGUAAAACGACACAGGGAAAGUACUGUCAACGCUUUUCGCUCGCUUCCCUGUCCGGAUAAACUAAAUACUGUCUGAUCUGUAUUAUAAGUGAUCUGUUUCUAAUAAAAGAUGGAUUCAGAAACGAAAUGCAUUUGCAUGACAUCGACGCCAUUGAGACAAAAGGAGAGCAGUAUGUACCUAGCUAGUACGUUGCUGCAGGCUUUGGUCCACGGUGUAAAUUGUAUUUGUAUAGGUAAGUGUGUGUUAUCACUCCGUUAAGGUGCUCCGUUGCAGGGGCGGACCCACAAUGGGGGCAAGGUGGGCCAUCGCCCCACCUCAAUUUUUGAAACAUAUAGAGUACACUGCAAAAUUAGGAAAAAAUUAAACACUAGGUGGGGCGAAACAGGCUCUGGUGCUAAAUGGUCCAGCAGAUCACCCAUCCAACCGGCCCACUUGUAUCCCGCCCACCCUCCGGCCCACCAUCCGGCCCACCGGCGCGCUUCCUCACCCCCAGCCAGCCCGCCCCCGCGCGUGCGGUUGGCCCCCGCCCCCAACCUCCGCGCCCCCACCCCCGCGCCGCCAGGGCGCCAGGUCCCCCCCGCUCCGCCGCCGGCCGCUCCCCGCCGCCCCUCGCCCCGCCGCCGAGCGCCGGCCGACGCAGAGCGCCCCCGCCCCCCCCCCCCCCCCGCGCCCGAGCGCCGCCUCCUACCCGCAGGGCCCGCGCCCGCACGCCGCAGAGGCCCCCCGCCCCCCCCCCGAGCACCGCCCGCGGCAGAGCCUCCCCCUGGCGUCGAGCGCCGCCCGCAGCCGAGGCCAACGGCCGCCGCAGCCCCCCUCCACCCCGAGCGCCGCCGCCAGCAGAGCCCCCUCCCCUCCCUCGCCUCGCCGUCGAGUUCCGCCCGCCCACAGGCCCCCCAGCGCUGCCCGCCCCCGCAGGAGGCCCCCCGCCGAGCGCCGCCGCCAGCAGAGCCCCCCCUCCCCCCGCCGUCGAGCGCCACCCGCCCGCAGCCCCCCCCCACCCCAGCGCCGCCCGCCCCGCAGGAGGCCCCCCGCCGAGCGCCGCCGCCAGCAGAGCCUCCCCUCCCCCACCGUCGAGCGCCGCCCGCCCGUAGGCCCCCCCCCAGCGCCGCCCGCCCCGCAGGAGGCCCCCCACCCCCGGCGCGAGCCGCCCGCCCGCAGGCCCACAGCCCCCCCCUCCCGCGAGCUGGCGGUGAGGCCGCCCCACUGCAAAGGCCCCAAGCGCCACCCCCCCACACACACACAAAAAAAAAAACCCACACACACAAACAAAGUUCUCACGGGAGAGUGCUGAAUCUCCCCAAUUCAGCAGCAGCUUGCCGUCCGUCGAUCCCAAUCCGCGAUCGAGGUCAGAUUAUUUCCUCGCAGCCUCACGUCUUACUGUCUUCUUCGCCCCACCUAAUAUCUCGUCCUGCGUCCGCCACUGCUCCGUUGCAUGUUAAUGUAUGUCGACCAACUACUAUCUACGUUGGAGCUCCAAGCAAGUGCAAUGGACACUGGUAAACCCUACGACCUACAUACUCGAGAAAUUUGAGAGAUCCGGGCCCGAUAAAAUGAAAAGAACAAAAAUAGAUCUUUUUACACAAAUCAAGCAAUAGGAAUAUAAUGGCCAAUCAUACAAAGUAAAUUUGAGGAAAUUUGUGUUUAUAUUUAGAUUUUACCGAUAGAUCGUACAGAUCACGGGUAAAUUUGAAGAAUUAAACACAUUUCUUCCAACGUAUCUUAUAUCCCUCCCUAGUCCCUAUACCAGUCGUUCUUUUUUCUGAAAAAUUCCCAUCUCUUGGGGCACCGAACCUCGUGCAGGCACAGCAGCACAACUACGUACUCGCCCAUGUGCAGCGGCACAGAAGCGCCAGGAUGCGUGCCCGGUUCACACGCUAUCCUAAGCCAACAGGUAUAGGGACCGAACCUCGUGAUGUAGAUGUUUUUGAGAGGGUCCCUGCCCGCCCUUAUAUACACAGGCGGACAGGGUUACAAGAAUCCUAAGCCGAUACUAACUCCCGAGUCGUACCCAAAUACGACUCGAGUAGUUUCCUUUCGUACCAGCUAUCUCUAGUUCUUUUUCGAGUAGAGACAUAUACAAAAUAAGAUUAAAAAGAUAUCCUAUCUCCUAGUCCAAUUAGUACUCCUCGACAUGCACAGCCCCGUAGACCCGGGUCUGACAAGCCCCCGAGCUCUUCGUAACUGAGUUCUGCAGGCACUUCGAGUACUUCCAAGACAGUCUUCGACUUCUUUCUUAAGCUCUGUUAUGAAAUUCUUCAUCGAGUACUCCUAUGGCUGCAUCGAAGCUACGAGGUGCUCAUGCCUCAAAUUUCUUUUGUAUAGAGUGCAACAACCAAUCACAUUCCCGAAGCCUAAGUCGGAUCAUAAGAUCGGACCGAGGGUUAAAUUAGCCUUGAGUCUUCUUUUCUUAUCCUUCGGGUACCUUCGAAAAAAUAAGUAGUCGAUGCCACGUGUCUCACAGCCCCCGAGCCUUGAAUCCAAAUUACCAAAAUUUGGGAAAAAGGAUCCCCAAAGGUCGUGGCUCUUUUACCGGAAAAAAAUAACAGAUAAAGAAUCUUUAGAAAACUUUUUGUAUUCCGAAUAUUCCCUUUGCGCGACGCUCCCCCUUCUGCACAGUAAACCCCCAUCCAAAGGCUGGUUAUUUAACCCCGCCAUUGGUUAGGGUUUAACCACGCUUCCAAGCCGCAAGCCGCCGUCAAAAGAAAACCCCAAUCCAAAAGCCUCCAGCCUCCGAGCGCUCCGCCAAUCUCUCCCACAAACACCGCAAAACCCGAAAUUUCCAGCCCCCGAGCGCAUCACUCGCGACCCGUGGCCUGAGAAAUCCAGAAAUGGCGCCGAAAAAAUCCAGCCAGAAAGACUUGAAGGAAGCGUAGGCGGCAACCGGCGAGUGGGGCAUCAGUAAGUGUUCCCGCAACACUCUCACCCAUUUAGUUGUAGGUGGUCUUCUUCAAGAGAAAGAUCUUGUGAAUUGGCGUCUUCCUUUUCGCGACCCUUUCCCCAUGGAAAGUGUCGACGAAAUUGUCAUGUUUUGUUCUUUUGCCGAACGGGGAUUGGCCCUCCCCACUUGUUCCUUCUUCCGUGGCCUUCUUUAUUACUAUGGAAUCCAGCUUCAACACCUUAACCCUAAUUCCAUAUGUCACAUUUUCAUUUUUAUCCAUCUCUGUGAAGCAUUCCUCGGAAUCGAACCCCAUUGGGCUGUUUUCCGCUAUCUCUUCCGCAUGAAACCCCAGCCCACCUCAAAAAAUCCGUCCUUGAUUGGAGGUGCCGACAUCCAACUUAGGCAACAUGCGAGCGAAAAAUAUAUAUCUUACAAAUUCCCUUCCAAUGUUCCCAGAUGGAAACAGCAAUGGUUCUACAUUGCGAACCAUGCCCCUCAACUCCCUGCUCGCUCAAGCCGAACUCCCGUUCCCCGCACCGAGUGGACCCUAGAGCCUGUUGAGGCGGAGAUGGAUCAAGUGCGGGAACUUCUCGAGUUGAUUUCAGCGCACAAGGAGGCAGGGGUUACCGGGGCGUCCGUGAUGUUUUCAUUUUUCAAGCGUCGGAUCCAACCUCUGCAACAACGCCAUACACCUGGAUUUGAGUAUUCGGGUAACGAAGACCCAUCUCGUAUGUGCGCAGAAGAGGUCGAAGAUGACGCGGCGCUCAUCCGCGUCAGGCGCAUUUUGUUGGACGUGGAGUCCGUCCCCUACAUGCCAACCCUCUUCUCAGCCUGAAAUCCGCCACCACCGGUAAGCAGUCGAUUCCUCGAGUUCAUGUACCCUUCAUUUACCAGAAUUAACUGACCAAGUCUUUGCAGGAGCGAACGGCACUGUACCGUAACUACCCGCCCCAACCAGACUUGCCACGGCCAUACCAUUUGAUGCCCAGUGCUGCAGUGUCGGCAGCAAGGGCGAAGACGGCUGGCGAUGAAUCAACAGAGAGUAAUCGACUAGCCGGGGAGCGGGCGCCAAGGGACAACUCCUUCGGAUCUUCCGUGGAGCCCUCCGACGACACGCCUCUUAUCCCGCGGCGACGCCGAGAAAUGCGGAAGCGCAAGGCCUGCAGCAUGGAUCCCGCAGGGUAAGCAUCUGUUUAGCUAUAAAAGUUGUCGAGUUGUUCUGAUGAUUACUGAUGAUAAAUCUAUCUUGCAGUCCUUCAUCAGCUCCACCCAGCCCCCAGCGGCAGAAGGUAGUCGAGACACACUUGACUAUGGGUGAAACCUCAGCAGCUGAGUCGUCAAGGGUUGUCCGGGCAGACCCGUCACCAGCUCCCGCAGGCGAUGUCACCAUCGCUGUGGCUGGCACAAUUCCUGGGCCCAGCGUACCCACAGGCGAGAUAACCCCGCCGCCAGUGACGAGCUCGAUGGCCAUCGUCGCCGCGAGCACCACGCCUCGCUUACUGGCGCCCACAAGUGACACACCUUCCCCGCCAGCCGGAACUACCCCAAUCAGGAAACGACCACGGCUGGCAUUAAGGGAACCAACGAUAAUCCGAUCCCAAGUGUAAGUAAAUCGCCAUCCUUUGAUUGUGACUGAUCAUGAAGCUUAACCUAACGGUGUUGUGAAUUGUCUGGAAUAGGCCGGCGGCGGCAGUGGUGCUGGACGACCCAGGGCUCGAGUUGGCUCCACCAGCCCCCGAGCCCGUGCCUGAGUUAACCCACGCACCAGAGCCCGCCGAGGUACCCGAUGCAGUGUUACCAAGCUCACCGCCACCCGAACCCCAGCAUGUAGAACUCGGAGCCGGUGGCGCGGAGCAUGGCGAGACUGCCAUCGACUUACCCGGCGACGAUGCAGGUAACACACAUCAGAGCCAUUGCCAAAUUCGUCCCUUGCGUCAACAUUUGUCUACAUGUAACAGCUGCCUGAAGCGUCCCCCCCCCCCCGUCAGGGGAGACAAAAAGUGGUACUUUAUCAGUCCCAGGAGGCUGAUAACACUUUUAUUACAUCAGAUGAUACAUCACCGUACAGCUCGACGCGGUAAUGGGCAGUGCAGCGCCACUAUCGCGAGGAAAAUGAUACAAACCCACACCACUACACUGGCUACGAAAAGGGUGUCAUCAGAGUCUUGAGCCAUGCGGAAUCCAACGGUGGCCCUACCACAGGCAAAGCUGGGUGCAGGACGAUACCCUACUCGACGUCCUCGGGGAAAUAGUCGGGGUCCUCUGCUGUAAAUAGUAAAAGAGGGGUGAGUACAAACGUACUCAGCAAGUCCAAUCACACCCACGGAGGGGGAUAAAUCAGAAGUCAAUGCAUAGGAUAAUACAAGGAUAGGGCUAUGGUUUAUUUGCGGAAAAGCUCAUUUUCAUGCAGGUGUUUGUUUUAAACAUUUUCAAAAUAAAUGUGUGUUUAAGUAUCGAGAAGCACUUGCUAAGCUUCACACAGGCUUCACGUUUGGUGUGGCUACCGGACUCCCCGUCCGUCGUAGCAUGCGGCACCACUGCCGUACACCCUCCGAACAACUCACGCCAACCCAACCAAUCCCAUGAAAAACACUAGUUAUGUGACCACACCAUAACUUACCCAAUACCGUGGGCACGGCUAUUCGAAUAGAUUUUUAACUCUGCAGAGGUGUGCAACUUUACCCACAGGUGGGGUACCGCAGCGCGGCCACCGUAGUGCCGGUGCAGGUCCCAACAAAGCCAUUACCCACCUUAGCUAGACCUAACUAGCCACCACGGAAUCCAUCAAGGGGUUAUUCAACCUGUCUCCGAGGUUUAACCGGGGCAUAAGUCACACAGAGCUUAUUCCCUUUUCCUUGAUCUCCCGUUGCUCUCAGCUCUCCUGAUGGCUAGCAGACUAACUAGUGGGGUUUAUGCUAAGCCGUUGCCCAUACAACGGUCAAGUGGUUUGCACGACAGGAAGCUAGGUGGGACGACACAUCAACUCGGUCCUUAGGGGUGACAGGACGGACAUCUCCCCUCCUUGCUCAACCACACAGGUACGAGCACUCCAGCGGCAAUUCCCACAAGAAUGCCGUCCGUCCCGUCUAACUCAUCCUUUAAAACCACUUUCAUUUCCCUCCCACACACACACACACACAUUUUUGUUCAGAAAAACGGGUGGUCAAAGGGGCGGUUAUCUCAAAAUAAUAGGUGGUUUUUACCAAACAGGGGUGGUCCCCCUAUUAGGUUUUCCGAAAUAAAACCAUGCACUUUAUAAAACAGGCCAACGGGUUGCAUUCAUAAAACUAGGGCAAAAUAUGCAUCAAAGGGCGGAAUUGAACUUGCCGUCUUCGAAUCCUUGCGGGAGGUCCUGUUCGGAGCACUGUCCUUCGGGUUCGGGGUCGCAAAACUGGUCCGCGUUCACUUGAUCGCAGUCGGGACCUUCCUCGUUCACUCCGUCUCCUAAGACGCGAACAAACAGGCACACGAUCAAGCGAACAAACUAAAAGCUUUUACCGAUAGGCUUGAAUCGGAAAUAAUUUAGUUACGGAGGUAGGGGAAAUAUUUUUGGGUGAUUUCUGUAUAGCGUGCUUAGAACUAUGCUAGAAAGGGCGUGGUAAAAUUUCAGGUCGAUCGGAGGUCGUUUCGCACAUAAAAUGACGAGGUAAAGGGAGAUCUAGGGGUCAAACAGGGAAUCCAGGGCUUAUUUGCAAGUUUCUCUAAAAAGGGAAGGGCUUAUUUGUAAAUUACAGAAGUGCUAGGGUGUAGUAGAAAGUGUGGGGGGCCUAUUUGGAAAUAAGUUUGCAUUGUGGGGGGGGACUUAGUUUGAAAGAAAAUAGUAAACAGGGGCUUUCUUGCAAAAAGGCCAAUAGAGUGGGGGGGCUAUUUAACAGUUAGGGAAGAAGGGAGGGGGCUAAGGGCAAAAUAGCCCUUUCUUCUUCCUCUAGCCGUGGGAAACAGGGGAGGGGGAGAGGAGCUCGGCGCCGGCCCAAUCCGGCGGCCCGGGGCUCGAUUGCGGCUAGGGUUUGGGGGAAAAGGGAGAGGAGGAGGAGGGGAUUCGAUCCCCGCCCUCACCUUGGGCCGGGGUGGCGCGAGGGGGCGUGCCCACGGCGGGCGGCGGCCGAAUUGCGGGCGGCGGCGGCGCUGGGAGCGUGGGGAGGCGGCGGCAGUGGCGGUGGAGGCCGUGGGGGAGAGAGAGGCGGGGUGGGGGCCUAUUUAUAGGCGGGGUGCCGCGGUGGGGAGGCCGGGGUAGGUGGGGGCCGGCGAGCGGCGCGGAGCGCCAUUAAUGGCGCUCGGCCUUGUCGUCGUGCGGUGCGCGGGCAGCGAGGCCGGGGCGAAGGGACGGCGCGGCGGGCUGUGCGGCACAGGAAGGGCGCGGGCGGCGAGGCGGGACGCGGCAGCGGCGGGCGGCGCGGCGGCCGUGCGGGCGGCGCGUGCGCGAGCGCGUCGCGGCUCGGCCGUGCGCGUGCGCGCGAGGGUCGGCGGCGCGCGCGCGUACGGCGGCGUGCGCGCGAGGGCGGGGUGGCGUGCGCGCAAGGGCAGGGGCGCCAGAGGCCGGAGCGGUGUGCGGGGGUGGCGCUCGGGAGCAGAGGAGCAGGGAGGAAGAAACAGGAAGGAGAAAGGAAAAAGGGAGGGAAGAAAAAGGAAAAAGGGAAAAGGAAAAUGGGAAAAAGGAAAAAGGGAAAAGAGAGAAAAGGAAAAAGGGGAAAGAAAUAAUGGAAAAAGGGGAGAAGUGACGCGCGCCGGCGGGAUUCGCGGCGGCGACCGCGCGGCGAAUUUCACGGCGGUGACCACGGCUGGUCGGUCACGCGCGCGCGGCGUUCGCGCGCUGCACGAGGGGGAAAAGAUGGCGUGACUGCGAUUGGAUUCGGGUGCCGGGAAAUUUAGGGUUUCAGUGGAAUGGUUCUCGAAAACGAAAAUCUUAGCGCGUGAUUUCUGGGUAAAAUUUUCAGGAUGUUACAAACCUACCCCACUUAAAAUGAAUCUCGUCCCCGAGAUUCGGCUAGCUCCUAAACAAAUGGGGAAACUCCUUCUUCAGAGCAUCUUCGCGUUCCCAUGUCGCUUCCUCCACUCCAUGCCUGCUCCACUGAACUCUGCAAAUCCGCACUUCGGAGUUCCUUGUCCUUCUGGUGACAGUGUCCAAAAUCUUGACCGGUAUUUCCUGGUAUCGCAGAUCCGGCUGCAGAUCUAUUGCUUCUACCGGCACGUGUUCCACCUCGGGUAUCCUUAAACACCUUCUUAGCUGCGAGACGUGAAACACGGGGUGUACAUCCGACAUCUCUUCUGGCAGUUUCAAGCGAUAUGCUACGGCUCCGACUUUCCUUAAGACUUGGUACGGUCCGAUGUAUCGAGGGGCUAAUUUUCCUUGCACUUGAAAUCUUCGUGUCCCUCGAAUAGGCGAGACCUUGAGAUAGACGAAAUCGCCUGGGCUGAAACUCAUUUCUCGCCUCUUCUUGUCCGCGUAGUUCUUUUGUCGGGACUGAGCCGCCUUCAAUUUCUCGCGGAUCUCCGCUACCUUUUCUUCCGCUUCUUUUAUAAAGUCGGGCCCUUCCAGGGCACGUUCUCCCACUUCCGACCACAUUAGGGGGGUUUUGCACUUUCUUCCAUAGAGAGCUUCGAACGGGGACAUGCCUAGGCUGGCUUGGUAACUGUUGUUGUACGAGAAUUCUGCAUACGGCAGACUUUGUUCCCAAUCCUUUCCGUAGGUUAGAACACAUGCUCUCAGCAUAUCUUCCAGAAUCUGAUUCACCCUUUCGGUUUGACCAUCCGUCUGCGGGUGAUACGCCGAGCUGAAGUCCAGCUUAGUACCCAUGGAUCGAUGCAAGCUUUUCCGAAACCUAGAGGUGAAUUAGGUCCCCCUAUCUGAGACAAUCCUGCUAGGCACUCCAUGUAACCUUACUAUGUUUUCUAUAUAAAGUUUUGCCAGCUUCUCUCCGCCGUAAUUAGUUCGUACUGGUAUGAAAUGAGCCGAUUUAGUGAGUCGAUCCACUACUACCCAAAUGGAAUCGUGCCCUUUUUGAAUUCUAGGUAGACCCACUACGAAGUCCAUCCCUACUUCAUCCCAUUUCCAAACCGGGAUGGGUAGGGGUUGCAAUAACCCUGCUGGCUUUUGGUGUUCAGCCUUGAUCCUUCGACAGGUAUCACAAUGAGCCACAAAUCGUGCAAUGUCCGCCUUCAUUCCGUACCACCAAUACCUUUGCCUUAUGUCCAUGUACAUUUUGGUGGAUCCUGGGUGGAUGGAGCAGGCCGAGUUAUGGGCUUCGUCCAUGAUUAUCUGCCUAAAGUCUCCAUUCCGGGGUACACAAAUCCUAUUCUCGUACCAUAAUGUGCCCUUAUCGUCCACUCUGAAGCCUGGUGCUUUGUUUUCUCCAGUCUGUCUACGGAUCUUUACCAACUCCUGGUCCGAGCUUUGAGCUCUUCUAAUUCUAUCCUCUAGGGUUGACUGGAUGUUUAGUACAUGGUUGGAACCUCGAGGAACAAUGUGCACAUUUAAUCGUGCCAUUUCCUCGCGCAGAUGGUCGUCUCUAGGUCCGUAGGAUUUCCGGCUUAAGGCAUCGGCUACUACGUUUGCUUUUCCGGGGUGAUAAUGGAUUUCCAGAUUAUAGUCCUUGACCAACUCCAACCAUCUUCUCUGCCUUAAGUUCAAAUCUGGCUGGGUAAAGAUAUACUUCAGGCUCUUGUGGUCGGUGUAAAUCUCACACUUAUUCCCAAUCAAGUAAUGUCUCCAAACCUUAAGGGCAUGCACUACGGCUGCAAACUCCAGAUCAUGGGUCGGGUAGUUCUGCUCAUGAGUCCUGAGCUGGCGGGAGGUAUAGGCAACGACUUUCCCGCCUUGCAUCAACACACACCCUAAUCCUUGCCGGGAUGCGUCACAAUAAAUGACAAAAUCCCGAUGGAUGUUGGGUAACGUUAGUACUGGGGCGGUUGUCAGCCUUUGUUUCAAUUCUUGAAAACUUUUCUCACAGGCUUCUGUCCAGGCGAACUUCUUUUCCUUCUUAAGGAGCUCCGUCAUGGGUCGGGCUAUUUUGGAAAAACCCUCAAUAAACCUCCGAUAGUACCCGGCUAACCCAAGAAAACUCCUGAUUUCACUAACAUUGGUUGGUCGCUGCCAGUUGGAAACUGCCUCGACUUUCUCUGGGUCCACGGCUAUGCCUUCCGCUGUCAGAAUAUGACCAAGAAAAGCUACUCUUUCCAGCCAGAACUCACACUUACUAAACUUGGCAUAUAACCUGUGUUUUCUCAGCUUCUCCAAUACUACCCGCAGAUGUUGCUCGUGUUCCUGCAUGCUCUUAGAGUAGAUAAGUAUGUCAUCAAUAAAGACUACGACAAACUUAUCCAGCUCGUCCAUAAAUGCUUUAUUCAUAAGGUUCAUAAAAUAGGCAGGGGCAUUGGUUAGUCCGAAGGACAUUACGGUGAAUUCAAACUGCCCGUAACGGGUAACAAAGGCUGUCUUAGGGAUGUCACUUUCUCUAAUCUUAAGCUGAAAAUAUCCUGACCUUAGAUCGAUCUUGGAAAAGUACUUGGCUCCCUUCAGCUGAUCGAAAAGGUCAUCAAUCCUGGGGAGGGGGUAUUUGUUUUUAAUGGUGACUUCGUUCAGUGCCCGGUAAUCCACACACAGCCUCAUGCUUCCAUCUUUCUUCUUGACGAACAGGACCGGAGCUCCCCAAGGUGACGAGCUUGGUCUGAUGAAGCCGAUUCGCUGCAGUUCUUCUAGCUGCUUCUUUAGUUCCGCCAACUCGGGGGGCCGCCAUUCUAUAGGGUCUCUUGGCUAAAGGGGAGGUUCAAGGGACGAGGUCUAUGGCGAACUCUAUAUCCCUAUCCGGGGGCAUUCCAGGAAGUUCCUCGGGAAAGACAUCCGGGUAUUCGUUUACUACUGGAACUCCUUCUAGUGGAUUGGCUUCCAUGCAACACACCAUCGGAUCAAGCUUACUUUCCCGGGUAUGGCAGCUCACUUGCACUCCUUCGGGGUUUGUUAGGUGCACCACUUUGUCAGUACAACUUAUAAGGCCUUUGUGUCGGCUUAACCAAUCCAUCCCAAGGAUCACGUCUAUUCCCCCAGACUUGAGUACUACCAAUUCUGCUAGGAAUUCUACCCCACUUAAGAUGAUCCUUACCCAUGGACAACCUAGCUGACAUUUGAUGUCGCCCCCAGGUGUCCGGGUUAAUAGGGGUGUUUUUAGUAGUACUGUAGGUAUUUUGUGUUUCUCCACAAAACUUGAGGAUAUGAACGAGUGCGAUGCUCCGGAAUCAAACAAUACCAUCGCCAGAGCUGAGUUGACUAGGUACUCAUCGAGCACUACGCCUUGAGCUUCCUGAGCCUCCUGCGCGUCGAUGUGGUUGACGCAGGCUCGUCCAAACGAUUGCUGAGGCUGCUUCUUCUGCUGACUGUUGUCGUUGUUGCGGAGGGGCACUCUGUUGGCGCCGGUCAGGGCUGUCCUGGGUCCGUUCACUGAGUUGGAGAAGGCUGAUGCAGCCGGCUUGCUCUUGGCGUAAGGGCAAUUGGCGAUGAAGUGACCCGUUUCACCGCAGUUGAAACAGGCCCUAGCAUUGUUGUUGUCGGGGGUGACCACGCUCGUGUUGCUCCGUGGGGCCCUCGUGGUAUUCUGGCUUCCAGGCUGUGGGUCAGGGGCUUGUGAUCCCGUUGCUUGAGACUGAGUCCUGUACUGCAUUGGGGCCUGAGAUCUUGGUGCAGGGUGGUUGUAGUUCCUCGGCCGUUGGGAACGGUCCUGCUGACGGGCCUUGUUUUCCAUAAAUUUACGCUUGUUAUCCCUUCUUUCUUCAGCCUUGGCCCUCUACGUGAGGAUAGCUUUGUUCAUCAGGGUGUUGAAGUCAGGAUAGAUUUGAGGGGUAAGCAAGGUCCGGAGUUCUGGGCUCAGUCCCUUCUUGAACAUGUCUUGCUUCUUGUCGUCGUCGUUGACUUCUUCUGGUGCAUAUCGGGCCAGCUCUAUGAACCGAUGGGUGUACUCCUCCACCGUCAUGCUUCCUUGUUGCAGGGCACGGCACUCAUCCGCCUUGCGCUUCAUGGUGGCCGAAGGAAUGUGAUAACGGCGGAACUCCCGCACGAAUUCCGCCCAAGUGAUGGUAGAGGCAUCCUCGGCGGCGGCACAAUAGUUUUCCCACCAGGCUAGUGCUGUCCCGGUGAGUUGAUGAGCUGCCAGAAGGACUUUGUCUCGGUCCUGGCAUUCAAAUGGCUCGAGCUUCCGCUGAAUCACUCGUAGCUAAUCGUCUGCGUCCAAAGAGUUGCUGGAUCCUGCAAAGGUGGGCGGCUUGGUCCUCAGAAAGGCCGUCAGCUUGUCGUUCAUGGUGUGCGCUCAGGGUUGUCGGUUAAUCAGGGCGUUGGCCAGUGCUUCCAGUAUAAGGGUCUGAUUCUGGAUUAUCUGUGUCAGGUUUCCGAGGGGCGGGGGUGGUGGUAGUUGCUCUUCUCCUUGGUUUUCUCCUCGGUUCUGGCUUACUUCCUGUUCUCCCUGAGAAAGGUUUUGCCCGGCGGCUUGAGCUCCAGCGUCGGCGGUUGCGGGGUUACGGCUACAGGAGGCCCUCGUGACGCUCCGGGGAGCCAUCUGUUGAUUGGGUAGAUCGAGGUCACAAUUUAUGCGAUGCUUAAAUUAUUUAACGCAAGCUCUUCUCAAAAGAAUUUCGUUUAUAUCAACACAAACCACAAGCACAAAUAACUUUAUUACUGCAAGGGGGGCACAGUUUGGGGUGACACAAGACCGCGCACUACUAGUUCGGGGUCACGCCUAAGGGCACGACUUACGCGAAUGAGGGGGCUACAAUACUAGGGUGGCGCCGGUUACUUCACUCGCGGGGCGUGCCUUCUUCUGGGGCGGAGAGUGUGAGUAAUAGUCCUUGCUCGCCGCUCUCUGGAUUUUCUUCUGCCAAGGGUUGUGCCGCGCCAUCCCUUUCUUCGGUGGUGGCAGUACUUUCAGGGUUCUCGGGCGGGGCCGGCGAGCUUCUAAAGAGUGUCCCCCAUCCGAUGACAGGCGUCCCGAGUAAAACAUGGUCUUCCCCAAUUGCUGGGACUGGCGUCCCACUUCGGGCCCACUCUUGCAUACGCCGGUCGCGGGCCCUCCUGAGGCUCUCUUGGGCGACUGCUUCGUUGCUGACCGCGGCUGCGGCUCUUGCUUCGGCCUGGGCUGCUCGAAUCUGCUGCAGUCUUACCGCGAGCUCGGCUUGCUCGGCUCGAUGGACCUGCUCCCUCAGAAGUUUGGCUUGCGCAUCGAAAAGUUGGUCCAAGGCGGCUAAAUAGGUAGCCACUUGAUACAAGGGGUCUUCUUCGUGACGACGUCGCUCCAGACUCCUCAUGCGCGCUUCCCAAACCGGAGUUCUAUCGGCUGGCGGAAAGAACCUUACUGGUGUGGGGGCGAGGUGUCCUUCAAAAAUCCGGCAUAAGUAGCGGAGUGCUUUUCUGACGGCCAAGGGGUAGGUGUCCUGAUGCCUAAACCCCGUGGUGGUCACUCGCCAAGGCUCGAUGUCGGGGUAGCGGUUGCUCCUGGCGAUGACCAAGACCACCGUGCAGCGGAGAGUGCCAUGGUGCUCAUACUCCCUGCUGUAGUACCUUGGGCGUUCCGUAACGCCAAGGCUUUCCAGGGCGUCGAUCAAAAGGCCAGGAAGGCCAGGUGCAGCUUGGCAAUUGCCCUGGGUCCACCCUUCCUCAGCCAUCUGAAAACAAGGACAGGAUAAACCAUCUUGCACAGGUAUAAAAGGGGCAGGUAACAUUAUUAUUGCACAUGGGGGUACAGUCUCCAUGGAUACACGAUCGUUAGGGUGGGGUUCUGACUUGGAGUGCUAUUCCUACUACGGGGAUUCUUCCUCGGUCCAGAUAAAGCGCUUUUUAAUUGGUAGGUGUUUAUCCUCCCCAUCGGUCUGAGUACCUCUAUCAAUAUGGGUUUCCUCAGGGUCUUCCUCUUCCUCUAUCCAUCCGCCCAAUCCUCUGCGGCUUCCGAAAUCCUGUGUCUGGGCUUGGAGGGCAGCUAAGGAAUACUCAGCGCGUUCGGCUCUUGUCCGUUGUUCCUCCAAUUCCUGUGUUGCUUUUUCUGCCCUAUGGAUUAGCCGCUUUAGUUGUGCCGCCUGUACGCGGUAGAGUUCAUCUAGGCCGGUAAGGUAGAUGGAUAGGUGGGAGACCGUAUCCUCUAGGUCUUCUUCUUCUCUUCCGAGUCCUCUCAUCCGGUCAAUCCAAGUGCGUCCUCUUCUCUCAGUAGGUGGGAAAAAUCCCAUAGGAGUCCGCUGAAGGUGAUGCUUGUAAGUCACUCGCAGUCGUCGAAGGGCUUUAUGGGCGGCCUUUCGGUAGGUGUCGGCGAAGCGGAAGCCUGAGGUGGAAAUGAACCAGGGGUCUACGUCAGGGUAGCGGGUGCUUCUUCCUACAAAAACCAUCAUGUCGCACCGAAGGGUACCCUUGGAGGUGUAUUCCCGAUAGGUAUACUCUGGUGGUUCCAUCACUCCGAUGCGUUCCAGGCUAAGUAUUAAUAACUUGGGGAGGCCGGGCUCAGCGUGGCAGAUCCCGUCAACCCAACCGUUGUCAGCCAUCUGGAAUAGGGCAAAGAUAGAGGUGAGCAUUUACGCAGGAAAAAGAGCUAAGUCAGAACAAGUCUCUGGCCUGAAAGAGGGUUUCGCUCCUAGGGUCUCGUCCUACGGCCAGCUUACGGCUCUGAUACCAUCUGAAGCGUCCCCCCCCCCCGUCAGGGGAGACAAAAAGUGGUACUUUAUCAGUCCUAGGAGGCUGAUAACACUUUUAUUACAUCAGAUGAUACAUCACCGUACAGCUCGACGCGGUAAUGGGCAGUGCAGCGCCACUAUCGCGAGGAAAAUGAUACAAACCCACACCACUACACUGGCUACGAAAAGGGUGUCAUCAGAGUCUUGAGCCAUGCGGAAUCCAACGGUGGCCCUACCACAGGCAAAGCUGGGUGCAGGACGAUACCCUACUCGACGUCCUCGGGGAAAUAGUCGGGGUCCUCUGCUAUAAAUAGUAAAAGAGGGGUGAGUACAAACGUACUCAGCAAGUCCAAUCACACCCACGGAGGGGGAUAAAUCAGAAGUCAAUGCAUAGGAUAAUACAAGGAUAGGGCUAUGGUUUAUUUGCGGAAAAGCUCAUUUUCAUGCAGGUGUUUGUUUUAAACAUUUUCAAAAUAAAUGUGUGUUUAAGUAUCGAGAAGCACUUGCUAAGCUUCACACAGGCUUCACGUUUGGUGUGGCUACCGGACUCCCCGUCCGUCGUAGCAUGCGGCACCACUGCUGUACACCCUCCGAACAACUCACGCCAACCCAACCAAUCCCAUGGAAAACACUAGUUAUGUGACCACACCAUAACUUACCCAAUACCGUGGGCACGGCUAUUCGAAUAGAUUUUUAACUCUGCAGAGGUGUGCAACUUUACCCACAGGUGGGGUACCGCAGCGCGGCCACCGUAGUGCCGGUGCAGGUCCCAACAAAGCCAUUACCCACCUUAGCUAGACCUAACUAGCCACCACGGAAUCCAUCAAGGGGUUAUUCAACCUGUCUCUGAGGUUUAACCGGGGCAUAAGUCACACAGAGCUUAUUCCCUUUUCCUUGAUCUCCCGUUGCUCUCAGCUCUCCUGAUGGCUAGCAGACUAACUAGUGGGGUUUAUGCUAAGCCGUUGCCCAUACAACGGUCAAGUGGUUUGCACGACAGGAAGCUAGGUGAGACGACACAUCAACUCGGUCCUUAGGGGUGACAGGACGGACAUCUCCCCUCCUUGCUCAACCACACAGGUACGAGCACUCCAGCGGCAAUUCUCACAAGAAUGCCGUCCGUCCCGUCUAACUCAUCCUGUAAAACCACUUUCAUUUCCCUCCCACACACACACACAUUUUUGUUCAGAAAAACGGGUGGUCAAAGGGGCGGUUAUCUCAAAAUAAUAGGUGGUUUUUACCAAACAGGGGUGGUCCCCCUAUUAGGUUUUCCAAAAUAAAACCAUGCACUUUAUAAAACAGGCCAACGGGUUGCAUUCAUAAAACUAGGGCAAAACAUGCAUCAAAGGGCGGAAUUGAACUUGCCGUCUUCGAAUCCUUGCGGGAGGUCCUGUUCGGAGCACUGUCCUUCGGGUUCGGGGUUGCAAAACUGGUCCGCGUUCACUUGAUCGCAGUCGGGACCUUCCUCGUUCACUCCGUCUCCUAAGACGCGAACAAACAGGCACACGAUCAAGCGAACGAACUAAAAGCUUUUACCGAUAGGCUUGAAUCGGAAAUAAUUUAGUUACGGAGGUAGGGGCAAUAUUUUUGGGUGAUUUCUGUAUAGCGUGCUUAGAACUAUGCUAGAAAGGGCGUGGUAAAAUUUCAGGUUGAUCGGAGGUCGUUUCGCACAUAAAAUGACGAGGUAAAAGGAGAUCUAGGGGUCAAACAGGGAAUCCAGGGCUUAUUUGCAAGUUUCUCUAAAAAGGGAAGGGCUUAUUUGUAAAUUACAGAAGUGCUAGGGUGUAGUAGAAAGUGUGGGGGGCCUAUUUGGAAAUAAGUUUGCAUUGUGGGGGGGGGACUUAGUUUGAAAGAAAAUAGUAAACAGGGGCUUUCUUGCAAAAAGGCCAAUAGAGUGGGGGGGCUGUUUAACAGUUAGGGAAGAAGGGAGGGGGCUAAGGGCAAAAUAGCCCUUUCUUCUUCCUCUAGCCGUGGGAAACAGGGGAGGGGGAGAGGAGCUCGGCGCCGGCCCAAUUCGGCGGCCCGGGGCUCGAUUGCGGCUAGGGUUUGGGGGAAAAGGGAGAGGAGGAGGAGGGAAUUCGAUCCCCGCCCUCACCUUGGGCCGGGGUGGCGCGAGGAGGCGUGCCCACGGCGGGCGGCGGGCAGCAGGCGGCGGUCGAACUGCGGGCGGCGGCGGCGCUGGGAGCGUGGGGAGGCGGCGGCAGUGGCGGUGGAGGCCGUGGGGGAGAGAGAGGCGGGGUGGGGGCCUAUUUAUAGGCGGGGUGCCGCGGUGGGGAGGCCGGGGUAGGUGGGGGCCGGCGAGCGGCGCGGAGCGCCAUUAAUGGCGCUCGGCCUUGUCGUCGUGCGGUGCACGGGCAGCGAGGCCGGGGCGAAGGGAUGGCACGGCGGGCUGUGCGGCACAGGAAGGGCGCGGGCGGCGAGGCGGGACGCGGCAGCGGCGGGCGGCGCGGCGGCCGUGCGGGCGGCGCGUGCGCGUGCGCGUGAAGCGCGUGCGCGUGAGGGUCGGUGGCACGCGCGUGUACGGCGGCGUGCGCGCGAGGGCGGGGUGGCGUGCGCGCAAGGGCAGGGGCGCCAGAGGCCGGAGCGGUGUGCGGGGGUGGCGCUCGGGAGCAUAGGAGCAGGGAGGAAGAAAUAGGAAGGAGAAAGGAAAAAGGGAGGGAAGAAAAAGGAAAAAGGGAAAAGGAAAAUGGGAAAAAGGAAAAAGGGAAAAGAGAGAAAAGGAAAAAGGGGAAAGAAAUAAUGGAAAAAGGGGAGAAGUGACGCGCGCCGGCGGGAUUCGCGGCGGCGACCGCGCGGCGAAUUUCACGGCGGUGACCGCGGCUGGUCGGCCACGCGCGCGCGGCGUUCGCGCGCUGCACGAGGGGGAAAAGAUGGCGUGACUGCGAUUGGAUUCGGGUGCCGGGAAAUUUAGGGUUUUGGUGGAACGGUUCUCGAAAACGAAAAUCUUAGCGCGUGAUUUCUGGGUAAAAUUUUUAGGAUGUUACACUGCCCCACCGUCUGUCAUGAAUGCGGUGGUGACCAUGGAGGAGGGGAACCCGCAGCCUGCCGUCGGAGAAGAAAUCGAUGGCAUCAUUCAAGCCAUUAGCAAGUUCGCCCAGGUAACAACCUGAAACCCUGCUGACGCUGAGUGCCACCAGGUUACUCAAAUUAAUCCCUCGGAAAUAUGCAGGAGACCAAAAGGAAAGCCCAAGAGCAAGCCGCCAAGCUGGAAGAGUCCGCGAAGCACAUUGACGAGCUGACACAGGAGCGGACCAGUCUUGAGCGCACCAACGCCGAGCUCCGAGGGCAACUCAGAGAUCAACGAAAAGCCCAUCAAGGUACGAUAGUUCUGCCGCUCGAGUACUUGUUUUGUUGGCGAUGGUUAUGUGUUCUGAAACCUGCUCAUCGCCGCAGAAACUAAAAAACUCAUAAAUUAUAAAGAAGAACUACUUACUGACUUGAAGAACAUGCUCAAUCGCCGCGCAGACGAAGUCGAGCGACUGCAAAAGAUGAUUGCCGAUACGGAGAAACAGUUCGUCGACUGUCUCCAAUAGAUCAAGUCGCUGGGCGAAGAAAGGGAGCAGCGCCAAAAAGAGUAUGAAGAGCUGAAGGUGGCAGCCCAAGAUCUUGUCGAGAUGGUGGACCCCCGUGAAGAUAACGCAGAAGACGAGCCACCAUUGCUCGAUCGACUACGUGGGGCGCCGCAAAAGAUAUUGGACUUCGUUACCAAGGCCGCCGCUACAUAUGUAGGUCAUGCUCUCAGUCUUGUAAAGUCCUUCUGGCCUAAGGCGCAGCUUGAAGUACUCGCGGGAGGUGUAGCCGCAGAUUGUACUGAUGAAAAGUUCCGCGAGUACUUAGCCGAGAAUAGGGUCGUAGCUGAAAAGAUUGUGGAGAACAUGGUCUGAACAUGAACCUGUGAGAUCUAUGACUUGUGUAAUAUAAAGGUUCAUAUUUGUUUAUGUAUGUUUUGAGUAGCAUAGAUUGAACCCUUCCGUUCUUGGAAUUGGGCAUACUACUCCUGAGUGCCUCGACUCAGGAAGUAGUCAAGAUAGCUCUUACUGCGAGCUCUUCGGGUAGACUAGGAAAGAGUCCCACUGGACCAGUCUGUCUUGCCCGGAGUGCGCAUUUAAAGCGCGAGGACCGGAAUGCCUGCGGCAAAUGGCCCGAGACUACCCUGAGUGCCCUGACGUCAGGAGUAGUCGAUGUAUCCCAAUGAAAGGGACAAACUGAACCAGUAGGAAAGAGAACCCGAUCAAGUCGAGCCCACUUGGUUCGGAGGAAACGUGAUUAUCAUCAUGACGACAUAGAUGCGUUUUAGCAAGAAGUCGAUUUAUUCAUUACAAUCGUGGCCAUAGCCCCCGUAUUGUGGGUGAAGAAUUACAUUUCAAGUCCUGUGGCUCAAGGAGCCCCCAAAAUGACCCGAAAGAAAAAGUAAAAACAAUCGAGACAUCUACGCGGACCGUAGGCGACAUGCAAGUCACCUUAAGGAUAGAAACGGCGUAAAUGCUGUAUGUUCCAAGAGUUGGGAACAUCUUGACCGUCAGGAAGUUGUAGUCGAUAGGAGCCUGGUCUUGUAACCUUCUUGACGACGAACGGCCCAUCCCAUCUGGAAUUAAGCUUAUGAAGUCCAGCCUCAUCUUGAAUGCAACGAAGGACUAGGUCUCCGACAUUGAACGACCGUCCUUUGGUAUUGCGAUCAUGAUAUCUCCGGACCCCCUGUAGGUAUCGGGCUAACUGAACGAGAGCCGAACAGCGAGCCUCCUCGACUGAGUCGAGCUCUAACUGCCGCGCUUCAUCUGCCUCGCCUUCAUUGUACAUUUCGACCCUGGGAGAUUUCCACAUAAUGUCUGCUGGGAGAAUUGCUUCGAAGCCGUAGACCAAAAAGAAAGGAGUCUGUCCUGUGGCUUUGGACGGCUGGGUCCUGAGCCCCCAGAUGACAUGUGGUAAUUCAUGUAUCCAUUUGCCGCCCUUUUUGGUAUUGGCAUCAUAAAGCCGUUUCUUGAGUCCGUCGAUAAUCAGACCAUUAGCUCGUUCGACUUGUCCAUUAGCCCUUGGGUGUGCCACAGAAACGUACUUGACCUCGAUAGAUGAGUUGUCACAAAAUUCCCAGAACUGUUUGGCCGUGAAAUUGGAGCCUAGGUCUGUGAUGAUUGUGUUAGGGAAACCGAAAUGAUGCAAAAUGUCAGAAAUGAAGUCGACCACCCUGUCUGGAGUGAGCUUGGAGAUUGGCUUGUACUCGAUCCACUUUGUAAACUUGUCAAUAGCCACAAGGACGUGAGUAAAACCCCCAGGUGCCGUUGUAAAGGGCCCAAUCAUAUCAAGGCUCCAGCAGGCAAACGGCCAAGAAGGCGGUAUGGUGAUGAGGUUGUGAGCCGGGACGUGUGACUGCUUUCCAAAGAACUGACAAUUUUGACAUCGUCGUACCGAGUCCUCAGCAUCGGAUACGGCAGUAGGCCACCAGAAACCAGCUCGAUAUGCCUUGCCAACUAUCGUACGUGAUGCUGCAUGGUUGCCACAUAUGCCCUCAUGAAUUUCUCUCAGAAUGUCUUGACCCUCGGCUGAGGUGACGCACUUCAUAAGCACGCCCGUUCUUGCGCCUCGGCGAUACAGCUUGUCAGCGACGAGGACAAAACCCUUGCUUCGUCGCAUGAUGCGAGCGGCGUCGGCACCUCUGGGGUCCACCCCCGUCGGUAAGACAAGAUCCCGGAUGAAGUCGAUAAAGGGUAUCCGCCAGUCCUCCUCCGCCAGCAUGACCUCCCGUUCUUGUACAGAAUCAAUAGCAGUAGGAACCUGUGGUGGAGGACUGAUGGAUGGGUGCCUCAACUCAUCCACGAAUACCCCAGCUGGGACCUGAGCUCGGGUAGAACCCAGCUUGGACAAGGCAUCAGCAGCAAUAUUGUGUUCUCGUAGCACAAGAUGAACCUCUAAACCAGAGAACUUAUUUUCCAGUUUUCGUACCUCUUGUACAUAAGCCUCCAUAGUCUCCUUGUCACAAUCCCACUCUUUAUUGACUUGCUGGACGACCAAAAGGGAAUCACCAUAAACGAGUAAACGUUUGAUCCUCAGUGAGAUUGCCAAUCGAAGCCCGUGAAGCAAGGCUUCAUACUCAGCUUCAUUAUUGGAUACCUCCCAGAGUAUUUGCAGUACAUACUUAAGCUGCUCGCCUCUUGGGGAAAUAAAUAAUACUCCAGCGCCGCCGCCGUCAAGUCGAAGGGAACCGCGAAGUACAUGGUCCAGUGCUCGGGCUUGUCGACUGGGGUCGGAAUUUGAUUUUCCCGCCAUUCUGCUAAGAAGUCGACUAGUGCUUGGGGCUUGAUCGCAGUGCGUGGCUUGAAGUCGAUCGACAAAGCCCCCAGCUCGACUGCCCAUUUUGAAAUACGUCCCGUGGCAUCUUGAUUGUGUAGGAUGUCAGCCAAUGGAAAGUCCGUGACCACAAUAAUCUGAUAUUCUUCGAAGUAAUGUCGCAACUUCCUUGACGUGACCAAUAUGCCAUAGAGCAAUUUCUGGACCGGUGGGUAGCGCACCUUAGAUUCUGAGAGAACUUCGCUGACAAAGUAAACAGGCCUCUGCACGCCAUGGGCAUGGCCUGCCUCCGGGCGCUCGACAACAAUAGCACUGCUGAUAACGUGAGUAGUUGCAGCGAUGUAGAGCAAGAGAGUCUCGCCCGGCAAUGGCACUGUGAGGAUUGGAGGUGACUGGAGGUGCUGUUUGAGAUCCUGCAAGGCCCGAUCGGCUUCCUCUGUCCAGCAAAACUUGUCCUGGCGCUUUAAGAGCUUGAAAAAAGGAAGUCCUCUCUCCCCCAAUCGGGAGAUGAACCUGCUAAGAGCUGCCAUACACCCUGUAAGUUUCUGCACAUCUUUGAUUGUGGCUAGAGCCCCCAUAUCAGUAAUAGCAGUGAUCUUCUCAGGGUUGGCCUCGAUGCGUCGGUUACUAACGAUGAACCCGAGCAAUUUACCCGAGGGGACGCCAAAAACGCACUUGGUCGGGUUAAGCUUCCAGCGAAAUUUUCUUAAGCUGGCAAAGGUUUCCUCCAGAUCCAUGAUUAGGCCCUCGGGAGUUCUGGUUUUUAUGACCACGUCAUCCACGUAGGCUUCAACGUUCCGGUGUAGUUGAUCAGCGAGGCACAUCUGGAUUGCACGCUGAUAAGUAGCACCUGCAUUUUUCAACCCGAAAGACAUGGUCUUGUAGGCGUAAGUUCCAUAUGGGGUAAUAAAUGCGGUCUUGAUUUGAUCUUCUUCCUUGAGAGCGAUCUGGUGAUACCCUGAAUAACAAUCGAGGAAACAGAGCAAAACACAGCCUGCGGUCGAAUCGACUACCUGAUCAAUACGAGGGAGCCCAAAGUGAUCCUUUGGACAAUGCUUGUUAAGAUCAGUAUAAUCAACACACAUCCUCCAUUCUUUGUUCUUUUUUAACACAAGAACAGGGUUAGCUACCCACUCUGGGUGGAUUACUUCUUUAAUGAAUCCAGCCGCGAGGAGUUUAGCUAUUUCCCGUUUAAUAGCCUCCCGUUUAUCAGGGGCAAAAUGGCGAAGGCGCUGUUUUUUGGGCACAGCAUGCGGGUACACAUUAAGACUAUGCUCGAUCAACUCCUUGGGCAACCCUGGCAUAUCCGAUGGUUUCCAUGCGAAUAUGUCUCGGUUAGCCCGCAGGAAGUUGACGAGCGCGAAUUCCUAUUUAUCGCCUAAGCCUGCGCCGAUGACGGUUGUUUUGGAGGGAUCGCCUUCUUGAAGCUGAAUCAUCUUGAGAGCCACGUCGCCCGUCGGCUUGACGCUGGACUGGCUCGGCUUCUUCGACGGGAUGUCCAACUCGACUUGCUGGGCAGUUGCGAGCACUUCUGCAGAACUUCCUGGUGCAUGAGAAGUCAAUGCAAACUGGAUGGCCUCCUGGGUGCAGUCAUAGGACUUCUUCAAGUCACCACGGAGGGUGAGGACGCCACCGCGUCCUGGCAUCUUGAGAAGCAAGUAGACAUAAUGUGGCACUGCCAUGAAUUUGGCCAGCGCUGGCCGUCCCAGAAUAGCAUGAUAGGAAGACUCGAAGUUGGCCACCUCGAACUUGAUGAACUCGGUUCGGUAAUUUUCCCGUGUCCCAAAAGUGACAGGGAGCACCACCGUGCCAAGCGGAUAUGCAGCGUUGCCAGGGACAAUACCAUAAAAUGGAGCCUUGCUUGGGGUAAGCAUGUUAGUCAAAUCCAGGCCCAUCUUCUUUAGUGUGCUGGCAAAGAUAAGGUUGAGCCCGCUCCCGCCGUCAAUAAGAACUCGAGUGAGCUUGACUUCGGCCACCACAGGGUCCAAAACCAAUGGGAACUUCCCGGGCUCAGAGAAACUGGUCCAUUGAUCAUCUCGAGAGAAAGAGAUGGGAACCUCCGACCACCGAAGAGGUUGUGGUGUCGCCGGUUCAACAGAUAAAAUCUCUCGUAGCAGUAGUUUCUGUGUCCGUUUGGGGCAAAAAUCCCCGUCACCACCAAAAAUAACGUUGAUGGUCUUGGAGGCAUCCUGAAACUUGGCAGUCUCAGAUUUGUUUUCUUGUUCCUCGACUGCGGGUUCCUUGCCCAUUGACUUGUUCUGUUUACUGGGGCCAGAAGAGCCAAAGGUGCGCUUGAGCUGAAAACAGUCAAUUGCCGCAUGCUUAGAAUUGACACACCAUGGGCACUUCUUUUGCAAGAGUUUCUCGAACUGUUCCUGCGUGGUCGACUUCUUGCCACGCAAAGGGCGUUCAGUAGCCGCGACGAGAUUGUCUGGCUUGCGUUUUCGAGAAGAACCCGAAAAAUCCCGCUGGCCCUUGUCGACCCGGUUGUCGUUGUUACGCUUCUGGCUAAGAUCGGGUCGUCGUGGAAACCUUUCGCGCAUCUUUUCCUCUUGUUCGGCCCAGUCAUGCAUCAUGUCGCGAAGUCCAGCGACCGUCUUAGGCCUAUUCCGCCCAAAAUCACGAUAUAUCCCUGGAUCCGUGAUUCCGUUGUAGAAGCAGUCGAUGAUAUCAUCCUCGGAGAUAUUUACAAUGGUGGCUCGCACGUCGAAAAAACGGCGAGUAUAAGACCGGAGAAGCUCGUUCCGUUCCUGCUUACACUGGGCGAGGUCAUGUCGAGUACCAGCACGCGUGAUCGCCCCUUGAAAAUUGUCGAUGAAGACCUUCUUGAGGCCCUCCCAGGAGUCGAUGGAGUCACGUGGAAGGCUUUCAAGCCAAGUAAGCGGCGCAGGCUCCAAAGCCAUUGGAAAAUAGACGACUUUAGUGGUAUUGGACCCACCGGCCACCUCCACGGCGGUGGAAUAGCAGCGAAGCCAUUGUUGAGGGGCCUGUCAACCGUCAUACUUAGUGAUUCCAAUCGGCUUGAAACCCGCCGGGUACUUAUAGCUGUUAAAUCGCGUAGUAAAUACAGGAAAACGAUCGCUGCAGUCAGCAUCGUCCCGCUCGACUACAUCGCGUUCCCGUCGUCUCGAGUCGAUGAUGGACCGAACGUCACGCCCUUCGUUAAUCUUCUGGCGAAGGUCCGGCUGUGGAUGCAGACGGUUGGGUUGCCUCGGGUUGCUCACCUGAGGUGGCUGCCGCCUCCCUCCGGUGGCCUGGCUCCCCGCCGCGCCGUCCUGGUUGCUUCGUUGGGGCCGCGGACGGCCACCAGUAGCCCGGCUUGGUGCCUGGCUACGACUGUCGCCCACGCGCUCCCCACCGACAAGGGAUGCCGGAGCCUGCUGGUCCAACUGAAUCCAAGCCCGUUGGGCAUAACGAAGUGCUUGUCGAACACUGGGAUCAUUGCUCCGUUCAAGUAGCGCUGUGGCUCGCGCAAUGUUAGCCACCGGAGUUCUGAAACCUCGUUCAUCCGCCGCCGCGAACUCAGCAUCGAGUUCGCGCUGUGCAGAGCGCAUGCGCUCAUUAGCCCUCCGUCGACGGAUCGCGCGGGCCCUGUUCCUAGCACGCCGCGCAUUACACUCUGCAUCGUCUUCAACCACCGCAUCGGCGGUGUCUUCAUCCUCUGAAAUCCCUUCAAGCGCUCCAAUGGGGAUGAGAGCAUCCUCCUCCCCCUCUUCUGCCAUCAGCACUUGACGGGUAGCGAGCUCAUCAGAGGAAGUCUCGACUAGUUCAGUCGAUCCUUCUGUGAUGGUGGCCAACGCCCUGCCCUCCUGAAAGGGCAAUCGGUCAAGGUGGGCCACCAAGCGAUCUUCGUGCCUGAGUAAAUCGGACAAUCCUAUCCCCUUCCAGUGAACAAUGCGUCCUUCAGGGGUGUGGGUUACCACCAUCCCACAAGCAACAAGAUGAUCCUCAGCCUCCCGGGUGGCGGUGGUAUUGGGAUCCCUGACUUGGAGCAGACAGUCCAAAUCCUUCUCUAAUGCGGAGAAAAAUUCAGGAUGGUCAGAGUUUGCUGCAGACUCCUUGGCCAAAGCGCAAGAUGGCAAUUCAUCGAGAUUGUCGACGAAGUCAUCGAGCUCCGUUACGGAUGAUCUCGGCUUGUCGACGUUGCUGGCGACAUGGCGACGAAAACCGCCCGCACCGUCGGCCACGCAGACCCAUGAGCCGAAAACCAUCGUUGUGCCCUCAGGGAGCACAGGGCUAGAAAAGCUGAAAAAAGCCAUCGAGUUCACCUGUAGAUCUUCGAUGCGGUCCCCUACCUGGCGCGCCAGCUGUCGGUGUUUUACCGAUUGCCCACCAAGGGGUAUGCCCAAGGUGGUAGAAUUUAGGUGGGGCAGCACCAAGAUCAGUAACUCGAAGGUGCAAGCAACACAAGAUUUAGACAGGUUCGGGCCGCAAUAAGCGUAAUACCCUACGUCCUGUUGGGUUGUAUUGCCUUGGAUUGUAUUGAUUCUUAUGUUGGUUCUCCAUGGUCUGCCUAUCUAGGUAUCCCUGUGUCGAUGUUUUACCGAUUGCCCACCGAGGGGUAUGCCCAAGGUGGUAAGAUUUAGGUGGGUCAGCACCAAGAUCAGGAACUCGAAGGUGCAAGCAACACAAGAUUUAGACAGGUUCGGGCCGCAAUAAGCGUAAUACCCUACGUCCUGUUGGCUUGUAUCGAUGAUGAUUAGAUUGUUUUUGGAGGGAUCCCUGCCCUCCCUUAUAUAUCCGGGAGAACAGGGUUUAAGAGUCCUAACCUGAUUCUAGCUUAGGAACCGUACCCGGAUACAACUCGGGUAGUUUCCUUCUGUAUCGGCUAGUCCAUCUUACAAACAGAGAUAGAGAUAUAGGCCAUGCCCUAUCCCUUAUCCUAAUUAGACUACUCCUCGUGAGCAGCCCCGUUGCCCCGGGUCUGACAAGCCCCCGAGCUCUUCGUAGCUGAGAUCUGCAGGCUCCUCGAGUACUCCAGAAGCAACUGUUGACUUCCUUCAAGACACCCCUUUGAAGCUUUGUAUCGAGUUCUUCUUUUGCCGCAUCGAAGCUAUGAUGUGCUCUAGCCCCGAACUCCUGCCUUCAUGUGGCGUAGCCCCCGAGCCUCAAGUCGAUCCAUCAACCAAGGCCAAGGUUCACACAAAAAAUACUCCUUGCAUGAUCUUCAAAAUAAUCCUGCAAAAAAUUAUGCAGUCGAUGCCACGUAUCCCACAGCCCCCGAGCCUUGUCCCCUAAUCUCCAACUUAGGUGAUAAGGAUCCAAUACUCGUGGCAUACAGGGACAACAAUCUUGCAUAGGAGAGAUGAUAUAGCCAGUAGCAUUUGACCGUGUUAUUCAAAAAACCCCUUCUUUCGGAAUUUAUAUCCCUGAAAAAAUGGUAAAUCGAAUAACAAACCCGAAAAAACCUGCUGGAAACCCCUCAACUUCCGAAUAUUCUGUGAAGUUAAACAGCCGAAAAGCCACACAGUGUACUACUUUCCACCCACUGGUUAUUUAACCACGAGAGCAGUUGGGGUAACGUUUGUGCGCUCAGGCAAAAAACUCGAACAGAUCUGUUCCACUUCCGCCGCCGCCUCUCUCCGCCCUAGCCGAAAACCCCAGUCCUGCCUCUUGCAACGCCCCCAAACCCGCAUCCAAAGUGCUGUUUGUGACGCCCAAAUCUCACAAUGGGGCAAAAAAGAUCUUCCAAGAAGGCGGAGAAAGAGGCGCAGUCAUCUGCGAACGAUUGGUCGCCUAGUAAGUGUUCUGAAUCCUCUCUUUUGCGCCUUGUGUCUGAUGGCCUUCUUCAAAGUCAAAAUCUUAUUCACUGGCGCGUCCCUCUUGAGGAUCAGCAUCCUCAAGAGAAUGAUAACGAGAUCGUUUCUUUUUUGCAUUUCGCCGAAAGAGGAUUGGCCUUUCCGACUUCUUCUUUUUUCCGCGGCCUCCUCUAUUUUUACGGCCUUGAACUCCAUCAUCUUAACCCUAAUUCCGUCUGCCACAUUUCCAUUUUCAUCCACCUUUGUGAGGCCUUUCUUGGAAUCGAGCCACACUUUGAUCUUUUCCGCUUUCUCUUUCGCGUAAAACCCCAACCCACCUCUGACAAUCCUUCUGUCAUUGGGGGCGCCGGCAUUCAACUCAGGCAGAAUGCCGGUGAUAAGUACCUCGCCUACAAAUUCCCUUCAAACAUUCCCGGAUGGAAGAGCCAAUGGUUCUACAUCGUCAACCAAUCUCCUCCGCUCCCGAAAAAAUCUGGUAAUCCUCCCGUUCUUCGGGCAGAAUGGAUCAUGGAUGCUCCCUCUGCCAACAUGGAUCAAGUCGAGGAACUCCUGGCACUGAUCGUGGUGCUCAAGGCCGAAGGCGUGACCGGAGCCUCCGUGCUGUACUCAUUCUUCAAGCGCCGGAUCCAGCCAAUUCAGCACCGCGUCAGACUUGGCUUCGAGUACCAAGGAACUGAGGAUCCGUCUCGUCUGUGCGCAGAAGAAAUUUCUGAUGCUGCUGCGCUGGGCCGAGUCAAGCGGGUUCUACUGGACGUGGACGCCGUGCCCUACGUGCCCAAGCUGUUUUCAGCUCAAAACCCACCAAAUCCGGUAAGUCUUCGAGUACUUGAAUUGUGGAAAAAUGCCUUUCAUAUUCUCGCGUAGAUCUUGAAAGAACUGAAGGCAGGAUCAGACGGCCUUGUACCGGAGCUAUCCGCCCCAGCCAGAAUUGGCACGUCCCUACCACCUUCUCCCGAGCGCCGCCGUGGCUGCCAAGAAGGCACAACUCGAAGAAGAGUUCGGGGGAAGUGGUGAUACCGACACUUCAGGCGAGAACUCAGGGCCGACGCAAGAGCCCCCUCGCGUGCCCCGCAUCGAGCAAGCGAUGCGGAAACGCAAACUCGCGACUGCGGACCACCCUGGGUAUGUAUGCAUAAGACUCUGAUUAGUUAUCAAUACAGAAAUACUUACAUAAUCGGCGCAGGUUAUCGACAUCCGCCCCCGCUGAGAAGCGAACGAGGGAGACCCCUGCGCCCGAGGGUGACGCUUCGGCGAUGAGCGCCGACGCCCCUGGUUCCACAGAACCGGCGGCGGUCAUCGACGCCGUCACCAUUGCCGUGCCUGGGGUCGCACCAGAACCCGCGACACCCGUUACAAGCACGACACCGACCCCGCCAUCCGGGCGCACCGGCGAUAGGCCUUCCGUGGUGUUGCGGAAAAAACUUCCCGUGAAGACCUCAUCACAGUAAGUACUCACGCUUGCUUGUUGUUGUUGUUCGAGUACAUGUAGCCGACGCUUAGGCCACCAUGUCCUGUGCCAGGAGCCGCUCUGCCGCCGGGUUAGGCAAAUCCCUUGCGGUUGCGGGGGAAGGCAGCACAAAAUCUGCAGAGACUGCUGCAGCCCCCGGGACGAGCGCGGAACAGCCCGCAAGCGCGGACAACCCGGCGCCAAUCAUUGGAGAAGCCUCAGCUCCUGCCGCUGCCCCGACUCCUGCGACCACGCCGAGCAACCCAAGGGCAAGCGGCGAGAAACAACCCGAAGGAGCACAAGGUCUCCUCAAGGGAGCAGCCGGACCCUCCCAAAGGCGCGAACAGCUAAUCAGCCCAGAAGGGGAAAUGGAGACCGAGCUGCUCGAUGACCCGCUGCUCACCACAGACACCGCCCAUUGGCUGGCGAAAACCUUCGAUGAUCUAUGGGAUUUCACCCAUGUAAGUCUGAAUUCAGCACCAGACUUAUAAUUAUGAAGUCGAUCCACCGAUAUUCAUAUGUUUUGACCUGUCCUUUUGAAACAGGACCUGGCCCAGCUUUCCUUGAAGAAAUCCGCUGCCCUGGAGGAGGCCCGAAAGCGUCUCCGUAUGGAGAAAAAAUCGGAGGACCGCCUGAAGGAAGAAACCGCCAAGAACUCCAAACUUCAAGUCCAGGUGGACCAACUGGCGAAAGAGAAGGCUGAACUCCAGGAGCGUCUCAAGGAGCAGAAGAAAGCGCAUCAAGGUAUGUCGACUUCUCCUUGAGCCGCUAUUCGUGUUGUAUCCGAGCUUCGAUCUGAAACCUGUUUCAAACCGCAGAGCUCAAGAAACUCUUAGCUUUUAAAGAAGAGUUACUUACUGACGUGAAGAAUAUGCUGUAUCGCCGCACAGAUGAUGUCAAGAGGAUGCAGAAGAUGAUCGACGAUUCCGACAGGCAACUCGUCGACUGCCUUCGGCAAGUCAAGACGCUGAGCGAAGAACACGAAGAACUCAAGGCGGCGGCCCAGCAAGUACUCGACGCGGUGGAGCCACAAGACGAACCGACGACCGCAGGCGCAACGCUUAUAGAGCGACUUCGUGGUGCCCCACAGAAGAUCCUUAGCGUCAUCACGGAGAACGCUGUCGAGUACGUGAGCCAUACCUUAGGACUGUUCAAGUCCUUUUGGCCAGAAGCUCAGCUGGGAGUGCUUGCCGAGGGGAAAGCGAGCGACUGCUCCGAGGAAGAGUUCCUGGGGUACCGGCGUGAGGUCGCCCCUUUAGCUGAGCAAAUUGUAAAAAGUUUGGAACAAGAGUAGGUCCUGUGACAAACAGUGUUAUUAAUUUGUAAAAUAUGUCGGCUUCUUGGCCAGUGGCCUCGUGUAGUGAUAAGAAACAUCCUCCCUGGUGCAGCGACUGGGUCCGGAUGGGCCAAUGCGCUAGAGAAGGACACCAUAUAGGCAGCGAUGAACCCGAACAAAUCGAGUCGCUGUGAUAGCCAAGUACUGUGAACAUCGUCACGGUGACUAUCUUUUUGCACGCAAGCAGUCGUGACUACCCCCGAGUAUAGAGGCUCGGCAAGUAGUCGAUUGCGGCUCGUUAUGUGAACUCGUCAAACUUGUAACGGACAGCGAGGCCCGAUCGGUUUGAAAAAACGAAUAUCAUUAUCAAGAUAACAAUAUAAGCUUGGAUUAUAAAUGAUGACCAAAACCUUCGCUUAUUACAAAUAGCACCUUCGACUUCUGUGGCACGUAGCCCCCAGAGUCAAAACAAACACUCAUCGAGUGUGCCCACCUGGACUAAACCAUUAGGGGAAGAAACGUCGUAGGUUCUGAAUGUUCCAUGAGUUAGGAAUAUCUUGACCGUCAGGGUGUUGUAGUCGAUAUGACCCUGGCCUUGCGACUUGCUUGACAAUAUAUGGUCCUUCCCACCUGGUAUUGAGUUUGUGUAGCCCAGCUUCGUCCUGAACGCGGCGAAGGACCAGAUCGCCUACAUUAAAUGACCGUUCCUUAACAUUGCGAUCAUGGUAACGUCGGAUUCCUUGUAGGUAUCGUGCUGACUGAACGAGAGCUGCGCAACGAGCCUCUUCAACAGAAUCCAACUCGAGCUGCCUGGCCUCAUCCGCCUCGCCUUCAUCGUACAUCUCGACUCUUGGAGACUUCCACAUAAUAUCAGCUGGUAAAAUAGCCUCAGAACCGUAAACUAAGAAAAACGGAGUUUGCCCUGUGGCUUUGGACGGCUGAGUCCGUAGCCCCCAGACGACAUGUGGCAACUCCUGGAUCCAUCGUCCAGCCUUCUUACUGUUCUCGUCGUAGAGACGUUUCUUGAGGCCGUCGAUUAUCAAUCCGUUGGCCCGCUCGACUUGGCCGUUGGCCCGUGGAUGGGCAACAGAGACAUACUUGACCUCAAUGCAGGAGUUUUCAAAAAAUUCCCAAAACUGGUUGGCCGUGAAGUUUGAACCUAAAUCGGUGAUAAUGGUGUUUGGGAACCCGAAGCGGUGUAAUAUGUCGGAGAUGAAAUCCACAACUCUGUCUGGUGUUAACUUGGUGAUCGGCUUGAACUCGAUCCACUUGGUAAACUUGUCGAUGGCCACCAGAACAUGUGUAAAGCCACCCGGCGCCGUUGUAAACGGUCCAAUCAUGUCCAGACUCCAACACGCAAACGGCCAGGAUGGCGGUAUAGUAAUGAGCUGGUGGGCUGGAACAUGUGACUGUUUGCCAAAGAACUGGCACUUUUGGCACCGUCGAACUAGAUCCUCGGCAUCUGAAACCGCUGUGGGCCACCAAAAACCGGCUCGGUAGGCCUUGCCCACUAACGUUCUUGAAGCUGCAUGAUUACCGCAAACUCUUUCAUGUAUCUCUCGAAAUAUGUCGGACCCGUCUGCAGUCGUGACACACUUCAUUAAUACACCCGUACGAGAACCCCGCCGGUAAAGUGUAUUGUUAACCAAGACAAAGCCCUUGCUUCGGCGCAUGACUCGAGCAGCCUCUGCACUGGAAGCGUGGACACCGGCUGGUAGUCGAUGUUCCCGAAUGAAGUCGAUAAAAGCCACCCUCCAGUCCUCUCCCAGCAUUAGAACCUCCCGACCUGUCCCGGAAGGGUCAGGGUCGGUGGUGAUCUGCGGGGAAGGACAAAUAGAUGGAUGACGAAGCUCCUGAACGAAGACGCCCGCUGGGACCUGUGCACGGGUGGAACCAAGUUUGGAUAGUAUAUCGGCGCCCACAUUGUUGUCCCGUGUUACAUGAUGUAUCUCCAGGCCAGGGAACUUGCUCUCCAAUUUGCGUACUUCUUGGACGUACGCAUCCAUGGUUUCCUUGUUGCAAUCCCACUCCUUGUUGACUUGUUGAACUACCAGAAGGGAAUCACCAUAAACAAGUAGACGCUUAAUCCCCAGUGAUAUCGCUGAAGCGUCCCCCCAUCAGGGAAGACUUAAAAGUGUCACUUUAUCAGUCCCAGGAGGCUGAUAACACUUUUAUUACAUCAGAUGGUUCAUCACCGUACAACUCUACGCGGUAAUGGGCAGUGAAACGCCACUAUCGCGAGGAUUACAACCAGAACCCACACAACUGCACUAGCUACGAACAAAGGAUCAUCAGAGUCUUGCGUCAUGCGGAAUCCAACGGUGGCCUCAACCACAGGCAAGACUGGGUGCAGGACGAAACCCUACUCGUUGUCUUCGGGGACGUAGUCUGGGUCUUCCACUGUAAAAGUAAGAAUGGGGUGAGUACAAACGUACUCAGCAAGUCCAAUCACACCCACGGGGGGGGUUAUAACAGAAUUAGAUGCACAGGAUAAUUUAAGGAUAAAGUUACGGUUCUUUUGCGGAAACACAAUUAUAUGCAAGGGUUCGUUUUGAAAGCAUUUUUCAAAACAAGUUUUCAAGUGUCUAAGAACACACGAUGUCGAUCCUCACGGAUCCAAGUUUCAAGAAGCUACCGGACUUCCCGUCCGUCGUAGCACACAGCACCAUUGGCGGAUACUUUUCAAACAACUCACACCAGUCCAACCAUUUUCCCAAAGAGAAACACUAGUUAUGUGACCACACCGUAACUUGCCCAAUACCGUGGGCACGGCUACUCGAAUAGAUUUUAACUCUGCAGAGGUGUGCAACUUUACCCACAGGUGGGGUACCACAGCACGAACACCUUGGUGCCGGUGCAGAUCCCAUCGAAGCCCUUACCCACCGUAGCUAGACCUGACUAGCCACCCCGGGAUCAAUCAAGGGGUCAUUCGACCUAACACCGAGGUUUAACCGGGGCAUAAGUCACACAGAGCUUAUCCCGUCUCCUUGAUCACCCGUUGCUCCCAGCUCUCCUGAUGGCUAUCAGACUAACUAGUGGGGUUAGGCCAAGCCGUUGCCCAUACAACGGUCAAGUGGUUUGCACGACAGAAAGCUAGGUGAGAUGUCACAACAACUCGGUCCUUAGGGGUGACAGGACGGACAUCUCCCUCCCUUGCCCUACCACACAGGUACGAGCACACCAGCGGCAAUCCACACAGAAAUGCCAUCCAUCCCGUCUAACUUACUUUUCAAAACCACAUUUUAUCCCUUCCCACACACACACACAUUUCCUUUAUAAAAUCAGGUGUUCAAGGUAUGGUUAUCACAACCAGGGUGGCUAUCCUACCAUGUUUACGGCACGCAAAACCAUGCAAUUUCAUAAAACAGGCCACUGGGUUGCGUUUAUAAAAACUAGGACGAAAAUAUGCAUCAAAGGGCGGAAUUGAACUUGCCAUUGUCAAACCCUUGCGGGAAGUCCUGGUCGAAGCACUGUCCUUCGGGUUCGGGGUCGCAGAACUGGUCCUCAGUUGCUUGGCCGCGGUCGGGAACCUCGUCGUUCACUCCGUGUCCUACGACGUAAACAAACAGACACACAAUCAAGCGAAAGAACUAAAAGCUUUUAUCGUUGGGCUUGAAUCGGAAAUAAUUUAGUUACGGAGUUAGGGGUGGUAUCUCUGGGCGGUUUCUUGUUGGCAUGGCUAAAACUAUACUAUAAAAGGCGUGGUAAAGUUUCGGAUCGAUCGGAGGUCGUUUCGCACAUAAAAUGACGCGCUAAAGGUGGUUUCGGUGGUCACACAGGGCCCUAGGGGUUUAUUCGUAAGUAUCCGGAAAUAGCAGGGACCUUUUUGUAAAUCCUAAAAUUUCUCGGGGCAUGCUAAAGAGUGCCAAAUGUAUCUAGGUUCAAGUAUUGGAGGGUUUGUUUUGAAAUAAUAAAAAUAGUGAGGUCUCAUUAGCAAAAGAAGUAAUUAAAUGAGAGGGGGGGGCUUCUUUUGGGGAUUACAGGAAAAAGGGAGGGGGUUAUGGGCAUAAUGCCCCUCUCUUCCUCCUCACCCGUUGACAGGAAACAGGGGAGGGGCAGGGGCGGCGGCGGCGGGCGGCGCCGGCCGGCCAGGGCCCAAGGGUGGCCCGGGGUAGGGGAAAAGGGGCAGGGGAGCAAGGGGGACUAAUCCCCGGCCUCACCUCGGGCUGAGGUGGGGCGAGGAGGCGCGGCGACGGAGGCCGGCGGGCGGCGGCAGUGCGGCACGGGCGGGCGGCAAUGGAGGCGCGGGGAGAGGCAGGAGGCGGCGGUGAGAGGUGUGGGGGAACGAGGGGCUGCGCGAGGGCCUUCUUAUAGGCGGAUUGGAGCAGCAAGGAGGCGGGGCCGGUGGGGAGCGAGGCGCGGGCGGCCGGCGGGCGGUGCGGGCGCCAUUAAUGGCGCUCGGCCGCUUGCGGCCGUCGCGACGCGGCACGGCGGUGGACGCGGGAUGCUAGCGGCGGGCGGCGCGUCGGGGCGGCAGUGGCGGGCGGCAGGCGACGCGGCGGACGGCGCGACGUCGCGGCCGUCCUGACGGCGAGCGGCGCGGCGGUCGGUGCGGCACGCGGGGCACGCGCGGGCGCGCGCGUGGGCACGGGUGGGCGUGUGCGUCGCGAGGCUGGGCAGGGUGUGCGCGCGGCAAGGCUGGGCAGGGCGCGUGCGGCGCCCAGGGCCGGCGCACGGCCGCGCGGCACUCGGGAGCAGGGGAAGGAGGGGAAAACAGGGAGAGGAGGAGGAACAGGAAAGAAAAGGAGGAAGGAAAGGGAGGGAAAGAAAGAAAAAGGAAAAGGGAAGGGGAGGAAAAAAAAGAAAAAGGGAAAGGGAAAAAAAAAUAGAGAGAAGAGGGAGAAAAAAGAGGGAGGGGAAAAUGCCGGCGCCGGUCGCGGCGGCGACCGCGGCCGGUCGGCCACGCGCGGGGAGGCGCGCAGCGCGAGGAGGAAAAAAAGGUUGCGUCGGCGCUGAUCGCGGAAAGCGGUCGCGCGGUUGUCGUGACGCGGCCGGGUGCACAGGGCGGAAACGUGACAGCGCGCGUGUGGCGGAGAGGGUCAGGUUUCGACGGUUAAGUUUGUAGUCGGAACGCGUAGUUUAGAUUUGAAAUUUUCGGGGCGUUACAAUCGCCAAACGGAGCCCAUGAAGCAAGGCCUCAUACUCGGCUUCAUUGUUUGGUACCUCCCAAAGGAUCUGAAGCACAUAUUUCAGUUGUUCACCCCUUGGUGAGAUGAACAGAACCCGAGCGCCGCCGCCCUCAAGAUUGAGGGACCCAUCAAAAUACAUGGUCCAGUGUUCUGGCUUUGUGACUGGAGUUGAAAUUUGAUUUUCUCUCGACUCUGCCAAGAAGUCGACCAAAGCUUGGGAUUUGACUGCAGUGCGUAGCUUGAAGUCGAGUGACAAAGCCCCCAGUUCCACUGCCCACUUGGAUAUACGGCCCGUGGCAUCAGGAUUAUGCAAGAUGUCCGCCAGCGGGAAAUCCGUAACAACAGUAAUAUUGUACUCGUCGAAAUAAUGGCGUAGCUUCCUGGAUGUAAUCAAUAUAGCGUAAAGAAGCUUUUGAACAGCCGGGUACCGUACCUUUGACUCAGAGAGAACUUCGCUGACGAAGUAAACGGGCCGCUGCACACCGAAAGCAUGGCCCUCUUCGCUGCGCUCGACAACAAUGGCGCUGCUGACAACAUGGGUUGUUGCCGCAAUAUACAACAGGAGGAUCUCGCCUGGUAAAGGUGCCGUGAGGAUGGGAGGCGACUGUAGGUGUUGUUUCAGUUCCUGCAAAGCUUGCUCGGCUUCUUCCGUCCACCGAAAUUUAUCUUGGCGCUUUAGAAGCUUGAAGAAAGGUAGUCCCCUCUCCCCCAGAUGGGAGAUAAACCUGUUUAGCGCGGCCAUGCACCCUGUAAGCUUUUGUACGUCUUUGAUUGUAGCAGGGGCCCGCAUGUCGGUGAUGGCUGUGAUCUUCUCCGGGCUAGCUUCGAUACCGCGGUUACUCACAAUGAACCCGAGUAACUUUCCUGAAGGUACGCCGAAAAUGCACUUGGUGGGGUUGAGCUUCCACUGGAACUGACGAAGACUGUUGAACGUUUCCUCUAAAUCUGAGAUUAGGCCAUCAGGACUUCUGGUCUUAACGACCACGUCGUCCACGUAAGCCUCAACGUUCCGGUGGAGUUGUCUUGCAAAACACAUCUGGAUUGCUCGUUGAUAAGUGGCCCCUGCAUUCUUCAACCCGAACGACAUGGUCUUGUAAGCAUACGUCCCGAACGGGGUGAUGAACGCAGUCUUGAUCUGAUCCUCUUCCUUGAGAGCAAUCUGGUGGUACCCUGAAUAACAGUCAAGAAAACACAAAAGCACGCAACCUGCGGUUGAAUCGACUACUUGGUCAAUACGAGGUAGCCCAAAGUGAUCCUUGGGACAAUGCUUGUUGAGAUCGGUGUAGUCGACACACAUUCUCCACUCUUUAUUCUUUUUCAAAACAAGUACAGGAUUAGCUACCCACUCGGGGUGCAUCACUUCUUUAAUGAAUCCAGCCGCGAGGAGUUUAGCGAUCUCCUUCUUAAUAGCUUCUCUCUUAUCCUGAGAGAAUCUACGAAGGCGUUGCCGUUUUGGAACGGCACGCACAUCUACAUUAAGGCUAUGCUCGAUCAGUUCCCUGGGCACCCCUGGCAUAUCGGCAGGUUUCCAUGCAAAUAUGUCUUGGUUAGCCCUAAGGAAACUGACAAGCGCGAGUUCCUAUUUGUCACCCAAGCCGGCGCCAAUGAUGGUUGUCUUGGAUGCAUCGCCUUCUUGGAGCUGGAUCGUCUUCAGAGCUACUUCGUUAGCUGCAUUGAUGCUUGAUUGGCUCGACUUCCUUGAAGGGAUUUCCAACUCAUCUGGGGGAAGGCACUGCGCGGCCGCGAGUACUUCGGCUGAAGCUUCUGGCCGGCGUGAAGUCGAGGCGUACUGAAUAGCCGCCUGGUUGCAGUCGUACGACUUUUUGAAGUCGCCGCGGAGGGUGAGGACUCCACCGCGUCCUGGCAUCUUGAGAAGUAGAUAAACAUAAUGUGGCACGGCCAUAAACUUGGCGAGCGCCGGACGACCCAAGAUGGCAUGGUACGAAGACUCGAAGUCCGCCACCUCGAACUUGAUGAACUCGGUACGGUAGUUCUCCCGUGUGCCGAAGGUAACUGGGAGUACGACUGUACCUAAUGGAUGAGCUGCAUUGCCCGGGACAAUGCCGUAGAAAGGUGCCUUGCUAGGGGUGAGCAUAUCCAUAAGGUCAAGGCCCAUCUUCUUCAAAGUGCUAGCAAAAAUAAGGUUGAGGCCACUCCCGCCGUCGAUAAGGACUUUGGUGAGCCUAACCUCUGCCACCACCGGGUCAAGAACCAAGGGAAACUUGCCUGGCUCGGAAAAACUAGUCCAUUGAUCUUCCCUUGAAAACGAUAUGGGGACCUCCGACCAUCGCAAUGGUCGUGGUACCGCCAGCUCGACAGACAUUAUUUCCCGGAGAAGCAACUUGUGGUCUCGCUUGGAACCAAUCUCGUCCGCGCCCCCAAAGAUCACGUUAAUGGUUUUGGAAGCGUCCUGGUAUUUGGCACCUUGCGACUUGUCCCCUUGAUCCUCGUUCUCAGGCUCCUUGCCUUUCGACUUGUUCUUUUUGUCCUCCACCUGAUUGCUAAAUGUUUUACGGAGGUGGUAGCAAUCAAUGGCGGCAUGGGCGCCCUCCGGGUGCCAAGGGCACUUCUUCUGGAGGAGCCUCUCGAACUGCUCCUGAGUUGUCGACUUCUUGCCACGCUGGGGACGGUUGAGAGCCGCGACAGUAUCGUCUGGCUUUCUCUUUCGGGAUGGGCCCGAGUAGUCCCGCUGGCUCUUGUCGACGCGGUUAUCAUUAGCACGGUUUGAGUUGUUAUCCAUACGCCGGGGGAACCGCUCCCGCAUUUUUUCCUCUUGCUCAGACCAAUCAUGCAUCAUAUCACGGAGGCCUGCCACGGUCUUGGGGCGAUUACGCCCGAAGUCUCUGUAAAUACCAGGAUCCGUAAUGCCAUUGUAGAAGCAGUCGAUGAUGUCUUCCUCGGAUAUGUUGGCGAUGGUAGCACGAACGUCGAAGAAACGACGUGUAUAAGAUCGUAAAAGCUCGUUGCGCUGCUGCUUGCAUUGAGCUAGGUCGUGUCGAGUACCUGCACGGGUUAUGGCGCCCUGGAAAUUGUAGAUAAAAACCUUCUUAAGCGCCUCCCAGGAGUCAAUAGAGCCGUUGCUGAGGCUCUCCAACCACGUCAGCGGAGCAGGACUUAAAGCCAUCGGAAAGUAGACGACCUUGGUAGUGUUUGUACCCACUGCGACUUCAAUAGCAGUAGAGUAACAGCGCAGCCAUUGUUGAGGGGCCUGCUUACCGUCGUAUUUAGUGAUCCCGAUAGGUUUAAAACCCUCAGGAUACCUGUAGUUGUUAAACCGUGCUGUGAACGCGGGAAAACGAUCGCUGUAGUCGAAGCCGUCCUGAUCGGCGCCGCACCGGUCCUUACGCCGCGAAAUAAUCACUGAUCGAGCAUCACGUCCUUUGUUGAUCUUCUGGCGUAAGUCUUCCGCAUGGUGGUGCGGAUUGCCCCCUGGCGGUGGCUGCUGCCGUCCGCCAGUGGCGUGGCUCCCACGCCCCUGAGCAUUGUUAUUCUGCGGAGGGCGAGGGCGCCCUCCCGUAGUGCGGCUAGGAGCUUGACUACGACUUUCCCCGACUCGCUCUUCACCCGCAGCCGAUGACGGGUGUUGCUGAUCAAGCUGAAUCCAGGCACGCUGCGCAUAGAGAAGAGCUUGCCGAAGAGCUGGGUCAUUGCUGCGCUCGAGUAUGGCGGUAACCCUGGCUAUGUUAGCCACGGGAGUCCGGAAGCCACGCUCGCUAGCAGCUGCAAAAUCAGGGUCUAAAUCACGGCGCGCAGCUCGCCCACGUUCAUUAACCCUCCGACGUCUAGCGUUGCGCGCCCUGUUCCUGGCCCUCCGAGCCUCACGGGCAGCAUCGUCUUCAUCCUCGGCAUUAGCCGUAUCUUCAUCUUCAGAUAUGACCACCUCGAGAUCGAGGCACGCAUCGUCAUCUCCUUCUGCCAUCAUAACCUAACGGGCCAUGAGCUCGUCAGAGCUCGCGUCGACUACCUCGGUCGGCUCUUCCUCGAUAGUAGCGAGGGGCUUGCCCUCCUGAUAAGGCAAAGCCCCCAAGUGCGCUACAAGCCGAUCCUCGUAGUCGAGUAGCUCUGAUAGGUCAAAGCCUUCCCAUUGCGCAAGACGCUUCUCCGGUAUAGAUGUAAUAACCGGAUUGGCUCCAUCGAAGAGACCUGAAACCUCCCGACUAACGGUGGUUCCAGGCAAUGCCCGCUGCGACAGAGGAAUCGAACAGUUAGAUGUUACCGAAGAGAGGUCAGGAUCGGUUAUGAUAAAGCGAUCCGAGGUCGUGGCGAAGUCGGUCUCCUCCGUGUCCCUGGAAGAGUCCCGAAUUGACUGUUCGUGGAUUCCCGCCAUGAGAUCACCCUGAUGCGUGGUGACGACGGAUUCCGCGACCGUUGCGAUGUUGGUGGAGAAUCGGCGAAAACCGCCCGCGCCAUCAGCAACACAGGACCACGAACCAAAGAUGAAGGUCGUGCCCUCCGGGUGCACGGCGCAGGCGAACUUGAACACUGCCAUCGAGUUCUCCGACGGAUCUUCGAUGCGUUCCCCUACCUGGCGCGCCAGCUGUCGAUGUUUUACCGAUUGCCCACCGAGGGGUAUGCCUAAGGUAGUAAGAUUUAGGUGGGGCAGCACCAAGAUCAGGAACUCGAAGGUGCAAGCAACACAAGAUUUAGACAGGUUCGGGCCGCAAUAAGCGUAAUACCCUACGUCCUGUUGGCUUGUAUCGAUGAUGAUUAGAUUGUUUUUGGAGGGAUCCCUGCCCUCCCUUAUAUAUCCGGGAGAACAGGGUUUAAGAGUCCUAACCUGAUUCUAGCUUAGGAACCGUACCCGGAUACAACUCGGGUAGUUUCCUUCUGUAUCGGCUAGUCCAUCUUACAAACAGAGAUAGAGAUAUAGGCCAUGCCCUAUCCCUUAUCCUAAUUAGACUACUCCUCGUGAGCAGCCCCGUUGCCCCGGGUCUGACACCCUGCCCUCCUUUAUAUAUCCCAGAGGGCGGGGUUCCUAGUAGGAUUACAAGGUAGAGUUCUAGUAGGAUUACAAGGUAUGAUUCCUAGUAGGAUUACAAUGGAAUCCUAGUAGGAAUCGGACUCCUUUUUCCUCCAAACUACGCCAUGUGAGCAGUCCCGUAGCCCCGGGUCUGACAGAUGGCGUCUCCCGCCCUUAAAAAUGGCCACCAUUUCCAGGAGCGGGCACGUUACCCGCCCCUACAAAUAGUUAUUUUUAGCUGGGGAAGUAGGGACGGGUACCGCACCCGUACCUAAAAAUAUGUUUUUACUCGCCCUCUAAGAAUAUUUUUUGUAGUAGUGAUCGUUAAGAGGAACAUAGUGCUCUAAUCGAAUUUUAACACAGUUAUACUUAUCUAGUAUGUUAGUGUGGAAGAAAAAUAAGAGAAAAUACAUACUCCGCACAUGGUGCCUAAGCAUGUGGACAUUAGCAAACCAUGUGAUGGCCGUACUAUAGUGCUUCCGCACGGCUAUCCAUAGAGGAGUCUUUACCUAACGGUAUUGUUCAUUUUGAAUUACAUUUAUAUUUGCUUAUGAAGUCCUUCGAUAGAAUAAAAUAUUUUUAAUACAUUAAUUGUGAACUAAGAUUAUUGCACUCAAAAGAUUCAAGAGCCUUUUUUUUUCAAAACACAAUACUUGAGACGAAUAGGCUAAAGCAAUACUGCCAUCAGGUCUAUAAAUACCCGGGCGAAGAUGUGAUCUCUCAAACCAUCAGAGCCACUAAGGUUUGUAGGAGGCUAGGAGCAACCAAAGAGCAUGGCACAAAGCCCAUCUAUGCCGGUGCUAGCCAUGGCCACCACCAGUGCUGAGCUCAUCCAGGCCGAGGCAGAGCUUUGGUGCCACAAUUUCGGCUAUCUCAAAUCCGUGGCACUGCGGUGCGGUGCGCAAUAAAACUUGGGGUCCCCAACGCCAUCCACCGCCACGGCAGCGCGGCCUCCCUGUCGGAGCUGCACGCCGCGCGCCGUCCCCGUCGCCGCGAGCAAACGGCCAUGCCUGUCACGUAUCAUGGCGCUCUUGGCCGCGUCUGGUCUCUUUAGAGAGGAGACCGUCCCAGGCGAUGGCGCGGCGGCGGCCGAGCCGCGCUACCACCUCACCACGGCAUCCCGCCUCCUGGUUAACGACGACGCUAAGGGAGGUCGCAAUUGCGUCUCCCAGCUCUUCACCCUGUGCAGCUCACCGUUCUACUUCACGGCGUCCCAGAACUUGGCCGAGUGGCUCCAAGAGGGCGGCGGCGGCGGCGCGGACGCCGUUCACGAUGGCGCACGGCGCGGGUUUCUACGACGUCGUCAGCCGCGACGCGGCGUUCGCCGUGUGCUUCGACGAGGCGAUGGGCUCGGACAGCGGCGAGUACGGCGAGGUGCUGGCCGGGGUGGCGUCCCUGGUGGACGUCGAACGGUCAGAGGCCACAACGGGACGACGGCGAGGGCCAUUGCCAGGGCCUUCCCGCACGUGAAGUGCUGGGUGCUGGAUCUGCCCCGCGUGGUGGACACCAUGCCGGCUGAUGGCACGGUUGAAUUCGUUGCAGGCGACAUGAGGGAGUUCAUCCCUCCGGCUGAUGCUGUGUUAUUUAAGGUACGGAUUUAUGCGUAAUGGGAAGUGUCCAAAUUUUCAUGCAUGACUGAAAUUUUUAUUUCGUUUUAGUUUUUAUUCACCUUUUGUGGCUUUUUUUUGCAAGACAUUUUUUGAAUCUAUAGAUCAAUAUAAUUUACUUUUUUGAAACGCGGACACAGUCUAUCAUAUAUCAUAUACACAUAGGCACAGUGCCACAUAGGCAAUUGUUGUUUUAGAGGUUUUGGGUCUCUAAGAUAAAUUUUUGUUUCCGAUGAUUGAAUAUUAGCAAAGCUCUUAUCUUUUUACUUUUUUUACGUAUAUAUGUUUAGCUUAUAACAAUUUAUGCUAGAUAACUUGAACGCUGUGAUGCCUUGAUGACAGGUUAUUAUGUACUUAUGUGAUUACUGACUAUCUUACGACAGUUUGUAGGUACGGGUGCGGUACCCGUCCCUACUUCCCCAGCUAAAAAUAACUAUUUGUAGGGGCGGGUAACGUGCCCGGUCCUGGAAAUGGUGGCCAUUUUUAAGGGCGGGAGACGCCAUCUGUCAGACCCGGGGCUACGGGACUGCUCACAUGGCGUAGUUUGGAGGAAAAAGGAGUCCGAUUCCUACUAGGAUUCCAUUGUAAUCCUACUAGAAAUCAUACCUUGUAAUCCUACUAGGACUCUACCUUGUAAUUCUACUAGGAACCCCGCCCCCUGGGAUAUAUAAAGGAGGGCAGGGAUACCUAGAUAGGCAGACCACGGAGAACCAACAUAAGAAUCAAUACAAUCCAAGGCAAUACAACCCAACAGGACGUAGAGUAUUACGCUUAUUGCGGCCCGAACCUGUCUAAAUCUUGUGUUGCUUGCACCUUCGAGUUCCUGAUCUUGGUGCUGCCCCACCUAAAUUCUACCACCUUGGGCAUACCCCUUGGUGGGCAAUCGGUAAAACACCGACACCAUCACCCGCCCCUAAAAAUACUUUUCAAAGAGCAGGUCGGAUGCUACACUAACUGCAUUCUAUUUGUACGAGCGGGUUACCUUUUAAUCCGCCCUUAAAAAACGGGGCGUUCCUACGAAUCGUUUUUUAUAGUGUUUAUAAUAGUAAGAUAUAAGAUAGAUUGAUUUAAGACAAACUAUAAAUACCUUGCACUUGUGGACGGAUGGGAAUCUGAUAUGGAAUGGUCAAUAAUCCAUAGUGAAGCUGGGUUGAGCCAAGCGCCGCUUAAUGGGCAUCGCUCAUUCACGACUUCUUGAGAGCAUGUAAGGUCUCUAGCAAUUUGAAUUGAUGCAUGCGUGUUUUGCUUGUACUAGAGCCUUCGGCACGCCAUUUUUUCAUCUCAGUUCAGAACUUUGAUUAGAUUACAUGUCAGCUGUUCACAGUAGUUCAGUUGGAAAUAGCAACAGACAGAGAUAGCUUGAAAAAGCGCAGUAUAUCUGGUAUAGCUUUAAAAAUAUGGAGCAUUGAAACUGUAGGAGAACCCGGCCGAUUCAUGUUGACGAAUUUGUUAACUAAAAUCAUGUUGCAUGAUGAUAUGCAGUAAGGCAGGCCAUACAACGUAACAUGUUUAUUUUAGUUAACACGCACAUUCAAAGGUUUGAAAUGCCCUUUCAAUUGUCAUUUCCUUCCUUCAGAAUUUUCUUCAGGCAGUGUUAGUCUUCAGGUCGCCAUCCAAUUAAGCAGCGAGUCCAUGUAUAUGAGAGAGAGAGAGAGAGAGAAAAUCAGCCACGUAUAAUCAAUUCACCCAAAAAUCGACCCAUCCUUCUCCAGUGGUAUGCAGGAUCUGCAACUCAAAGCGAUCAUCCCCCAUCCCCCAUCCCCGGGGGAGCUACAAACUUCCUCCAGUCCGGGUUAAAUCAAUGGGCAAGUAAAAAUUACCUAAAAUUAUAUCUAAGUCUACUGCUUUGUUUCUAAAUGCCAGAGUGAUUUACAUGGAAAUAACUAAAUCCGGGUCGUGCUGCAGCACGCCCAGCACGGGCCCUGGCUCCGCCCCUGCCCAUCCCCUCUCCCCUUGGCCACAAUGCACAGAGAGAAGCCAAGAGGAGAGGCAGCCGGUGAAGUGCUGCUACAGUGCCAAAAUUGGCGCCCCGACGCGUUGCCGCGGGGGGCCAACGACCUAUCUCAUGUGGAAGUUGACGUGCGGAGUAUGGCGGGAUGAAUGGCAUGCUUGCUGAAAUUGGAGGCACUCGCGCGCUCGACAUGGUGGCAUGCACGUGCUAUCAGCCUAUCAACAAAGUUGCAUGGCGCACCGAUCGACAAUGUCAAGUCGUUGUUGCAAUGGCAGCUCUCGUGCGCAUCUACGUACAGACGUGCACAACAUGGAUCCACACAUUUUUAGGGUUAUUAUAACACUACAACAGAAACACCCCUUUAAAAUGUAUUAUACGUUGCAAUAGGUGACGUUGCAAGGAUCUAUUGCAGCGGCCAAUGCUUCUCCAGGUUUAGUAAAAAUUAAAGUGUAUGGUUCGUCCUUCAACUUAUUUGGUCGUGUCGCUUAGAUUCUUGUAGUCCCAAAUGCAGAUAUGCCCCUAGACUUGGGGUGCCAUCUAAAUCUAUGUACUCUUAAAAUAUGGUUUAGUUGUUUCAAUGCAGCUAAAGCCAGCUAAAUUUUAGCUAGGUCUAUUAGCUGGGGGAUCCAAACAUCGCAAGCUAAAAUUUAGCUAGGAGAACUUUUAGCUGGCUAAAAUUUAGUUUUAAAAUUUUAGCUAGCUAAAUUUUAGUUGGGUAGAUUUAAAUAGAUCCUAGGUGAGAACAAUUUUUUUUUGAAAAAAGAUAAGUUGGGCACACUCGACAUCGUGGUACUAACAAGGAACAAGUUGCUAGUACACGAAGAAGGGAUGUAGCACAAGACGACAAGUCACUGUUGCAAUUGCGGCUCUCUUGUCGCUUGCAAGCACCACUUGAAAAAACGACCAAUAGUGAUGGGCCAAGAAUGGCAAUAGCCAAUAGUGACAUGCAUGCAUGGCGCCUAUAUCACCCGAGACGUAUCACUUUGAUUUGUAAAAACUAUAAUGAAGGGCAGGAGCCCGUAACUAUACAUUGACUGAUAGAAGUGACAGGCAAGAAGCAUAACCAAAGAUAUUUGGAUGGAUUUUUGGAUGUCCUCUCUUAGUAGGUUGUGACUUGUUGCAUCAAGAUAAUACCUGACUUAAUCAUUAAUUUGUUGGAUAAAUGAUUGCUACAUUCUUAUAGUCCAGCAUAUCAUGCACUUCCCUCUUUCCCAGCCUUUGUAAAAUUUGAGCCAAUGACUUGUAUAGUUCUAUAUCCUGGACAACGGAGGUUGGAUUUGGAUGAUCAAGCACAAGCAGGUGCCGUCACUACUACAACACCUUAUAUAGUUUUCAUGGGCACGAUGAAGUAGCACUUUUCUACUUACAACGACAACAAUGUUAGAGACCAAAACAGAGGAUAGAAAUACAGCCGUCGCUACAACAACACCUUCAUAUGUGCCGGUGCUGUAGGAAUACCGGUAUGGAUAUACGUUGAUACCCCACGCCCGGCUAAGUGUAAUGUAGAGGCGGCAACAAUAUGUUUUCGACACCAAGUCCAUUCAUAGCAGCACAGAUGGGCCGAUACUGAUAAAGGUUUCUGCAGUAGUGAUGAGUCAAGUUAUAUCUACAUUGGUACAAUCCUAACUAGUGGCGGAGCCAAAAUUGAGAGCUUAGGGGACUUUUCUUUCCUUCUUCCUCCUCCCUCCUCUCCUUCCUUCUUCUUCCUUCUUUCUCCUCAAAAUUUGUAGGAAGAUUUUGGAAGGCUUCCAUGGAAACCAAGGUGGUAGGGGGGCUUGAGCCCUCUGCACCCCCCCGAUCCUAACCUUAUUAACGACAUCCAUCCACAUAAGAAAAUAACUUUUUUUUGCAGUAUUACUUUCGGAAGAUUUCAAAGGUGAGCUAUGACAUCCAAAAUCGCCCGAAACUACUCAAAUAAGGUACAUCCGAAGGAGCUGAGUUUAGCAUUUUAUCUCAACUAAAUUCAAAACUACUUUUUAUGCAAAUUUUAAAGUACAUUUCAUCUAAAUUUCAAACUACAUUUUAUCUAAACAGCAAACUAGUUUGGCGUCCAUCCAUCCAUGUUGAUAUGAUAAUUGCAUGAUUUAUGUUACUCUUUACAAGAAUAAGAUAAGAAGUUGCGUGUAUGAACAUUUUACGGGCACCCUACAAAGCACAUAAAAAAACUUUGUAUACUCUCUCCGUUUUUAUUAAGUCAAAGUUAGCUAACUUUGACCAAGUCUAUAGAAAAAUAUAGCAACAACUAUACUAUCCAACAUAUGCACUAUCGACGUAUACUUCAUGAUGGAUUCAAUGAAACAAAUUUGAUAUUGUAAAUAUUAUUAUUUCUUUUCUAUAAAUUUGAUCAAAGUUAGCCAAGUUUGACUUAGGACAAACCUAAUACGACAUGUAAAUAAAAAUAGAGAAAGUAUUAUUCCUAAAAAUAUGGAGGCCAAGCAAAUUAAAUAUAUAAGGGAAAAUUUCAGAAAAACUACUUGGAAACCGUGGUUUCAAAUACAUGCAUCUUACUUCCUUACAAUGUGACACCUACAAAUUUUAUAUUUUUUAUAUUCUGCAUGUGUCUAUUGACUAGCCGAUGCGGUUGUCACAGUUCAGCCAUGAUAAAAAUUAUUAGAUUUUAAACCAUAUUUAUGUACCUUGAUGAGUUAGAUUAAAAUAAAUAUCAAUUACUAAAUUACAUAUCUCAUCAUCACUACAAGACUAGUAACUUAUCUCAACAGUUCCUUUUUGCAAGUGAUCAGCGGUUUAGGUGCAUUUGGCUAACCAACUAUUAUUAUAACUGCUGGAAAUGAGUUUGUCGAGAAUUAUGUUAUUGGAAAUUUCAUAAAAUUGUAUAAAAAAUACAAAUUAUAAUAGAAAAACUAUCGGUCACUCGGGAAAAAAAAAUUUAAAAGCGCUAAAAUUUUUGGCCACUUAAUAAAAUUGUUGGGAAAAUCUCAUAUCUUAUAGUGCAUUAGAAAUUUGUGUAGCAAGUUACAAACAUAAUUGUGAUGGGUUCAUGGCUAGAAAUGAGAUCAAUUCAUUAUCGGUGUCAGUUCCAACUACAGUAAUAAUGUCACUUUUUACAUCGGGUCAUGUCUAGAGCCUAAGAUAACAAUGGUAUUUUUUAUCGAUUCUGGCAUCGAAUAGAUCAACUGUAGCAAUUAAUAUAGAUGUUGUCGUCAGACUAUAUGGAUGACUUGGUACAGCUAGUUCCUAGCACUUAGUUUGAUUCUUACAAUCAGAAAUGAAAUUUUGAUGCUAACCAUCCUGUGUACAAUCUGAUUAUGUGUUGUCCUUUUGCGAUUGUGUACCGAGUUUAGUUGUGCUCUUUAGUUAAAAUUCUGAAACUUUAAUUUGUUAUUUGAUAUUUUGUUACAGAAAAGGUGGGCUGUCACCGAGUUAUUUGCUCAUCCUUUAGACAAGGCAUAUUUUAUAUGACUCUUUAUCUACACAUAUAUUUUUUUUUCUAUAUAGGCUAAGGAGACAGGAGGUGCAUAAGGCCUUCUCUGAUCAAUGCACGGACCUACAUGGCAUAUUUGAAGAAAAUCUUCACCACCGGAGAAGGUGAGCCAUAACAGGGAGUUGAGGCAACUACACGAGAGGUCUCUCCUAGCUGGAGAGCCCCUAAGGGUGUGUUUGGUUGGGGAGGCAAUUAGAAUGGAACAACUUCAUUCCAAUUUCUAAGAAUGGAGCCGCUCCGUUUUAUGUUUGGUAAGCAGAACGGAGUCACUCCAUUUUUUGUUUGGUUGGAGAGUGAGCUAGAGCAGAACCAUUCCAUUCUGUGUUUGGUUGGAGAGCAUGCAAGUGCAGUUACCUCCUCCUUCUUGGGGUGAACUUACCACCAUAUUUCACCAUAUUUCAGUUAAAAUGCUCAUAUACUUAUGCAAUAGAAUUAACUGAGUUUCAACAUGACAUAAUAUAUAGAAUUAAUCCAAAGUGCAUAUUGUUCAAGGACACAAGCGGCUUAAUUAAUCCCAAUUGCCAAUGAGAAACAAAGAAUUAGUGGCUGAAUCAAAAUCGCAGUGCAGGAACCUAAAACAAAAAAUCAAAAAUCAAGCCAGCUGGGAUGCGGUCAGCUUGGGGGGGGGGGGGGGGCGGGCACCACCGGCGGGCGGAGCGGGCACCGUUGCCCGGGAGGGGGGCAGGCGCCGCCGGGCGCUCGAGGCGGAGCGGGCAGGGGCUCGGGGCGGAGCGGGUGCCGCCGGCCGCUUCGGGGCAGAGCGGGCACCGCUGCGGGAGGGGGGCAGGCGCCGCCGGGCGCUCGAGGCGGAGCGGGCAGGGGCUCGGGGCGGAGCGGGCACCGCGGCCCGCCCUGCCGGGGCGGCGGCGGCGAGCGCCACCGGCCGCUCGAGGCGGAGCGGGCAGGGGCUCGGGCAGAGCAGGCACCGCCGCCGGAGGGGGGGGGGCCGGGAUCCACCGGCGGCGCGGGAGGAGGUGGGCGUCGGGGGUGAGCGGUACCUGUAGCCCUUGGGUGCGGGAGCAAGAAUGGGAGCGCUCGCGUGCGGUGGUUUCGGAGGAGCCGUUUCGUUCCGGAUAUUAGGAGAAUAUUCCCAUCUUUUGGCUUGCAGAGCCACUCCACUCUUUCUCAGUUACAACCAAACACGCAGAAAAAGAGGAGCGGAGCGGCUCCGUUCCAAUUCGCUCCCCAACCAAACACACCCUAACACUUUCUAUUUUUAUCCAACUGCGUCAUGCGUCAGAUUGAAAUGGAAACAACUCAGCUUCCCCUCCCGCACACAUCUGCAUGUGUGUCAAAAAAGAACGUGACUUCGUCCCACGGUUGCCUUGCAUGAUCAAUCUCAAUUCUAAGAAAAAAAUCAAUAGUUCCAUAACCGUAUAUCCAAAUCAAAAUUCGAUUAUACCUUCAUAGUCUCAAAAAGAAUAGAUUCAAGUAAACUGAAUAAUAUAAAUUAAGUGGGGCAAAGGACCUUACAGUAUCCUUCGUACGUCUUUCUUAUAUCUGCCCUUGCCAAGAAGAGAGAAGGGUUUAAUACCAACUGAGAGUCGGAUACCAAUGAAUAAAGAAAAAUAACGGGCUACAAUCACCUAUCCAAUGGAGUUUUUUAUUUAUUUUAUUUUCAUAUGCACAGACGCAGCUUAGAGCAAAUGACGCGGAGCGAGUUUGAAGAGAUUGAGUGAGUCCCUAAAUAUUUUUCAGCUAAAAUUUGAUGGAUGUAUUCAUGACGUGUAGAUGCGAAAACAAAUAAAGAUACCGUGAAUAUAUUAUUUUAUCAAAAUAUUGUAAUUUUAUUAUAUUUUAAACUAAUUUUAAGUUCUCCUGCCGUUACUUAAAAUGAGUGGAUGGUCCGAAACUAUGCUUUUUUCCAAGAUCCUGCUUACAUCCUCAGUUUUACGAGGCGCAUCGGGAUUUUUUCAUAGAAACGACUGAUCCGAAGCACGGCCUCAUCUGGCCGUCCGUUUAUACAUGGGGCGUUAACGAUCGGCAGCCGAUCUAUAAAACCAUAAAAACCCAACACCGGCCCAUCUCGUCUCCCCUCUCCCUCGUCUCCUCCCUCCCCGAGCCGCCACCCCCUCGAAACCCUAACCCUAGCCGCUCCCCGGGAGGCGGGGAGGAGAGCUCGUGGCACCGGCCAUGGCGGAGCACGACCUCACCGCGCUGCUGGCGGCGCAGAUGGAUCGCCACCUUGUGUUCCCGCUGCUGGAGUUCCUGCAGGAGCGGCAGCUCUACUCGGAGCCGGAGAUCCUCGAGGCCAAGAUCCGCCUCCUCAGCGGCACCAACAUGGUCGACUACGCCAUGGACAUCCACAAGUCGCUCCACGGCACUGACGACGUUCCCGAGGACAUGGUCCGCCGCCGCGCCGAGGUCGUCUCCAGGCUCAGGUCGCUCGAGGAGGCCGCCGCCCCGCUCGUCACCUUCCUCCAGAAUCCGCAGCUCGUCCAGGAGCUCAGGCCCGACAAGCAGUACAACAUCCACAUGCUCCAGGACCGAUACCAGGUUCGGGUUUUUUUUCCUCCCACCUCUACUGAUGCUCCGUUUUCGAGAUAGUUUUGGGCUGGUAGGAUUCCGUGUCAUUAGGAAAACUGAAAAUGAUUUGCUCUUACAGUGAGAAAAUCUUUGGGGAUAGCUUAUGUACUGUUUCUACAUGUGGAUUCAUAUAAUUAGCAUGGAAUUUGGCCCUAGCUCUGUACUUUGUUGUGAGGGAAUCUUGAUUAGUUGGAUGCAGACUGAUGCUCCUUCUUUACAGAUCACAUCACUAGAUUGUGAGAUGUGUUUAAUUCGGUAGCUUGCAUAGUUCAAUAUGUUCUAGUGUAGAUGUCCUAAAAUCUGGGAAUAUGUAGUGCUUAUUAGUUUCAUUUGAGGUUCCCAUGUAUUUUUUGGUUAGUGCUUGCAAAUUGGCAUAUAAUUCCGGAGUCAAAAUUUUUCUGAAGAACUGUUGCAGCUAAAUGCAUAGUAACUAAGAUCAGAACUCAGAUGGAACGUCGAUGCUGUGCAACUGUAUUGUUCUAGCAUGUUGUAUACUAAUCAACUGAUUCAAUCCUUGUUAACAAUGCAGAUUGGUCCAGACCAGAUUGAAGCUCUGUAUCAGUAUGCCAAAUUUCAGUUUGAGUGUGGUAAUUACUCAGGGGCUGCUGACUACUUGUACCAGUAUCGUGCUUUGUGCACAAACAGUGAGAGGAGUGUGAGUGCCCUUUGGGGAAAGCUGGCAGCAGAAAUCCUGAUGCAGAACUGGGAUGUAGCUUUGGAAGAACUUAACCGCUUGAAGGAGAUAAUUGAUUCAAAGGUUUUCCUCUUAACGCUUUAUACUUUGUUCUUUGUUGUUUAUCUACAUUAUAUUACUAACUUGUUUUGUUCCUGUUUUUUUUUGGCAGAACUUCUCAUCACCUCUGAAUCAGCUCCAGAACAGGAUAUGGCUGAUGCAUUGGGCUCUCUUCAUCUUCUUCAACCAUGAAAAUGGUAGAAAUGGGAUCAUUGAUCUGUUCUUCCAGGACAGGUUUGUAUGUUAAAAUCUAAAAUGACAUAGUUCCAUUGUCUUAUGUUGCAACAAACUUACAGAUGGUAGCAUUCUGGCAUAGUAGUUUAGAAAGUAGCAACAGUGAGACAAACAUUGGAAAAUUCUUCCAAAUAUCUGCAUUGCAGUCUAGAUGCUCAUAAAUCUUUUGAUUCAAUAGUCAGUGAAGGCAUCGUUUUCUGUUGAGAGAGUAACCUCUUGAAUGUAUCAAUGCACGGAAAUAUAGAACUAAGUUGUUUAUAGGCUUUGAAUAGCUUGUUUUUGGGAAAUCUAAUCUUGAUUCAAAAUUAUUCUCUUACUGUGUACUUUUACUGGUACAGCAAUCCUGUUCGAUGUUGGUACUAUUUUCUUCUUUGAUAUGGCGUUAAGGUUAAAUUCUCAGGAGUCAAUUUGCCUACUCACUUGUUUCUUGCCCAGGUACUUGAAUGCUAUUCAGACAAAUGCACACCAUCUCCUGAGAUACCUAGCUACUGCAGUUGUUGUGAACAAAAGGAGAAGGAAUAUGCUUAAAGAGCUGAUUAAAGUCAUUCAGCAGGAGCAGCAUAGCUACAAGGACCCCAUAACGGAAUUUCUGGAAUGCUUAUAUGUCAACUAUGAUUUUGAUGGUGCUCAACAGAAACUCAUGGAGUGCGAGCAGGUAACUUCAAGGAUGGUUUUCUCAAUUUUUAUCGCCAGAAAUUUUUGAACUUAAAUGUGUGCUUCUCGGGAUAUAGAAAAUCUUUAAAGACAAUGAAUCAUUUUCUUUGCAAAACAUCAUUCUUUGUAUGUCGCCCAGGUAAAAUGUUUUGUCCAUUCCAAGUUUAGUAUCUUAGAUGUAUCAUACAUUCCAGGAAUCUCAGCAUGCUGAAGCUGUAUAGUAAUAUAUCCUAUUUGAAUAAUUUAAAUGAGCUAGGAUUCUGAGGGCUUAUAAUAUGCUUGUCUGCAUUGCUGUCCCAACAAUACGCAAUGAUCAUUUUAUGAUAUGCUGUCAAACAACCUAAUGUACCUUCUUUAUGUUUAAAUGUGUACUUUUCUAGAUUAUUUUGAAUGAUCCUUUCCUGGGAAAGCGCAUUGAAGAAGGAAAUUUCGUCACUGUCCCUUUGAGAGAUGAGUUCCUUGAAAGUGCUCGUCUGUUUAUUUUUGAGACUUACUGCCGUAUUCAUCGGUGCAUUGAUAUCGGGUAUGUUCUUUUUUCUGACAGUUCAUUACAAUGGCAUGGAAAAUAUCUCUUGCAAUAAUUAUUUAGUGGGAACACAAUCAUAAAGUCUGGGCAUGCUUUCUGUUAGGAAUUGUUUGUCACUCCACCGGUUCUGUACCUACUUUUUGAUUGGAUUAUUCUGUAGUAUAUUGGUAGCUGAAAUCAGAUCCUGUUGUUAACCACAAAUGUAUUGUCCUAAGGGAUAGUAAAUAACAAUGUGUUCUGUGCAGUUUGGGAGGCAGCAUUUGUUUUGUUGACUAGAACCUGUUGGUUUGCAUUCUAUUCUAUGGACCAUAUAGGAACUUGGCUGUUAACAUUCUAACAUGUUCCUGUUAUGUUAUUGGAAUGGACAGCAUGCUUGCACAGAAGCUGAACAUGAGCUACGAUGAGGCAGAGUUGUGGAUAAUGAACUUGGUUAGGAGCUCAAAACUGGAUGCCCGGAUCGAUUCAGUGUCCGGAACCCUUGUUAUGAUGACCAAUCACGUCAAUGUGUAAGUUGCUUUGUCCAUGUAUACACCAUGUUGAUUGUAGAUUCAUAACAUAUUUUCUUCACACGUUUUGCUCUUGACUAAUGUGAUGUAGUUUGAAUAAUCUUUUGUUAUAGCCAGAAUAGUUAUCUUCUCUGCUUACACUGGAAUACAUCUUUUUGCAGGCAUGAGCAGAUUAUCGAGAGCCUGAAAGGCCUUAACAUGCGGACCUACAUGCUAGCAAAGAACAUUGUGGAGCCAACUCAAGCAGCACAGCAGGCGGCUCGGUGAGGUUAGUGGAAUCCACAGUUUUGAGGUGCCAAGGAUUAGUUACAGUAGAGACAGCUGUAAACUUUUUGAAGCUCUAUUGUUUCAGUGACUUGAACACCUGGGAGGUGGUUUGCCGUUUGUUACAGCUUAUGCUGACAGUUUUAGUAUUUUGUACUCGGAAUUGCAUAACAAUUGAUCCUUCUAUAUGUAUUGCUGGCAACCGGAUUUAUGCUUGGGCGUUAAGGCGUUUUAUGUCUGUAAUUUCAUGGGCAUUGAGGCAUGUGCUGCAGCUUUCUAGAGGAUCGUUGCAUGUUUGUCCGGGCUGACCCAGCGGUUGUUUGGGCUUUGUGGGAUAGGUUGGGCCUGGUGUCGUCACGGCUCUGGUGAUGUGCUUCCCAGUUCUGUUGUUUUGGACCGUGUCUUAUAGUUUUGUGGGCUUGAUGUGGGCUGCUUCUGGCCAUUUGCGGCCAAGUUUUUUUUUUUCUUUCAGUCGUGAGGCAAGGCGCUAUCGAUAGAGUGAGUGUCCCUUUGGUUUGGCUUUCUAAGGCCCUGUUCGGAUCCAACCGCAAAACAGCAAAAGGGAAAAUAGUUGCUGUUUUUUUUGCGUUUACACCCGAACACCACCCGUUGAAAGGGAAAGAGCGAGAGGAGAUAGCAAAAUAGCAGAUUCCGACGCCGCCGCCCGCCCCUCGCCGCCCGCCGCCCGGCCUCCGCCCGCCGCCCGGCCUCCGCCCCCUCCGCUGUCCGCCGCGCCUCGGCCUCCGCCGUCCGCCGCCCGGCCUCCGCCCCCGCCGUCCGCCCCCGCCGCCCGCCCUCCGCCCCCGCCGCCCGGCCCCCGCCCCCGCCGCCCGGCCUCCGCCCGCCCCCCGCCCGGCCUCCGCCGUCCGCCGCGCCUCGGCCUCCGCCCCCUCCGCCCCCGCCCCCUCCGCUGUCCGCCGCGCCUCGGCCUCCGCCGUCCACCGCCCGGCCUCCGCCCCCGCCCCCUCCGCCGUCCGCCGCGCCUCGGCCUCCGCCGUCCGCCGCCCGGCCUCCGCCCCCCGCCCGGCCUCCGCCCCCCGCCCGGCCUCCGCCACCUCCGCCCGGCCCCCGCCCCCCGCCCGGCCUCCGCCCCCGCCCCCUCCGCCGUCCGCCGCGCCUCGGCCUCCGCCGUCCGCCGCCCGGCCUCCGCCCCCGCCGUCCGCCGCCCCCGCCGUCCGCCGCCCCCGCCCCGCUCCCCGCCCGGCCUCCGCCCCCGCCGUCCGCCGCCCGGCCUCCGCCCCCCGCCGCGCCUCGGCCUCCGCCCCCGCCGCGCCUCGGCCUCCGCCCCCGAACGCGCCCCGGCCUCCGCCCCCGAAUCCCCCAAUCUCGCGCGGGGUCGGGCGGCGGGCGCCGGAGGCCGAGGCGCGGGGUCGGGCGGCGGGCGGCGGGGGCGGGCGGAGGCCGGGCGGCGGGCGGCGGGGGCGGAGGCCGAGGCGCGGGCGGGGGGCGGAGGCCGGGCGGCGGACGGCGGGGGCGGAGGCCGAGACAUCAAAAGGGCAAAUUUUUUUCGGGAGGAUCCGAACACCUCGAACGGCAAAAUUUUUGCCACUUUUAGCAAAUGGCAAAAAUUUUGCCCUUUUGCCCAUUUGCUAUAUGGAUCCGAACAGCACCUAAGUGGUUUGGCUUCCAAGAAAAGCUAAAAAGUAAACCAAAUAGCAUGUUCCCUUCUUUCUUUGAAAGCUGCUUUCUGGCAGUAGAGAUUUCACAGCACGUGUGAGGGUGCUUUCAGCGGCUGUGGGGGGCACCGUUUCGUAAAUUUACCCGCCUGCCAUCGGUUAAUGAGUAGAUCUCUUGCUGCUGCUGUUUGUGCUUCCUUGAUUGCAUUUUUCAUACUAAUUUUGACAAGUUGUCAGCUUGUAUACACUGUACAUCAUGAUACUGGUAUUGAAUGAAGUAAAUUGUUUUGCAUGAUUCAAGAAUGGGCGAUAAGGCGGAUUGGUGUGAUGCCAAUGUGAGGCAUUUCAUUGAUAUAUAAGCUGGGAAUAGACCGUCGGGAAUGUUCACUAGGGACGGAUGGAAAAAAUCUGAGGACUAAGUAUGAAGAAAAAAUAGGGCUAAAGCAAACAAGAAAUAAUUGAAGAACAAAUGGGACAAUAUGGAAAAGGAAUAUACUUGGUUUAUGGAGCUCAAGAAUUUUGCCACUGGCUUGGAUGGAAUGAGACAAAGCAAACCGUUGAAUGCUCUAAGGAAUGGUGGGAUGAACACCUAGCUAUAGUGUAAUUGUUCAUUAUUCAUUGUUCAUGCUUGUAUUGGUUGACUUGCUAACUUGUAUCACUUAAUUUUUAGAGAUGCAAUAAUCCUGGUAAAGGUAUUAAAUGCAACCAUGUGAGGUUCAGAAAACAAGGAUCGAAGCAUCUUAAUGAUCUGCAUAUAUUGUUUGAUAAAACAUAUGUUAGCGGGGCUAGUGUAUCAUGUCCUGAAUAUAUUUCCUCAUCUGAGUCUAGUGACGAGGAUGUGGCUGAGGUACAGAAAAAUCCAGAUAAUGAUGAUGUCAAGUUGGCCGUUUUGAAGAAAAUAAAAUCAGGAAAAAGGAAACGCAAGGACAGCUCAACUGCAACUACUGAAAAGAAGGAUGAGAAGAGCCCAUUCUUUCGACUGUACAAGAACAAAAGUUUGAAGAUAGAAACAGCAACAGAGAAGAUCUCCAUAAGUGUUGAAGCAUCGUAAGCUCCUCCAACCAACCAAGUCCCUAGCAUCAAAGAGGCAAUGCAGAUGGUGAAAGCCUGUGGGGUGCAAUAAAAAAACUGGUCUAAUGCACACAACCACCUUGUUGAUCGUGAAGUCUGAAUUUAGGGAGAUCUUUAGCUCGCUUGAAAUCAAUGAAGGAAGGUUUGAUCUGCUUGAGAGAGAGCAUGAAAAGGAGUUGAUGAGGUAGUCGUAGAACUUUGUAGUCAUUUAUUUCUUGUGUCAUUUGGGAGUACCAAGUAUUUAUUCCUGCUCUCUGAGAACCAUUUAUUUGUUCCUGCUAUGUGACAACUAUUUUGAAAUAAUGUUAUUUGUAUCUAAAUGAUUACUUGUUUGUGUUAUCUGAGCACCAUUAUAAUUUGGUCGUCAUUGUUGUCCAUAAUUUGGUUGUUAUUGUUAGGCAUAAUUUGGUUGUUUAUUGGCUGCACAUAUAUUGAUAUAUUAAUAACAUCUUAUGCAGAUGGAUGACAGCAUGGUGGAUUUUGCUAAAAAGAGACAAGGACUACUUCUUCUAGCUGAGCUAUCCCAGCAUGUUAUUAGACAAUUGGGGUACCAGUACACUGAUCGGUAUUUGCACAAAGGAGAAUACAGGGAAACACAAGGAACUGAACUUCAAUGGGUCAUGAGAUGCAUGAGUCGUUCUAGGCACUUGUACAAGAUGUUUCGAACGAGCUCUGAUAUUUUCAUGGCGUUUUAUGACUUGCUUAUCUCGAACUACGGUUUGACAUCAACUAACAAUGUAUUAUUAAUGAGUCAUUUGUGAUGUUCUUGUAGAUCGUUGGAGGACCACAGUCUUCUCACAAGCUUAAGACUGUUUUACACUGUCACUUUGGACAGUUCGCAACAAGUUUCAUGAAGUAUUGAAUUAUUUGCGCAAGUUAGCAAAGGACAAUAUCAAGCCAAGAGAUCCUAAUUUCUCUAUUGAGCAUGAAAAGGUCAAAGAGGACCGUUUCUGGCCUUAUUCAAAGGCGCAAUUGGAGCUAUUGAUGGUUCACAUGUUCCAGUAACAGUGCCAGCAGAGGAAGUGAUCAACCAUAUAUGACAAUAUGGGUUUACAUCUCAAAAUGUCCUAGUUGUUUGUGAUUUUGAUACGAGAUUUAUAUUUGUGGUUGCUGGUUGGCUAGGUUCUGCACAUGACACACGGAUCCUAAAUCAUGUUUUAGCAAAUUUUUCUUCAUUUUCCGUGCCUCCGAAAGGUAUACACAUUUUAUUACUACUACCAAUACUUGUAUUGUUAUUUGCCUUUGCUGAUUUGGUCUUAUAGGUAAAUAUUACCUCGUGGAUUUUGGUUAUUCAAACCAACUAGGAUAUCUUGCCCCUUUUAAAGGAAGCACGUAUCAUAUGCUAGAGUUUCGACUUUGUAAUGUGCGUGCAUUGUAAGGAAAGUACGAGGUGUUCAAUUUCUUGCAUUCAUCUUUUCGAAAUAUCAUUGAGCGGUCUUUCAAAGUCUUGAAGCAGAAGUGGUGUAUUUUUAAGGGCAUUCUAAGUUUUUCUACUCGCACUCAGAAGCAUAUAAUUUUAGCUUGUAUGAUAUUGUAUAAUUUUAUCCGUGAUAGCCACUCGCAAGAUAGGGAGUUUGAUAAAUGUGAUGCUGAUGAGGAGUACCUGCUACGACAAUCAUUUGACACGGCAUAAACACAAGGAGAUGACAAUGAUGAUGGAGAGAAUGAGAAAACCAUGAAUAUCAUCCGCAACAGGAUAACUGAUGCUUUGGUUAGUGCGAGAGGGAGAUAGUUAUGUUAAGGCAGGACAUUGUUAUAUGAACCAUAUGUCAUUUUGUAGACUUGUUAUCAUUGUAUUUAAGAUUCCUUCCCAAACCGGUAAUUUGCAUGAGGGAUUCACAAUCACUUUGAAUAUCAACGGUCCCUCAGCACUUCAGGGGCGUUACAGACAUUUCACAGCAAACCUACAGUUUCGCAGCUGUUCUAGCCAAAUGGUUUUUAGUUUUCUCACAGCUCAUGGAUUAUAACAACUUUUUUGAUAGCUCACAGCCCACAACAGCUUUUUUCAUAGCCACGGUCCAACCAAACAUACCUGAUAAUGUGAGCCCAAUCGACGUAAACUACGCUUAGUUGCAAAGUCCUAACAAGUUGAACUGUUGAUGUCAAAGUUUCCCAUUCAAUCGGGCAAGAAGCAACUUGCAGGAUUUUGAUUGUGAUUUAUGAAUUUCCGAACCAUCCAAAUUUCAGUUUCACAAAGACUCCAUCAAACAGAAAAACUACGUCACAAAUUCACAAUCCCUUGUUUUUCUUUCGAUGGCCUCAUUCCCUUGUUUUUUCGAUGGAGGGGGGGGGGGGUCCCACCAUGAUUACAAAGCUUUUUCAGGGAGAAAGCGAAGAACUACAUAUUUAAACAAAACGCUUGACACCAGGCCUCUGUGAUUCCUUGGAGGGCAUGUGGCAGACGGCAACGCGCCAACGCCACAGACGUGCGUCCUCCUUGCAGGCGAGCCUCAUUCCCUUGUUGAGAGGCCAAAGCACCUCUAUCCUUGUUGCACAGUCCAAGACGCGUGAUGGUCGUCGCACCAGUCCAUCGGAAAGAAAAAACCGAGAUUUCCCUACCGAACGCCGGCAUCCAUGGCCGCCUCGGUGAGCUCAACUUCUCGGCGCUCCCCUUCCUCACACACAUGGACCUCAGCUUGAACAGCCUUCACGGCGAGAUCCCACCGGCCAUUGCCUCUCCAAGCCGGCUGUCCUACCUCGAUCUGGUCGGCUACUUCCUCCAUGGACACAUCUUCCCCGUGAGAUAGGCAGCAUAUGGGGCUUCUUAGCGACCUGAAUCUCGCUUUCAACAACCUCACGGGCCGCAUCCCUGAAUCCUUUGGGAACCUCACGACGCUAGCCACUCUGAUCAUCGCACACAACAUGCUCGCUGGGGCGAUACCGGAGGAGCUCGGGAAGCUGGCCAGUCCAGAUGAUUUGCACUUGGGCGGCAACUUGUUGGACGGCCAAAUACCUGAAAGCCUUGCAGGCCAGUACCUCAGUUUGGGAGGCUCCGGAGCGAAAUAUAAAAUGAAAAUUUUAUAUGUAGAAAAUUAUAAAUAAUUAGAAUAUAUUUAGAUGAUUUUAUGUAAUAGUAUCAUGUAAAAGGAGUAAAAAACAAGUGUUCCUUACCGAUAUCUUUUUAACUUCUAUGAAAAAGCAACAUUCGUCUAGUAUUCUUCAAAUAAA